AGCCACUUGACUCAGUUUUCUCUCAUUGAUUAUUUCUUCCAUAUUGUUGCAGCAGGCCACAUUAAACCGCCUCAGGUUUGGAGCGAGAAUUAGCCAUGUUAUGUCCUUCAAUUUUGAACAAGUGGCUAUAAAUACAUUGCGAAGGCUUUGGAAGCAAUGUUUGCCUGCAAUCAGAGAGGUUUGAAUGUGGCUCUGUGUUUUUAUCAUUCUGCCUUCCCCUCCCCCCUCCAUCUCCUCUUCUUCCAAACUUUCACAGUUCCCAAGGUCUAGAGAUUCUAGACUCUUCAUAUUCGCUAAAGAUAAAAUAUUCAAUCGCUUCGAGUCCUUUAACAAUUCAAGCUGAAUAGCUAAAGUGCAGCUGCAUAACCUUUCAGUACGCAAAAGGCUAUCGAGACCCAAAGCACUUGUUAUAUUGACAGUCAACACAUUCAAAUGGUUCAAGCACUUCAAUUCUUCCACCAAACAUUCACUAUUAUCUUCCACUUCCUGGCCCAAAGAAUAAUAACAGUGAGACAUUCUCAACACUUGCAGCUUUAAAAAAGCAGAUAUCAACUGUCUUGGAAUUCUUAUGCGAGAAGAACCACAAAAUUCCAAGUUCAAGCAUUUAAGCUUUUCUAAAGCCUUCAAUUCAAUUGGUAGCUGUCUUAUGCUUGUAUAUGAGAGAUCGAGACAUUCCAGAGACACCAAUUUCGAAAUUCCCACUGGCAAUUCUUCUAGACCACUAUUGCCUGACAAGUUUAGAACUUUUAAGCCACACAUAAAUUGGAAGAAGUCAUUAUUGAUCACCUUCAACUGAUUACCGUUAAGAAACAGAGUUUGGAGAUCACGACAGUUAGGUGCUUCUACUAGAUUUUCAAUCCUGUUCUUCAUCAAUGACAUCCUGCGUAUACUUCCCCAAUUCUGAACUUCUGGUAACUUAGUUAAUUGAUAACCUGCCUGCACAAAAAACCUCCACUUUUCUUCUUCACAUUCACAUGCUAUCCACAAACUCAUGUCACGAAUCACAUCAUGCAUCUUUAUGCAAGAUUCAUUUAUUUCUUCCAAUAAACAUGCAUGAAGAAGAGAACCAUUUUUUUGAGUUGGGAGAGGUAUCCCGACCUUAGAUAGAUCAACUCGCUCCCAUAUAUCAUCUAACAAUAUGACAAAUUUCUUUUCCUUUAAAACCCUGAAGAUGUUUUGAGCUUUUUCCUCUGGAGUUUUGUCCUGCCAUGUUCCAUCAGCUAUUCCCACCCUUUUAGCAAUGUCAUCUUGGACCUUUCCGAUGUAAAACCCUUUAGAUACUACAAUCCAAAUAACUACAUCAAAUCGAUUUGGGGGUUCACAGAACUUGUUGUUGAUUUUGUUCAGGAGGGUUGUCUUGCCAACCCCUCCCAUGCCAUACAGGCCAACAAUUCCCACUUGUUCAGCUUCAAGGAUGCUGCAAGCCUUAUCGAAUGUGGAUUCCAAACCAACAGUAUGCUCAGUAGGUCGUUCAGUUACUAGAGGCGUUGGUUCCUCCUCAGCCACCUUGUCAAAAACUCCCUUGCUCUUAUGAUCUACAACAUCUCGGAGCAUUUUGGUAAUUUGCUUCCCAAACUUCAGGUUGGACUUGGGACUCAUAGAAAAACAACCUCCUACACAUAAUUUCUUAAUUUCCUGAGGACUUUGCUCAAUCAACAAAUGAGCUCCAUUAAUCAAAGUUUCUGCCCUCGCAAGCCAGCCUUGAACUUGGUCUAGCCGCUUCAGCUGUUGUUGAUCUUCAGCUAUUUUCACUCUUCUGAUCACAUCAUUCCUUAGAUCCGUCAAUUCUGCUAGUGCAAUUUUUAAAGCUUCUACGUUUUCUUCAAGCUUGCAUACAAACUGUGCUUGUCCGGCAACACAAUCACAGCAGCGGGUAAUGACAGUGUCGCAUGAAGCUGAGAUCGAGAAGAUGUUACCCAUAGUUAGGCUUUGGUUUUAAAGGGGGAGUUGAACAAUUUCUGGAAAGGAGAAAAAUGAACGAAAUCAAAGAUGCUUUUUGGAAUAUCAAGCCAAAGGGUGAAAAAAUGAAAGAAAGAUAUGCAGAAGUGCACAGAAGGCAGAGAAUAUCUCCUGGAAGUUUUUUUUUUGUUUGCUAAUUCUAACUUAACCAAGGGUGUUGGGAGUAGUUGCUGCGGGAUUACUACUAUUUGCCACUUUCUACUUGUUUACUCCAUUAAAAAUAUUCUGUUUGCUAACCGAUUUAACUGGUAAUUAUACCACAACCUACAGAGAAAAACACAUCAGACAAUUUACAUGUAAUGAUAUGAUUUUUUUUUAAAAAAUUUUUGGUAGGAUCAAAUACUAAUUAUGUUAAAUUGGUUCUUGUAACAAUCAUGCAUGUAUUUUUUCCGAGCGAAAGAUGGCCUUGGGGCCGGGGUGGCUUUUGGCAUCUACCUUUCGGCAGGGGCAGUCAAGAGGAAGUUGCACAUCAAAACAAUGGAUUAUACUUAGUGACAAAUUAGUCAAUAAUGACUUUAAAAAAUUAAUUUAGUGGGGUGGGUUUUCUGUUGUGUGGAAUAUGCACAAACUUGGUCCAAUUUGGCGUGCACAUCGACGACUAAAUAAACCAAAUCACUUUCCUUUAAGAACAUUGGUUAAAAUUUUUACCUUUUUCACUGGACCUAAAGAAGAAUAAUUAGACAUAAUUGAAAUAUCAUAUGUGGAAAAAUAGUCAGUCAUUUCGAAGAAGAAAAAUAGAAAGAAUGAGUUUUUAAAAUCUUAAAGUUUCAAAUCUAAGUUUUAUUGUAUUUGAAUUUAGUUUAUUUUAUGUUAAUUUAUUUAUUUAAUAAUUUUCUUAUAAACGUAUGAAAUAUGUGAUUUUUGAAAUUAUUUGAUUAUAAUUGAAAAUUUUAAUUGUAAUUACAUUCAAUAAAAAAAGAUGGUUCCUCCGAAUACUAAAUUUAUCAACCUUGGUUAUGGAAACUUUGUUUUGAUAAUUGAAGCAUAGUAAGGGUAUUUUGAUCCAUGUGCACAUAAUUAAUCUCUCAUAGAGAGAUAAAAUUGGCCCAAUAAUCCUUUGAUUUGGGAAAACAUUUUUGACAUGUUCUUUCUUUUUUUCCUACAUUUUUCUUGAUAAUUAAUUCCUAAAGCUUCAUUGACAUAUUCACCCUUUUAGAUAGCAAUAGUGUGUUCUAUUAAGCGGUUGGGGUGUAUUCUAUGUGUAAUUUUUAUUUUUUUAUCUAAAUAUGGAUUUUACAUAUAUUAAAACGGUGUACAAUCCAUUAAAAUAAUAAUAAAUUUCAUAUUUAUAAGUAAUAAAUGUUAUGUAAUUUUUUAUUAAGAUUAGAAUAAUUAUAAAAUUAUAUAAAUAAAAAUAUUAUAGAUAAAAUGUUCUCUAUGUUUUGAUUAACUCUAUAUAAUUUAAAAUUAUAAUUAAUUAAUUAUCAAUAUAGUCGUAAAGCAGAGGAUAAAGAAAACCUUCAUUUUGGAAAAUUUGUCAACGUCGAGCUUUAACUUUGCAAUUGCCCUCUUCCUUGUAAAGGAUUCUUAAACAAAAGGUUGUUUACUCCAUUAAAAAUAUUCCUUUGGCCGACCAAUUUAACUGGUAAUUAGACCACAACCUACAGAGAGAAACACAUUAGACAAUUUACACGUAAUGAUAAGAUUAUGAUAUUUAUUUUUUUAAGGAUCAAAUAAUAACUAUAUUAAAUUAGUUUCUUGUAACAAUCAUGCAUGCAUUUUCUGAGCAAAAGAUGCCUUUGGGGCCGGGGUGGCUUUUGGCAUCUACCUUUUUGCAGAGGCAGUCGAGAGGAAGUUGCACAUCAUGCAUUAUACUUUCACCGACAAAUUGGUCAAUAAUGACUAAAAAAACUUAAUUUUGUGGGAUAGGUUUUCUGUUGCGUGGAAGAAGCCUUAUACUUUCAUUAACCAGUGUUUGGCAUCAACUAAUAAAUAAUUAGCUUAAAAAAUUAAUAACGUGGGGUCGGCUUUUCUGUUGUGGUCCAAUUUGAGGUGCACAUCCCCGACUAAUUAAACUAAAUCACUUUCCUAUAAGGACAUUGGUUAAAACUUUUUCUUUUCUGAAUGAACCUAAGGAAAACUAAUUAGACGUAAAUUACAAUAUCUUAUACGGAAAAAUAGUCAGUCAUUUUUAAGAAGAUAAAUAGUAAGAAUAAGCUUUUUAAAUUUUAACUUUUAAAUUUAAGUUUUUUUUUUUUUUUUUGCAUUGGAAUUUAGUUUAAUUUUAUUUUGAUUUAUUUAAUUAAUUUUUUAUUAUUAUUUUUUAUAAAUGUAUGAAAUAUGUUAUUUUUUAAAUUAUUUGAUUAUAAAGAAAAUUUUAAAUUUUAAAUUUAUCAAACCUUUGUUAUGAAAACUUUGUUUUGAUAAUUGAAUUUAAGGAUAGCAAUGAUAUUUUGAUUUGUGUGCAUAUGAUUAAUCUUUCGCAGAGAUAUAAAAUUAGUCCAAUAAUCAUUUGAUUUGGGAAAAAAUUUCACAUAUUCUACAUUUCUUGUAUGAAGGAAAAGAAUUCACGUGAGAAGAGGCUUCGAGAUCUUUGCCAUUAAUUGGAUGUUGAGGCUGCCAUUAAAGCAUCUCUCAAAAUCUUCAUUUUGUAGUUUCAAAACAUACAUUAUAUGUGUAAAAGGUGCAAAUGAAAUUAAAUUUGGCAUGCACAUCUAUGACUAAGUCACUUUUAAAUCUUGUUUGAUGCAUAAGAUUAUUCAUAGGAUAAGAUAAUAAUUAUUUUAUAUUAUGUUUGAUUUGUAUCGAAAGAAAAUGAUUCAAUUUUUUUAAAAUGGAGAUAAUUAUUUUUAAUUCAUAAGAUUAAACUUAAAUAUCUAAUUAUACCUUUAAAAAUUAUAUCAAUAAUUUAAAUUGUAAAAACUUUAAGAAAAGAUAAUUUUGAUAAAUAAAUAAAUUAUUCUAUUCUAAUUUUUGCAUACAUCAAAAAUAAAAUAAAAUGAUAUUAUUUAAUCUAAUCUUAUGCAUAAUAUCAUUAUAUCUUAUUUUAUCAUAAUCUUAUGUAUCAAAUAUAAUUUUAAUUUCCUAUAAAAAAUAUUUAAAUCUUUUUGUUUUAAAGUCUAAUAAAUUGUCAAUUGCAAUAUUUUUUUAUUGAAAAAUGGUCAAUCAUUCUCCGACCAAUCAAACCUUAUCUCAAUACUAAAGCUCCAUUUGGAAUCAAAUAGUGGUCCAGCGAAGAUACCUUUUGCAUGAAAAAUUGUGCCAAAUGCAUCAUGCAUGCAUUUGUUAAACAAUAUCAAUGCAAUUGGAGUUGAAUUUCAACGCGCCAUAUCCCUUUUUUCUCGUUGGCCACCCCCUCUCCAAUGAAAAGUUCCCCUCCCCAACGCAACAUCCUUUGUUAUAAUGUCUUCACUUUUUUUUUUUUUAAUCUUUUUUAUCUCUCAAACAAUAAUGAAGGAACAAAAGUGUCCCUUAGCUUUUAGGGUUGUUUUUUUUAUUAUUAUUUGUUAUUUUGAACAAAAAUAAUAUAUACAAAAAAAUAAUUUUUAAAUAUAUAAUAACAAAUUAUUAUUUGAUAUAAAAAUAAUUUUAAUAUUUUUCAGUUUAUUAAUAAAAGUAUUAUUUGAUAUAAAAUAAUUUUAAUAAUUUUUAAUUAUUUAUUAAUAUCACAAAUAUCAAAUAUAUUUUAUAAAUUUUAUUAUAUGUAAUUUUAAUUUAAUAUCUUUAAUGAUUAUUUUAUCUUUUCAUUAUAAUCUACCUCACUACUACUGCUGCAUUUUCAUCAAACAUAUAUUUUACCACUGAUUUUAAUCUUACCGUUAUAGUAAUCAAACUUACUGUUAGAGUAACAAAUCUCAUCUUUAUCAUUAUUUUUAAUCUUACCAAAAUCAAUCUCAUCAUUCAUCUAAAUGGACCUUAAGAAUGAGCUUUUAAAAUCUUUAAGUUUCAAAUUAAAGUCUUAUUGCAGGUGAAUUUAAUUUAAUUUUGUAUUGAUUUAUUUAAUUAAUUUGUUGUUUUUAUAAAUGUAUGUGUGUAAUAUAUGAUAUAUGAAAUUAUUUCAUUAUGACAAAUUUUUAAUUGUAAGUACAAUCAAUAAAAAAAUUGAUUCUAAUAAAUUCAUCAACUACAUGAAAAUUUUGUUUUGAUCAGGUUAUUUAUGUUUUUAAAAUAUAAAAGAUAAUGAGAACAAAACCAAUGAAUUUACAUAGAGUAUAUCUAUAUCGUAUUUUUAUCAUGUCAAAUAUAUGUAUAACAUAAAUAAUUGUAGUAUCAAAUUCGUAUCAGCACACAACAUAAAACAUUUUUUUAUCAAAUCUAUAUAUAAUUUUUACCAAAUUUUUAAAUUGUAUCGCCUUUAUAUUUUUUUCAUAACAUUUUUAUUUCGUGUUUAAAAUUAUCAAAUCUAAAUUUAAGCUUAGCAACAAUGUUUUGAUUGGUUUGAACAUGAUUAAGCUCUUGCAAAGAGAUACCAUCGAAAAACAUAGCAGUCAAGCAUAUAAACAUUUCUAUUUUCUAAAUAUGAGAAUUAACCCAAAUGAUUCACUCUUCUUAAACAAGAUAAGAUCAUAAGGUAAAAAUAUUAAUGAUAUUAUAUCAUGAUUAAAAUAAAAUUUCAGACAAAAAGAAGUUAUUCUCAUGAAUUAUGAAAGAAAUAAAACCAAAUCUAAAUUAUCUAAAGGUUUGGGAACAUGAAGCAAUAGUAAAAGUUUGCAAAAUGAAGAAAUUAAAGAUGAAUUAAGUGCAUUGGCUAUGCAUAAUUAUGUACAAUAAAGUAUGUAGAUUAAUAUCAUAUCGAAAGAAUAUAUAUUCAAGGUAAUUCAUCAAGUUACUAAAAAAAAUUCAUAUGAACUUGAAACAGAAUUCUUCUAAAUCGAAGAAUAUAAAGACCUUGUACAUUUUAAAAUAAAUAGUUAAAAUAGUAAAGUUAUGAUUUAAGUUUUUUAUUAAAAUAAUUAGAAUUAUAUGACUUGUAUUUUUUAAUGAUACUUGUUUAAAGAACAAGUUGCAUAUAAACCUAUAUAAUAAGGUUUGUUAUGAAAUCCAAUUUUAACGCUUUGUGGAAACAAAUGAAAUUCAAGGAAUAGCAUUCUCGAAAGAAAUUAUAAAUGAUUAAUUGUUUUACAAUUAUGGUUAAUAAUAAUAAUAGUAAUAUAUGUGUGUGUGUGUGUUAAUGGUUUAAUUUUUUUGUUGCAAACUAAUAAAUUAUAAAAGAAACUUAAUAGAAAAAAAAAGUUGAUAUAAUUCUAGACAAACACUGAAGCCAAGUAUUGUUUAGAGAAUUUACACAUAUAUAAAAUGAUUAUUUUUAUAUAUUUACAUAGCAAAAAGAAUUAAUUACUACAAAAAAAAAAAAACUUAUUGCAUUGAUGUUAAUUCAGCAAAGGAAAUGAAAUUCACAUGUUUAUAAAAUGAUGAAUUAGAUAAAAGGAUGUGUAUGGAAUAACUUUUUUCAAGAUAAGAUUAUAAAAGCAUGUAAAUUAGUUAAGUUCUUAAUUAAACUUAAUAAAUUCCUAAAAAAUUUAAAAUUUGAUGAGUUAAUUUUGACUUAUAAUAUCAUAUAAUAAAUUAUACAAUUAAAUGUAUUUAUAAUAAGUUAAAAAAAUCAUCAUCAUUUGACUAUAUAAAGAUGAUAUAUUUAGUACGGAUCAAGAAUAAGUUAAAAAUAUAAAAUUCUUGUUUAAUAAUUUUUUACUAUGAAAAAUAAAGUACUGUAAAAGUAAUUCUAAAAAUAAAAGUUUAUAUAAAAAUGACAAGUGACAAUUUCCAAUUUUACUUUAUUAGAAAAAUUCUAAAAGAAACUAUAAUUAUACAAUGAUACAACAUUAUCUGAUAAAGAAAUAUUGAUUGCACAAUCAAAUAUGCAACAGCAAAUGAAUGUGUGAUGUAUAUUAAGACAUACAUAAAAUGAAACAUUACUUUUGUGAUAAAUAAAAGUUAGUAGAUAUACGAAACGAAAUAAAUUGUGUUCAGAUAUAUUAUACACAUCUAGUAAUUGUACUCGUAAAAAAAUACAUUAAACAAUUACAAGUAAUCACAAUAUUAUGUUUUCUUUAAAAAAAAAUUUAUAGGAUCAAAUAAUAAUCAAGCCAAAGUUGGUUUUUUGUCACAAUCAUACACGAAAUUUUGUGGGCAAAAGAUGCCUUCGGGGCUGGGGACCUUUCGGCAUUUUAUGUUGGCCCUAGGCAGUAAAGAGGAAGGUGCUCAAUAAAGCAAUGCAUUACCUUUCACUGACACAUUUUGGGCAUCAAUUGGUCAAUAUUUAAUUUUGUGGGGUCGGCUUUUCUGUUGUGUGGAAGAAGCACAAGCUUGAUCCAAUUUGGCGUGCACUUCUACAGCUAGUUAAACCAAGUCACUUCUAGUUUCUUACAACAACAUUGUUUAAAUCUUAUUUUUUAAGAACACUAAUUAGACGUCAAUCGCAAUAUUUUAUGUAAAAAAAUGUUCAUUUUCUAGCCGAUCAAAUCUUAUCUUAGUACUGAAGAAUGAGCUUUUAAAAUCUUCAAGUCUCAAAUUUUAGGCUUGUUGAAUGUGAAUUAUUUAUUUAAUUAAUAUUUAUUAAUUUUUUUCAUAAAUGAUUGUAUGUAAUAUGUGAUGCAUAAAAUUAUUCGAUUAUAAUAAUAAUUUUAAUUAUAAUUAUAACCAAUAAAAAAAUAAUUUUUAUAACUAUUAAAUUCAUCGAUCACAUAAAAAUUUUAUUUUGAUUGAGCUAUUUAUUUAUUUAUUUUUAAAUAAGUCCUCCUGUACCACUGGAGGAAUGCUAGAGCUAGCUAGAGGCUUGUGGUAUUGAUUCUAUUAAAAGCUUACAUCUGUGACAAACUAUUAAGCACCAUGAUGGGAUAGCAAUCAAAUUAACUAAAUCAUCUACUGGAGCUUCUUUAUCCCCGGAAAAGAAGGGAGAAGUGCGAAGAGAGCAUCACCAUGUCCAACGGGAUCUGUCAUGUAAGCAUAACAUGUAAGAAUAGAUGACGAGGUGAGACUAAAAUGCACUGAAAAGUGACAACACGUUCGACUGGUUAAAGAAUGAUCAGAAUUAGAAACAAAACCCAGAUUCAUUGAUCAUAUAAACAUAAGCAUGCAUGAAAAGUAAGUAGCAAGACACGUAGGGUGAAAUCAACCCCUCAUUUCCAUCAGUCAACAUACAAAAGUAAACACACGGUAAUUCCCAUCAAGUCAAUAUUUAAACCUCGGUUGGAAUUUCACCACCUAGUUGUUCAAUGUAGCAAAGCACCUGGCCCUUCUUCACUAUUUGCCCCUGUUGCAGAAACAAACUCAGAAUUUCUCAAUAGAACCUCUAACAUAUGGAAACGAAAGCAACACUUGAGAGUACACUUGAGAGUACAAGUGAACCAAUGAUGGCUCCCAAAUAAAUGGUUUCAUUUAUGUUUUGUCUCUUGAAGACAACACGUUGGAAAAUAAAAGGAUGAAAAACAGUAAAACCAUUUUGAAUGCUAUGGCCAAAUGAGAAAAAACAUUAUCUCUUUCUGCUAAUGUGAUCAAAGCAAUCUAUUGUUUGGGCCCCUAAAAUAAACAAAUACUCUUACCAAAAUCCAUUGAAGUAUUACCUCUUUACACGAUGGUGGAGCACGCUUCCCCUUUAUGGUUCGUGAUCUCCUGAAGAAACCUACCUGCACAAUUUAUCAUCUUACUUCUACGAGUUCAAAGCAAGUGAAGAAUUUAAAUUUCAUAUUCUCACCUUCGGAGACUGAAGUAUCACCAAGGCUUCAUCUGCAGCUUUAUCAAGUAAGGAUUGGAUUCUCCCUGAAGAAGAUAGGGGUUUGGUGACAGCUAAAGAAGGUGAAGAAAAGCCCCGUUUGAGUCAGGUGGUUCAACAGUUCUAUUGGUGCUGACGCUGACAGGAGGAGGAUUUGGGAUCGCAGGUGGAUGUUCACUUUUUCCCGCCAAGUCCCUCACUAUGUAUAGCCGAAAUCCACCAAGCUAACAAAUGGAGACAGAACAGAAAGCCACUCAAAACCACAAUAUCUGUAAUUGUUUUGGAUACGAAACAGAAACAAUUCAAGUAGAAAAGCCAUUAACAUUAUCAAGCUAUUUGCGGCACAAGAAAUUAAAACCUGCUUACUUUUAGUUCAAACUCUGCGAUUGAAGUUUUAUUUCAUAUAUCUCUGACCAGAGAUUCCACCCGCAGUUAGAAAUUGUAAACUGCAAACUUCUAAAAUAUAAGCUAAAGGUAAGAUUUUUCAUUCAUUUUUGAAAGAAGUCCCUAAGCAGGCAAUAUUCACAUAUUUAUUCCCAAUUUCUAACGUUUGAGUACAUUAAGAAAAAAAAAAAGAGAAAUCAAUUACUUCAUUUUCUCCAAAUCCCACAUAUUGUUUCUUUACAGCGGCUUAAAACAGAGUUGAAACUUGAAACAGCUAAGCAUAGUUCACUAAUUACCCAGUAAACUUAAACGGUCUACUAGAUAAAAUAUUUUUAAUUUAAAGGUGAAAAAAAGAAUGGCAAUAAUGAUGUGGCAUAACAUACAUGCUUGCAUUAAUGAUUUACAAAAAAACAAUUAUGAACUCACCCCAGAUGAAUUUGGAAUAAGCUGGCUGGUCAAACCAGACAUUUUAGUCUCUUCAGAAUCAUCUGCUAAAUUUGUAGUAGCUGCAAGUCAGCAACCAAAAUGAUGCAGACAUUACAACAAAUCAUGUAGUUUAGAAAGCUUAAAAAGCAAAAAACAGAGAUGAUGGCAAAACUUCAAAAUAUUCAAAUUUACACACUUUAAUCAGUGAAGUACUUCAUUUCUAUUUUGACAGUGGUUAAUCUGAGAUAAGACGGCAAAAAAAGUGACAAAUGACCAGAAACAAUCGGGUACAAGAUUUUUUUUCCCAAUGAGUAGCAUGUACAUCAACCUUAAAUGCAAUAGGAUUGAGCAGUUGAGACACAAAUAUCUGGAUAUUUCACGAACAAGAUAUUUCAUGAAAUUAUUACAGAUCCAAACAAGCUUCAAUAGUUACAGCAGUUCUUUUCUUUUCCUCCUUACCUCACCAUGUAUUUUUUUUUUCGUUCUUUUUUCUCUGAAAGCCUUACAGCAUACUGACAGAUUAGAGAUUUUUGUAACCUGUAUAAUGAAGUGAGAAUGACUUUAAAUUGCAGAAACAUUAUAGACUAUCCCUAUUUCUACAAAUUUGAGUGGACAGUAGAACCAGAAAGAGAGAUGAAUUGAAUAUUAUCAACUUGCACCAUAGGCACUGUCAUUGAAUCACAUUACUCACCUCCAAAAUAAAUAAACUAAAAACUACUUCUCUAUUCAUUUGUUAUACACGUGCACAACUACUGUGCAUAAAUAGACGUAUACAGGAGUUAUCUGCCAAAAACUUACCAAAGACUUUAAGGAAAGGUUAGUCAGUAAAGCAAUUCAAGGGUAAAAUUUUACUAAAUCUGAAACAAGCAGAAGGAAAUAGAAUAUAUGUCUUCAUGAGACUGCUACAAUGUGAAAUGUAUUUCUUCAAGAAUCAGAACUAUUAUUGAGAGCACAAAAGUUCAUUGUGUCAACUCUUUAUAUCGACAUAACUUACAGCACAAUUUUAUUUUUUAAUACACUAAUUUAAUAAAAAUACUUCAUUUAUAUAAAAUUAAAAUGUUAUUUAUAUUUAAAAAUGAUAUUUUUAUAAAAAUUAUACUCAAUUAAAAUUAUUAAAUUAACUUCGGUCAAGUCAAGUCAAAUGCAUACUGAAUGCAUAUAGUUAGGAUCGAAGUCAAGUAUAUUUGAAAAAUUGGAUAGAAUUAUUAAAGAGUCAAGUUGAUCAAAGGAUGAAUUUUAACUCAUCCCAACUAUAUCCGUUAUCAUAUUUAAAUGGAGUUGUUUAUGUGACACCUCAAUUUGGCUUUCUUUUAUUUUUCAUUUUUGCCCUUUAAUUUUUUUUUUAGAUUUUAUUUAUUUCUAGAUAAAUUUUAUCAAAAAAGGGUCACUAGUUAUAUGAAUGACAAAAUAACCAGUAUCUAACAAAUUCUAACUUGACUUCAUCCAAUGGGGGAGAUUUUUUCUUUUCAAAAUUGGGAUCAAGUUGGGCUAGGAUGGUUUUCUAUUUUUUAAAUUAGGAUCAAAUCAGAGGCAAGUUCAAGGUGCUUCAUGACGAUCUCUUCAAGAUAUAUAAAAAAUACAUAUUCUAUUAUUUAUUUAAUUUUAUAUUUGUAUAUGUAUUAUAUUAAUAUAAUUAUUAUUUAAUAACUUAAUUAAAUAAAAAUACUACAUUUGUAUAUAAUUUAAAUACAAUUUAUAUUAAAAAUAAUAUUUUAAUAAAGAUUAUACUAAAUUAAAUUUAUUGAAUUCAUCUCCGAUUAAAUUAAAUCAGAUGUGAUUAUACAUAUAUGUGCUUAGUUGAGAUUUGAUAGAAAAAUAGUAACCCGAUGUCGGGUCUAAAUUGGAUUCAGAUUGAAUAAUUAAAAAGUUGGAUCAGAGCCAAUGCUAGAAAAUCUGCCUUUACCUGACUUCUUGUCAUCCUAAGUGAAUGUAUCCACGUUACAUCUCAAUUUAGUUCUCUUUUCCUUUUUUUUAUCUUAGGCCAUUUUCUUUUAUUUUGUUUUUUAAAUUGUCUAUUUUAUUUUUUCUUAAUUAUGUUUGAAAAGAUAAAUUUAAAAAAAUGAAUUUUGAUUUUAUUUGUUACAUAAGAUGUCAAAAUAAAAAACACAUAUUAUGCAUAAAUUAAUUGAUAAAUUUUUGCUAAUCAUUACAUUUAUUAAAAAUAUUAUAAAUGAAACUAUACUCAUUGAUUUAUUAAAUUUAUCUUGAACAUUGUUUAUUACAAAUAAAAAAAAAUUGAACCAAUGAUAAAGUGCAAGACUAUUUCUAGUUCAUGUUAAAGAAACAAAAGUUCAUUUAUUUACCCUGAGAUCAUGCCCUAUUGCUAUGGACCAUUAUUGCAAGCAUUAAACAAGAAAAUUAGUGAGAAAGAUUCAAACAGAAUAAAAAUUUCAUACACUUAGUUAUAUAUUGUCGCCCUGAAGUUUAGUUUGCCUGAUCCCUCAUUAUAAAUCUUUUGGUAGUUUUUCACUCCCUUAUCAUAAUUUUUGGUUCCUUUUAACUAUUUAAGUGGAAGUUUUACCAUAGUGAAAAUAAAAUUAAAUUAGCCUUACAAAAAUAAGAGAAGUUGAGAAAGCUAUAUUUCCUCAUAACAGCUUCCAAAGUGUGUUUGCCACAAAAAUUAAUAGAUUGUAUCAAUAUAUAUUAACUUAAUAUAAACUAUUGGUUUCUGAAAUAUGUGAAGGAAGCCAUUAAAUUUCAACAAUUUCAGAAUGUAACUAUUAAAAAAUCAUAGAAAAAAAUUAUUUCCCUUACCUUUUCUUCUUCUUUGUUCUUUUGUUUUAAUUCCCUUCAACAUCGAUCGGUGAGAUAGCUUACCUCCAUCAUCCAGCUUGGGUGAGUGAAGUUCAAUUUGGUGACAGUCAAAUGACUUUUUCCUUUCUCGCUCUUCUUCCUCUUUCAUUUUCCAAUUCUUUCUCUAAAGGAAAGGCCAUGGCUUGACCUCCCUUCCAACUUUCUCUUUUUUUUUUUCCUUUGUUUUACCCCUUCAGCUCCCUCCAGAGAAUCUCUUUUAGCUUUAUCUUCAUUGUUUCUCGUCUCAUCCAAGAGCCUUUCAAGCUUCUCUCUUCCUUUGGGGCUUUCUAAAUACACCACAAAAUUUUUUUUAUACACCCUCAAAAUUUCUUUCAAAAAUACCCAUAUAACAAAUACAAAUUUUAACCUUUAAUAAAUAAUAAAAAUAACCUCAAUAACUUAUACAUCCCAAAAUCAACUUUGUACAUCUUGGAAAUCCAUUCUGAGAAUUAUAUUACUUUCUCAAAAAUGGAUUUUUGAGAAUCUUGUUUUCUUAUAAAUCCGUUUCCAAAAAUACAUAAUUUUUUGUUUAAAUAUAUAUUUAAUUAUAAACUCUUGAUAACAUUUAAUUUUAAUUUAAAUCAAAUAAAUACAUUUAAUCUUAAAAUAAAUAAUACUAAAAUAAAUCAAUCUCUUUAUCAAUGUCUAACAUGAAAAAUCAGAUGUGCUGGAAUCUUUAAAUGUCUCUAAUGAUUUCUUUGAGGCAUGACUCAAUUCUAGCAAUAAAGACCUCUAAUCUUUAGGCCACUAACAAUGUCAUCAGCACAUUGACAAAUCCAACAAUAAAAAUUGGUGGUUGAAAGAGUAGAGUUCUUUAUUGCCAUAUUUAUCAAUCAGUCUACUAAUGACAUGGUCAAUGUUCUAUAGGGUGUUCAAUCUCAAACUAGCAUGCAUGCAAACACAUGAGUCAUUGAUGUGCCCAUUCUUAUGUGAUCAUAUGUAUGAAUAGAAGAGACAUGUUAGUUCUUAAGCAUUCAUAGGCAUAAAAGUGUUGUUGUUUGGAGACCAGAAAACCAAGAACACACUUUGGCCCAUGCAAAACCAGAAAACUAGAAAAAGGUUUUCUUGAUUUUCUAGAGUAUCAAGAGAAAGAACAAGUUUAUGCCAUGUAUGUUGAGAAUAUUGAUUUUAGUUUCAAUCAUACACAAGUAAAUGGGUUUAUAAGAUAAUGAAGAACACCCUUUGGCCCAUGCAAAACCAGAAAACUAGAAAAAGGAUUUCUUCAUUUUCUAGAGUAUCAAGAGAAAGAACAAGUUUAUGCCAUGUAUGUUGAGAAUAUCGAUUUUAGUUUCAAUCACACACAAGUAAAUGGGUUUAUAAGAUAAGGAUUUAAGGUUUUCAAUGAUUAAAGUGAAUUCGAGAUUCUAAGAAAUAGAUAUCCAAGAAUACUUAAAGAUUCUCGAAUAUUCAUUUUUAAGAAUACCAAGAACACCCUUUGGCCCAUGCAAAAGCAAAAAACUAGAAAAUGGUUUUCUUGAUUUUCUAGAGUAUCAAGAGAAAGAACAAGUUUAUGCCAUGUAUGUUGAGAAUAUUGAUUUUAGUUUCAAUCAUACACAAGUAAAUGGGCUUAUAAGAUAAUGAUUUAAGGUUUUCAGUGAUUAAAGUGAAUUCGAGAUUCUAAGAAAUAGAUAUCCAAGAAUACUUAAAGAUUCUCAAAUAUUCAUUUUUGAGAAUACUCAAAACUUCUCGAAAAUGGAUAUCUAAAAAGCUUUCAAUGUUCUUAUAAAUGAAUACCUGAGAACCUUUGAGGCUUCUCAAAAAUAGAUAUCCAAGAAUCCUUAAAGCUUCUCAGAUGUCCAUUUUUGAAAAGCUUCAAAGUUUCUCGAACAUUUAUGUUCGAGAAACUUGAUUUCAAAAAAUAAAGAGAGAAGAACAAAGAAAAGGUAGUAAUGGAAAAUAGAAAGUGAGAGGUUAGGUGUAUUUAGUUAAAAUAGAAAAUUGAGUUUUAAAUUUGGAUAUAUUUAGAAGUGGGGUGCAUAGAGUAAUAAAUAGGCUGUAAAUAGAAUUCCCCUCUUCCUUUUACCUUAUUAUAAAUAUUAUAAAGUCUUUUUUAACCCUAUAAUUAUUUUAAAUGUCAAAUCUAAGUUGGCUUUAAGGGACAGUUUUUAUUUAUUGUUGUUUCUCAUCUCAUCUAGAAGCUUUUCAAGCUUCUCUCUUUCUUUUACUUCUUUAUAAAUAUUAUAAAGACAUUUUUAACGCUAAAGUCAUUUUAAAUGUCACAUAUAAUUUGGCUCUAAAUUAGAAUAGUGGGGACAAUUUUUUUUUAUAGAUUAAAAAUUUCUAUGUAAAUUAUAUAAAUUGGAAUUUCUAGUAUCUUAUGCUCAUAUAAAUUACAAUGCCCUCAGUAUACUAAUUUUUGGCACUUAUUUGAUGUAUGUAUAAUUUUUAUUUCUAAAUUGAAUUUAAUAAAUAAUUUUUCAGCAAAAAUGAAGGGAAAUGAAUGUAGACAUCAAAUUUAUCUGGAUUUUAAUUGAGUCUUAGUUUAAAAUUUGUCGGGUAUAUUAGGUUAUUAGGGUGAGGCCUAAAUUUAAUUCAACUAGGCCCAAAGUUUGAUUUUAAUUGGGUCUUAAGCCCAUUUCAUUCUUUAGGCCUAUCCUAUUUUUUAUUUUAUUUUUAUUUUAUUUUAUUUUUUUGUUAAAUUAAACAAAAUACCAAAAAAAGGAAAAAAAAAACAAAAAAAAAGAAACAACCAGAAGGAUACAAGAAAAGGAAAAAACAAAGGAGGCAGGGGGUGUUUGGUGUCGUGCAUAGCACCACUAGCACCACCAACCCCUGCAAGGCCCUGUGCCACCCAUUUAGGCAUAGGGCCAAGACUGGACAAAUAAAAAAAAAAAAAAGGAGUAAAGAGGAGGCUGAUGCUUAGGGUGCCAUAUACAACACACCUAUUUGCGAAGUCCUGUGCCACUUACCUAGGCAUAGGGCAUAGCCGGAGCUCUAUUAAUAGAUCUCUGUGGUUGACCCCUAAAAAAAGAAAGAGGAGACCCUACCAAAAAAAAAAGCAUUUUGCCAAAGAAAAACAAAAAAAAAUCAAACAAAAACUUAGUCCCUUGGGAACAGGGAGCCCAAUGUCAAGAGUCCCUACAAAAAGAGAAAACAAAAUCAGUCUCAAAAAACAAAAAAAAAAACAAGUUAGAAUACUGUAAAAAAGAGUUUGGUCGAAACUUUGAAGGUCGAUUCAGGUUGUUUGGGACCUUUUUUGGUGAAAAGGAGUUUGGAUCUGUGCUUAGGAAGGCGAGAGGAAUUUUUUGAAAACUUUUUGGAUUUUUCGACAAUCGGUCGACAACCAUCUAUGACGGUUGACACGACAAAUGAUGAAUGACAAAUUUGGAUAAAGAGAGGGGGUCUGAGAGACAAAGAGGUAGAGAAAAAAAGAGAAGAGAAAACUAAGCUAAAAAUAUUUGAGGUUUUCAUAUAAAGUUGAGAGCCAAAAUGACAUCGUUUCAAUUAAAAGACCAAAAUGAUAUCAUUUUAAGCCUAGGAUCCACACGUCAACCCGUUGACCCGACCCAAGGUCCAUGCACUUGACUCGACAACCCGUCGACCCGACCCAGGGUCAAUGCACUCGACUCGACAACCCGUCUUCCAAUUGACUUUUUCUGGUCUAGCUAAACUGACCUAGAACAAAGCAAACCGGCAUUGAAUCAUCGAACCAACCAGACCGAGUCGUCGAAUCGAUCAGACCCGCAUUGACCUAAUCGUUAACCAAUCUAGUUCAAGCAAAAAAAUUUUUUUGAAUUUUUUAUAUAUUAUUCUAAUAACAUUUAUGCAUAUUAAAAUAUUUAUUUUUGUUAGAAUAAUUUAUUUUUGUGAUAAAUAAUUCAUUAGUAAAAAAAAUAAAUGAUGAAAUAUGUAGUUAAAAUUUUUAUAAUUUUUUAAUUUUAAAAUAAACUUUAAAAAAUAAAAAUAAACUUUAUAAUAAUAAUAAUAUAAAGUAAUAAAAAAUGUAAGAAAAGGAAAUUUUUAUCUGACAAUGAGAUUCAAAAGUAUUCUGAGUAGUGAUACCUACGAAAUCUCUAGGUGAGAAGAUUUUUUAAAAUAUUACCAAUAUAUUGAAAUAUUUAUAAAAAUUUUUCAAUACAAUAAAAAUUUUCUUUUUUUGUUAUAAAAUAGUAAAUAAAAAUUAACUAAUAAAUUAAGAAAAAGUGUUAAAAAAUGAGAAAAAUAAAAAUUUUAUCUAAUGAUGGGAUUCUAAAAGUAUUCCGAGUAAAGAUGCUUUAAGAAAUCCCUAGGUGAGAAGAUUUUUUUUUAAAUAUUAUCAAUGUAUUGGAAUAUUUAUAAAAAAUCUUCAAUAUAAUAAAAAUUCUUCUUUUCUUCAAAAACUUAAAUGAUAAUUAAAAAAUAAUAAUAAUCAAUAAAAUUUUCAAAAAGUAAAAUAAAAUGUAUGCAUUAACAUGUUAGCAUUUACAUUGCAUGAUAUAAUAUUUUUACGAAAAGUAAAUCUAAACCUUUGAAGAUGAGAUUCUAAGAUAUUCCAAAAAACGAUGCCUAAGAAAUCUUUAAAUGAGAAAGAGUUCUUUCAAUGUUACCAACAUACUGGAAUAUUUUAAGAAUUAUUUCAAUAAAAAAGUUAUAACUUAUUUUUCCCAAAUAAAAUUUGAAUAAUAAAUUUUUAAUAAAAAAAAAAGAAAACUCAAAUUCCAAUAAAUGAAAAAUCAAGGUGUUAGCUUUUUAGGUGAAAUUAUUUUUUGAAAUCCUGAAAAUAAGACUAUUUUUAUCAAAAUCAAUGGGUAACGCGUAGUUAAUUGGUACCAUUUUUAAACAUGUGCUAGGGGUUGCUAAUCAUUCCCCACACGUUAUUGACUCCCGGACCUAAACUAUUUCGUAGACCCUAAAAUUAUUUUUUUUAAUAAAUUUUAAUUAAAUUUAAAAUUUCAUUAAAUAGAUAUGUUUUAAUAAGUGACCAAUCGCACCUAACUAAAAAAAAAUUGAUGGCAACUCUAUUUUUUAUUUUUUAUUUUCGUCUCCAAAUUCGUCAAGCGACCUUAAAACCGUUACGAAAAUGAACAAAAAAAAGUGAGAAGACAACAAAAAAAAAAUGUUGGGUUUUCUUUUUUCUAUUUGACAUGAGGAAGGAAAAAUAAACAAAAAAUAAAAAUAAAAUUGUAAAUAAAAUGAUUAUUGCGUUUUUUUUUUCACUUACUUUUUGAAAGAUUGAAUUUAGAAAGACAUAAAAUCUAUAAAUGAAUCCAAUCAUUUUUUUUCCUUUAAUCUAAGAAAAAAAUUUUAAAUUUUUUUUCCUUUCUUUUUUUCAUCCCACCAAACACAACGUAGAGUCAUGACAAAUUGAGAGUACACAUAAAUGUUAUUUUUAUAAACUAUGAGUAAUUCAAUUCCCAUCACCCUAAUUUGAAUGUCCAAUUAUAUAAAAUAUUUAUCACAAUUUGUACUUCAAUUUGAUUGAAAGGCUGAAUACUAGCUCUCCACUUAAAUUUGAUGCGUACACGAUUUUCAUAUUUGACUUUUGGGUCCUUCGGCUUGUCCAUCUAUCAUGGUAACAAUUCUUGUGAAUAUCAAUAAUGGACCUUGAAAGUAAUAAAGCAAAAAAAAAAACUUGCCAAUUAAACUUUGAUUCAAUGGCACGAAUAUUUUAAAAUUUGAGAUUUUAAAUUGAAUUUUAUUAUAUGAAUUUGUUUUAGUUUUAUAUUAAAUUUAUUUAAUUAUAUUUAAAUUUGGUCGAUAAUUUUUAUACACAUGAAUAUAAUAUUUAUUAUGAUUGUGAUUUUUUUUUAUAAUUGUAAUUUUAUAAAAAAUAUAGUCAAUUACUUGUAAUUAUAAUAGUUAAUUAUUAUUAACUAGAUAUAUCCAAAUUCAAUGACAACUCUAAAAAUCCUCCUAUUGCAUUUUUUUUUAAAAAAUUUUAACUUUUUCAUUUUCACUUAAUAACAAUUUUUUUUAAAAGUGUCCGCACGUUUUAUCUAGAAGAGCAAGAUAUCUAUCUAUUAUUAAAAAGGAUUUAAAUUCUUUUUUAAAUAAAAAAGUUCACCAAAAAUAAAUUCACAUCAAUAGAUUAGGUUCUUUCACAUAAAAGAAUUAUAUACAGUUUUACAUAUCAAAUUAUAUAAUUAUUUUUAAAUAUGAUAAUUAAUAGAUUUGAAUUUAACUCAUAACAUUUGUAAUUUUUUUUAGAUUAUGAUUUUUUUAUUAAAUAAUUAUAUAAAAUAUUCUUUUUUUAUCCUUUUUUUAAGAGCAAUCAUGUUCGAAUAUUAGUUGGUGGGGAGGAAAAACCUAAUUAGAAACACUUAAAUAGCUCAGUGUAUGCAUGGCCCUCUCGUUUAUUAAUUUUUUUAUGAUGAUGCAAUUGACAAGAAGAUGAAUCAAUUAUAAAUUGAUGAGGAACCCUGGUAACUAUAGAUUUGCAGCUUAGGUAAUUAAUUUACUAAUUGUAUUCCCAUGUUUAGUGUGAGAGCAUGGGGACAGUGGAGAAGAAGCUGAAAGGAAAUGGAUUUGGAAUACGUGCGGGCAAUAGUGGAAGAAGGCGGGAUCUAUGUUCAACAACUGUUCUUCCGUGACCCAAAUGGGUUCAUGAUUGAGAUAUGCAACUGUGAUAACCUACCUACCAGUGAUCCCACUGGUAGGUGAGAUGGCUCGAUCAUGCUCCAGAGUGAAUGUGCAACUGCUGCCGUGUCAGUAGAUACAGCAAGUGGUUCAGCAGUAAGAGCAGCUGCAGGAGCAGAGCUGAGUCAUUUGAUUUAGGUUCAUGUUAAUAAAAAUCAUGAAAAAAAAGGCACCCUAUCUGCUUUGUUUUUUUCAUGUUCUUGUCUAACUAUUGUAUGGACAAGUCCUUAUUUUUCUUCACUUGGUUUAGUAGUUUGUUCAAUAUUAUUUAUUUUGUAAUUAAUAAAGACAAGGCCUAGAUGUGAUCCCAAGGGAAGUGAUCAUUUUAUGAGCUUAUUUUAAUUAAUUAAAAAUGGACUAUUCUCUAAAGUUUUUCUAGUACUCAAAAUUAUAUAAGGCCCCCUUCUCUUGUUGUGAAUGUUUUGGGGUUUCAAAUUCUACUAAUUUAAUGCACAAGUUGGAACUACUUUUGAUUGAUAUACAGUCUGAAAUGCCAUUCACAUGAAAGAGUUUGUUGGAAAUCAUGUUAUGAGCACAUAGUCUUAUCCUAAUUUAUUUAUCAUAGAAUGAAAAAUAAAAAUUUCAUAAAAAAUCAGAAUUUGAAUAGGAUUUUUCUAUCUAUCCUUUCAUAAAUUUCAAAUAAUACUAGGAUAUAUAGCUAUCAUUCACACCUCAUUUACGUAUUUAGAUUUGUUUCAAUUUUAGGGUUAUGGUCUAUCACUAGGUUACCUUUACAACAGGUCAUGUUAUAAUGUCAAUCUAAUUUCCAAAUUGGACAAAUUCAUCUCGUAUUAAUUAGAUUCAAGUUUCUAUCCCGAAUUACAAUUUCAUCUACAAUCUAUCAUACAAAUGUAAUGCUGAAAAAUCAAAUGAAUAACCGAUAAAGAAUCGAAAAUUAUGAUUGCACCUGUCCAAUGGAAGUUCAUUUUGGAGGCAGAGGAGAGUUAAGAAAACAAAAAAUAAAAAAAAAUAAAAGAUUGCAGAGAGUUGAGUAGUUUUAUAUAUGUUUAUGUAUCUUAGAGAUAUUUAAGCGUAGUUGAUAGGAUUCUGAAGCCCACAAAAUCUAAAUCCCAACCAAUCUUGAGUCCUGGAUUGGGACGGAAGUUGGCAAAAAGGUUCCCUCCAAAGCUGAAACCUGCGAUUUCUUCCUCUUUUAAGACAUUGCCAUGCUCUUAAAAUUGAUCAUUGAUUUGGCAUUCAUUUUGGCUUUGGAUUUACGUUUCAUCCCUUCUGUAUCUCUCAUUUCAUACUAUUACUAUUUCUUAACAACAAAGAUGCUUUAGUUAAACAUAAUCUCUAUUGGUGAUCAUAAUUUCAUCUUUUUUAAUAUUAUAAAAUAAUUAUUUUACCUUUAAAUAAAUUGGCCAUUCCUUCAUAGGUCUUAGAAUUGGUAAAGGGUUUCUUGUCUUGCCUCUGCCUGUUUGUGGCUAUUUGGAGGCAACCAGACGAACGAAAGAGAGUUCUUGGUUGAGUUGCUUCUUCGAUUUUUUGUUCAUGAAUAAGCGAUCCAAAGAAAAUUUGAAAUUAAAAUGAGAGAAACCGCUUGUCUCAACCCAAAAUUCUCAACCUACACAAGGCCAUAUUCAUUCGUUUUGUUUGGAUGCUAGGACUUCUGUCUCCCCCUUACCGAAAUGCGAUCUUGUAUUUUACUUUUUUCGAUUGGCGGCUGAUUUCUAUGCUUUUUAUUGGAAUUUUCUUGUCUUCUUGCAGCACUGUGUUUCAUCAUUUAUGAAUUUGAAAAUGAAAUUUCUCUCUUGGUGAUGUAUGGAAAAUAGAUGGAAAAUGGGUCCCGUGUGUUUUCUAUAUUCAGGAAGCAGAUAAUUGCGAAAAAUACAAUUAAAAUGUUAACAAUAAAAGUUAAAAAUAUAUUAAAAUAAUUUUUAAAUAGAUUAUAUUUUAUCAUCUGUCUAAUAUUAUAAAAUGAUCAUUUUACCCUUUAAUGAAAAUAAAAUAACUUAAAAUGUUAAUAAUAAAAUUUUAAAAAUAUAUUAAAAGAAUUUUCAAAGAAGAUAUAUUUUGACACAUUAAUCAAAAUAAAAUAAUUUAAAAUAUAAUUAACAAAGAAAUUAAAAAUAUAUUAAAAGAUUCCCAAAAAGUUAUAUUUAGACAUCUUUCCAACAUUAUAAAAUGACUAUUUACCUUUCUCAAAAUUAUAAAAUGAUUAAUUUACCUUUUUUAACAUUCUAGAAUAACUAUUUUAUUUUUUAAUGAAAAUAAAAUAACUUAAAAUAUAAAUAAUUUAAAAAAUAAAAAUUAUAAAAUUCGAAAAAAAAAAGAUCUAUAAAUUUUUUGUAUAUUAAAAAUUUAUAUAUGAAUUCAACAAUUUAAAAAAGCACCAAACGAUGCAUUUAAUAAAAAAAAAAAUUCUUAUCCUUCUAGAAAACGCCGGGGUUAAUACUAGCAACUGAAAUUAAGGACCCGUUUGAUUCCAUCACAUCGAAGCAAUGGAAUGCAAUGGGAUUUUGACCUCCAAUGCACCGUGGUUCGUGAGAUGCAUUUAGAUAGCGAUGAUGCAGUUGGGAGCUUCUGCACUGCUUUUUAGAUUUUUAUUUAAAGGAAAGGAUCCGGUGAUUUACUAAUCUCAACGGCAGUCAAAUGCUUUAAUGUAUUCGGUUUAAUGUAAAAUUAAAAAAGAAAAGGAUUUUCAAUUAUAAAAUAACUGCUUUUAAAGUAGGGAUAUUCUUCUUAUUGCAAGAUUAUCAGAUGUGGAAAACAGAGAUGGAGAUUACAGGGGAAAAACAGACGAGCAUUCAUCAUGAAAAUAUAGUUCAAAUUAUACAAAAAAAAAAAGCUUGUAUUAAUUUAAUUAUAUAAUAUAUGAAGGAUUGUUCUUUUACAUAUUUUCAACCUUCCAUAUCAUCUGUAUACAUUCAUCCAUAAUUGAUAAAAUACAAGCUAAAAAACAGAUUAAUGAGGCAAUUGGAAGAAGCUAGCACAGAAUACCAGUGCAAACUCUUAAAGAUAAAUGAAAGGGCAAUCGAUCGGAGUCCUCUAGCCAACAUUUUCUCGUAAUUCUCAAUGGAUUCCAGCCUCUGGAGCAAAAGUUGGUGCCUGAAUUUCUGGAUGAAUGCCUCGGCACUUUCGUUUAUGUCGACGAAUGGCUUUUUCCCUCUGACAUUGGACCUCAUGGCUCUAUGAUCUUUGAAGUUAUGGACAUUUGGUUCUGGAAUUUUGGAGUUGUGGUAUGAAUGAGGCAUGGAGCUGUUCUUCAUUGUAAUUGCAAGAUAGCUUUCUCUAAUUCUUUCUUCCUUGCACAACUCUCUUUGUUGAUAAGAUGAUGGUUUGGUUUCCCAUAUUUAUAGCUAAGAAGUCAAAUAAAAAAUGGGUUAUUUUAAUAGGCUGUGAUUCCAUUUCACAUUUUUUAUGUAGGAGCACGCCUUGCUAGAAUUUUCAAGUAAAAGAUAUCAACAAGUUCAAGUUAUAGAUGGAAAACAUCGUGGGAGGAUAUGCCAUGGUGCUUCUUUUCUUUUUUUUUUUGUAAAUUUUAUAACUUGUGCAAAGAUCUUCCUAAAUCCUAAUAGUCAUGCUUAGUAAAAUGAUGUAUUUUCAACAAUUCAGACUUAAUCUAAUGAUUUAAAAAGAUUGAGUUCCGCAAUUUGAAUCUUGAUAUAUACUAAAAAGAGUUAUAUGCACUUUUCUAUUAAUUUGAUUAAAAACUUUUGAUAAUGUUAAAAUGUUAGACCACUUACAUAUAAUUGAUAAUGGGUUGGUUUAGCUUAACAUUUCCCAUGUUAGGGCAAACAAGGUCCCUUAUUCACACUUACUACCCAUAUAUAGAAUUAGAGAUAUUAUUAUGUCUCAAGAUAUAGUAUGGACAUUAUGUUUUAUUCACAUGAUAUUAUAUAAAUUAAUACCGUAAAACGUUAAUAAAAUUUUAAAUUGCUCAAAAUUUUUAGUAAAAUUAUCGAGAAUCAUAUAUAAUAAUAAUAAUAAUAAUAAUAUAUCUUAUUCUAAAGAGAAAACUACAAGUGACUAAUUCUAGCAAUUAAGGGUUGGGAUAACAGACUGGGGAGUAUUACUGCCUACUCUGACCAUCUUUUUACUAUGAAGAAAGACCUAAGUUGUAAUUUUCCCACACGUAUUCAGGUAGUCAAAUUCAAAUGAAAAUUACGGCUUAAGCAAUGACCCAGCGGGUUGAGGCCCCAAGGUGCCCUUUCGAGGCACCAUUGUUGGGGAUCUAAGGACAAAAUAUGAACUUGCGUUUCUAUAGAUUUACAUAUAAUAAUUGUUAGAUAUCAUACCUGUUUUAGCAAAAGAAAUAGUAUAAAAUUGAAAGGUAGAUGCGUAGUUAAAAUAUUAUAAUAUUCUAAUCAUCCUAAUUAAUUUGCCUUAACUUUCCAUCCUAACUCUUCCUAGCCAUGAUACUCGAGCGAGUCCCAGCUGUCAUACUUUUGUUUGUGAAAUGGCACCACCAUGUUCCCUCCUUGGGCUUACAUCAAUGGUGGAUACACUUACAUAGUCAUAUUCAUCUUCAAUUCAGAAUUUUGUUUUAAAUUAUCUGUGGUUACACAGAUUUAAAUUAUCUGUGGUUGUAAUCUCUUAUCGUUACUGUCAUCUUGCAGUAUCAUGGAUUCAGAGCAGUUGUGGAAAGACAUCUGGUUUGGAUCGUGAUGGCCAGCCUAUCAAAGUAGAUGCUUCAGGGUGGCAGGCACGCAUUUUGCAGCAUGAUCAGUGUGCUCAUUUGGGUGGAACAUGCUAAGAUGGUUCCUAUAACUUUCAAAACUGUUCAAAACUUGGAGAUGCCUCUUGCUGAAGCUUGGUGCCCGCUAUCUCAUAUUUUUACAGACAAAUCCAGUCGGAGGAUGAUGCAAAACAAAUGAGGCAUAUAUAAAAGCUAGUCUAUGAAGCUUCAAAGUAAUAGAUUUGUUAUUUGGGAAGAUCUCUGGUUCGAGUUGAAAGCAUUGGAGUUCUUUGAAUGGAAUGCAAAGUCCAUUCAUUUCACGGUAUUCUAAACAGUUUGGUUUGAGUUGUUCACUCACUGCGGCUAGCGGUUGAAUGCUCUUACCCCUAAAUUCAUGGUUUGUACUUUUGUAUGUAAAGUUUAUUGAAAAUACACUUUCCGUAAUGUAACUUGAUCAUAUUUUCACAUUAUGCGGAACUAAUUAUAUUCUUAAUUAAAAGUACUAGAGCCAUUGACUUUUGUUCAUUGCCGGCGUGAUAGGCUAAAUAUACAUGGCUGCAAAGACAUUUAUCGUUGCCAUUAUCUUCUUCGGUACAAGGACAAUAUCUUUUAAUUAAGAUUGAUAAAAUUACAGUAGUUGAAAUUUGAGUUUUGCUUUUGUUAUAUAUUAUUUUUUGAAAGUGAUUAUAUAUGUCAAUUAAAUUGAUGGGUUAAUUAUGAUUAUUUCAUUUCAAACAACUUAAGAUCUUUAUUAAAAUCCCAUUUCAUUUCUUUUACCACUUGAUUUCGCACAAGUGCAUGGCCACUAUUGCAAUCAUCUAUCAUUAUCAUAGAAUGAAAGUUAGCAACUUAAGUGGUGUAGUGGUGACAUAUGUUGACAAAGACACAGAAUUUAUCAAUAUUUAAGAGUAGUAUUGCGAGAAAUAUUGAGAACUAAAUUUUGGGACCAUUUUUGGAUGUUUAAUGAUUUCUUUUUGAACUUUGUGUUUGGGUUUUCGUUAUUUUUUUUCUUCUUAUUUUGAAUAGAAUUUUAUACUCUAUAAUUUUUUGUUUAUUUAAUGUGUUAAUUUUAAUUUUUUUAUAAUUUAAUUUAUCUUCAUAUUAUUUUUAUUUAAUUGACUCAUUCCAAAAAUGAUGAUUUUUCACCUAAAAUAUGUUGAUUCAUGAAGAGAUAUUUUAAAUAUUAUUUGCAGUUUAUAAAUAUUUUUAUUAACAUUCAUUUAACAUAAUUUUACAUCUUAUCUCUUAAAAUUUAAAUCAUUAUCUCUCGUAUAUAUUCCUGUGUGUUUAUGUGAUUCAUGUUUAAAAAAUUCUUGAAAUGUAAUGCCGAAUUUCUUUAACUAAGCACUAUGUCAUUGGAAUAACGAUUUUAAUAGUCAAUUUGUAUUAUAGUGAGAAAACUAUUAUCCUUGAUAAAAUUUCUGAGAAGUGUCUUUCCUAAAUCUCUUCCUUCCUUGUUCCUAUGGGUUGCAUUAGUAGCAAACCAUCACUUACAACAUUAUCCCUAGUCAUUGUUUCUGCUUAUUUUUUUUUCCCUACGAUUUUGAAGGUACACUCAUCUUCAUGGACAUGAUGCAUUUAAAAUUAUACUUUUUUUUUUGGUGUUGUUAUGAUUAGAUGAAUUUGAUUGAAAGAAAAGCAGGUGUAAAGUAAGUUACAAAUAAAUAUGUUACGGUAUUAAGGUUGUAAUAAAAAUGUUUUGAAAAAACUAAUUACAAACUCCAAUGAUAAUACCAUUUGACAUUUAGCAUUUAGCAUCUGUCGGGGACAUAUAUGGCUAAGAAUUUAUCAGUUAUGCAUAUUUAGGAUAGAGUAGGAUUGGCCGGAUUGUCUUUUUCCUUCAAUUUGGAGAACAAUGGUUGCCUACUUGCUUUCAGCACACGUGAGAGAGGAGGCAACUCUUUUCUCUUUGUUGCUUUUGUUUUAUCAAUUCAAUUAUUAGAGGUGGACAUCAUGUCAAAAUGAAAAAGCAAAUAUCCCCUCAAUAAUGCAAAGUAUUGUUAUAAAUGUUGCUAUAAUAGAGAUUGGUAUAUGGGCAUAAAAAGAAAAAAAAAACACAAAUAAUUCUAGAUAAAGUGAUCGUAUUUAAAUAAAGCAUUAGAUCUUAUGAGGUUUUGGCUUAGUGAGUUAAUGGCAAAAAUGAGGUUUUAGAAUCCUGAAGUCCUUCAAGUUUCAUUAUAUGUAAGUUUUGUUCAAUUUUAUAUUGAAUUUGUUUAAUAAUAUUCUAAUUUAUUAGUUGAUUAUUUAUUAUUUUUUAUAUAUAAAUGUAAUAUUGAAUUAUAAUUAUAAAUUUUCUUCCAUUGAUUAAUUUUCAUUGAAAAAAUAAAGCAUUAGAAAUUAAAAAAGUCUAUGUAUAUAAAAAUAAAAAAGUUGAUAGUGCUUCUCUAUCCAUUUGUCAUAAUGCUUGACUUGAACCCUAAAUUUGCAACUUACUCAUUGCCUGAAAUAAACAUAUUAUUGUAGUAAUAAUUUCCACCUAAGAAAACUAGACUAUGAACAUCUUUCCAACAGAAGACUCGAAAACAUUUUUUUCCCUUUAGGAUGUGCUAUGUGAACAAAAGGUAUUGGGUGGAUUAAAGUUUCACUUUGAUAAAGUAAAGUACCGCUGAGAUUAGUUUCAUUCGAACAGAAUAAAUUUGAAAUUAAUUUCAGAGCUAGCUUUUUAUAAAUUAACAGAAAAUUUUUUAAUUCUAAAACGAGAUUAAGAGACUAGCAUUAGUGUUUUUUUAAUAUAUCCUAUAAACUGAGCUUUAGAUCAAUUGAUAUGUCAAUAGAACUGAUGUUUAUUGUGGGUUCAAAAAUGUUUAUGCGCAAAAAUUUUUUUAACCAAGUAAAUAUUAUAGUAAAGAAAAUUUACAGAUAGAUUAGGGAUCUCAAAAAAUAUUAAUAUAUCCUAAAAUAUAUAUCAUAUUGUUAACCCCAUUUAUAAAAUUUAAAAACUUCACUUACAAUGGAUGAAAUAAUUUCUUCUAGUUUCAAGAGUUCUUCGAACUUUUGUAUGAAUUGCUUUAACCAGUUUUUAGUUAAUUAUAGGAUUGAAGAUUGGAGUUUUUAUGGCAAAACUUGUUAGGUAGUUAAGUUGGGUUCUACAAACUCCUUAGUUAAAAAAAAAAAAAAUUUUAAAUGAAUUCACAAUUUCUUCAGCUUUGGAAGAAACAAUAUAAAGAAAAGAAGGCAUUCAAUAAUUCAUAGAUUAUUCUAUCAAAAAAAAAUUCAUAGAUUAACCUAACCAUAAUCUUCUUUUCUUAUGGCUCGAAAAUACCCUUAAUCCCCUUCCUAACCAGUGGCCAGUGGACCUUCAAGGACAUCUCUGAGAUGCUAGGAAGUAACUUUAAUGCAUGUAAAAGAAUUAAGAGCAAAUUGGGGGCAAGGGUCCAUUCCCCCCUAUUUGAAGAUCCCCUGAAUUCCUGANNNNNNNNNNNNNNNNNNNNNNNNNNNNNNNNNNNNNNNNNNNNNNNNNNNNNNNNNNNNNNNNNNNNNNNNNNNNNNNNNNNNNNNNNNNNNNNNNNNNNNNNNNNNNNNNNNNNNNNNNNNNNNNNNNNNNNNNNNNNNNNNNNNNNNNNNNNNNNNNNNNNNNNNNNNNNNNNNNNNNNNNNNNNNNNNNNNNNNNNNNNNNNNNNNNNNNNNNNNNNNNNNNNNNNNNNNNNNNNNNNNNNNNNNNNNNNNNNNNNNNNNNNNNNNNNNNNNNNNNNNNNNNNNNNNNNNNNNNNNNNNNNNNNNNNNNNNNNNNNNNNNNNNNNNNNNNNNNNNNNNNNNNNNNNNNNNNNNNNNNNNNNNNNNNNNNNNNNNNNNNNNNNNNNNNNNNNNNNNNNNNNNNNNNNNNNNNNNNNNNNNNNNNNNNNNNNNNNNNNNNNNNNNNNNNNNNNNNNNNNNNNNNNNNNNNNNNNNNNNNNNNNNNNNNNNNNNNNNNNNNNNNNNNNNNNNNNNNNNNNNNNNNNNNNNNNNNNNNNNNNNNNNNNNNNNNNNNNNNNNNNNNNNNNNNNNNNNNNNNNNNNNNNNNNNNNNNNNNNNNNNNNNNNNNNNNNNNNNNNNNNNNNNNNNNNNNNNNNNNNNNNNNNNNNNNNNNNNNNNNNNNNNNNNNNNNNNNNNNNNNNNNNNNNNNNNNNNNNNNNNNNNNNNNNNNNNNNNNNNNNNNNNNNNNNNNNNNNNNNNNNNNNNNNNNNNNNNNNNNNNNNNNNNNNNNNNNNNNNNNNNNNNNNNNNNNNNNNNNNNNNNNNNNNNNNNNNNNNNNNNNNNNNNNNNNNNNNNNNNNNNNNNNNNNNNNNNNNNNNNNNNNNNNNNNNNNNNNNNNNNNNNNNNNNNNNNNNNNNNNNNNNNNNNNNNNNNNNNNNNNNNNNNNNNNNNNNNNNNNNNNNNNNNNNNNNNNNNNNNNNNNNNNNNNNNNNNNNNNNNNNNNNNNNNNNNNNNNNNNCACAGCCUAACAUUCUCAAUACUUGCAGCGUUGAAAAAGCAGAUAUCAACUGUCUUGGAAUUCGUAUGGCAGGACUAAAGCAUUCCAAGUUCAAGCAUUUAAGCUUUUCUAAAGCCUUCAAUUCAAUUGGUAGCUCUCUUAUCCCUGUAUAGGAGAGAUCGAGACAUUCCAGAGACACCAAUUUCGAAAUUCCCACUGGAAAUUCUUUUAUAUAUCUAUUGUCUGACAAGUUUAGAACUUUUAAGCCACACGUAAAUUGGAAGAAGUCAUUAUUGAUCACCUGCAACUGAUUAUCGUUAAGAAACAGAGUUUGGAGUCAGGACAGUUAGGUGCUUCUACUAGAUUUUCAAUCCUAUUCUUCAACAAUGACAUCCUGCGUAUACUUCCCCAAUUCUGAACUUCUGGUAACUUAGUUAAUUGAUAACCUGCCUCCACAAAAAACCUCCACUUUUCUUCUUCACACUUACAUGUGUUGGGAUUUGCCUUGAAUCUCGUAAUCCCACAUCGAAAUUUAUAAGAGUUUUCAAUUUAUUUUUUAUCUCAUAUCGAGAGUUUAUUAAAGGUAUAAGGGGUUUUACUCUUAUAAAUAAUAUGUUUUAGGUUUAGUUUAAUAAUCUCAUAUGAUUAGAUACGAAAAUCUCAUAUAUUUAAUCACCAAGAGAACAACUAGGUAAGUAGGUUAUAAAAGAGUAUAAUUGGGUUUUGAGUUAAAUUUUGAAUAAAGAGUUUUUUGUGAUUUUUCUUAUUUUAAAAGUCUUUCAAUUGUAAAGAUUUAUUUGAUAGUGAAUUAGGUUCGGAGUAAAUCAUUUUAAGUUUGACCAAAACAAAUAUAUUUGUAUGUUGUUAUUCUUAAUUUGAAUUUACUAUUUUAUGUCUAGGUGCUGUGGUUGAUUUCCCAACAACAUGCUAUCCACAAACUCAUGUCAAGAAACAUGUCAUGCAUCUUUAUGCAAAAUUCAUUUAUUUCUUCCAAUAAACAUACAUGAAGAAGACAAACAAUGAUGUGGUGGCCUUGGUUUUGAGCUAAACUUGUAUUGCCACGUCCAUCCAAAAACCCCGCCCCUAUCCAGAAAUCUAUAAGCAUAUCUUUUCUAAUUUGGUAAUCCUUCGAGAACAAACUACAGUAUAAGAGGCAAGUUCGAAUCAUGUCAUUGGGAAGAGAAUCAAAACUGAAUUUUAGAAGCGGAUAUACCUCUUCAUCCACGUCUAGUAAAAUAGAGGCAGAUGAUCUCCGACACACUUCAAUUGCAUAUUUCCAUUCUUCAACUGUGUUCUUCCAAGCCAUGGCACGAGCAAUGGUGACGAGUGCGAGAGGCAGUCCUCCACACUCUUUGGCAAAUUCAUGAGCCAACUCACGAAUACAUGGAUUACUUUCAAGUGUUUCUUCACCAACUUUCUUUGAAAUAACUCCCAAGCUUUUUCUUCAGGCAAACACCGCACUCCAAUCUUCUUAUGAGCUUCCAUUUGGCCACACACCUUCAUAGAACAAGCUGUGAAAACUAGUUUGGAACCAUUUUCUUGAGUGGGGAGAGGUAUCCGAACCUUAGAUAGAUCAACUCGCUCCCACAUAUCAUCUAAUAACAUAACAAAUUUCUUUUCCUUUAAAACCCUAAAGAUGUUUUGAGCUUUUUCCUCUGGACUUUUGUUCUGCCAUGUUCCACCAGCUAUUCCCACCCUUUCAGCAAUGCCAUCUUGGACCUUUCCGAUAUAAAACCCUUUAGAUACUACUAUCCAAAUAACUACAUCAAAUCGAUUUGGGGGUUCAUAAAACUUGUUGUGGAUUUUGUUCAGGAGGCAUCCCAUGCCAUGCAGGCCAACAAUUCCCACUUGUUCAGCUUCAAGGAUGCUCCAAGCCUUGUCGAAUUUGGAUUCCAAACCAACAGUAUGUUCAGGAGGUCAUUCAGUCACUAGAGGUGUUGGUUCUUCCUCAGCCACCUUGUCAAAAACUCCCUUGCUCUUAUGAUCCACAACAUUUCGGAGCAUUUUGGCAAUUUGCUUCCCAAACUUCAGGUUGGACUUGGGACUCAUAGAACAACAACCUCCUAUACAUAAUUUCUUAAUUUCCUGAGGACUUUCCACAAUCAACAAUGAGCUCCCUUAAUCAAAGUUUCUGCCCUCGAAAGCCAUCAUUGAACUUGGUCUAGCCGCUUCAGCUGUUGCUGAUCUUCGGCUAUUUUCACACUUCUGAUAACAUCAUCCCUUAGACCAGUUCAAAUAUUUCAGCCUUUGUUGGGACUUGAGCUCAGUUGGCAACUGUCUUAUACUUGUCUUGGAUAGUUGAGAUAUUGCAAGGAAACAAGUUUUGAAAUUCCCUGGGUCAAUUCAGUUAUGCCACUAUUGCAGGACAGGUCUAACACUUUUAGAUUAGGCAUAGAUUGGAAGAAGUCAUUGCUGAUUGUCUUCUAUGUGUUUUCAUUGAGAAACAAGGUUAGUAGGUUGGGACAUGAAGGUGUUUCGAUUGGAUUCUGAAGGCAAUUUGCCAUUAGUGAUAUCCUUUUUACUGCUUCCCAUUUUUUGAUCUCUGGUGCUUCAAUUAAUCGAACACCUGCUUGCACUAAAAUACUUUCCUAAAAAAUAUUGCACCCAUUAGCUAUCCACAGAGCCAUAUCACGAAUCACAUCGUGCAUUUUCACAUCAUAACCUUCUCCUUCCAACACACAUGCAAAUACAAUUGUCCCAAUAAAGUCAUACCCUUGAUUUUGAGCUCCAUUUCUGCCAUUACAUUCAUCUAAAAGUCCUUCACAAAUCCAAUAAUAAAUUAAAUCAGUUUUGUGAAUGACAAAGUCUUUUGGAAAUAAAGUACAAUAUAAGAAGCAAGAUCUCACUUUCCAAUUAGGUAAAUGAUCAAAGAACUUCAUAAGAGGAAAGACCUUAUCCUCCAUACCUCAAAAUUCUGAGGCACAUUUUCUCAAAACCUCAAUUGCACGAAUCCAUUCUUGUGGUGUCUUCUUGCAGGCCAUGGCUCGACCGAUGGUGAUAAUUGCUAGUGGCAUACCAGCGCACUCUUUGGCCAUAAUUUCCGACAGCAUAGGAAUGUCUGGAUGCAAGUUGAAAGUAUCAUUUACCUGUCAGCUUGUGUUGGAAAGAGAAUAAGCGAACAAAAAGGAUUGUAAGUUUGAAAAUUCUAAUCAGCAAUCUGGAAUGUUUGUAAUUUAGCGUAGCAACACAAUGAGAACCAUCAUUCAAUAUUUUCCGAUUGAAGUAUUGAUUUCAUCACUGCUUCCAAGCUCCAGCCACUUCCGAUAAGAAAAAUGGGCAUGAGCAUCAAAGUAGUUUUCAGAUUUCACAAUAACGAAACGAAACAAUAUAUAUAUAUAUAUAUAUAUAAUAAAAUUGAGUUAGAUUAAUGUUUUAUAAAGCUGAUUAAUGUAACUACCUUAAUGAAUUAAGCAAAAUAUAUUAACUUUCUAUAUUAUCAAUUUGGUGGAUAGUUGGAUCAUAUUGAAACAAGCAGCUUCAAUUUUUUCUUGAACAAAAUGUCAGAACAAAAUCCACACAUUACACAAAAAUUAAUUUAUAGAUUUUCACCGAUCAUUGCAUUUAUUAAAAAUAUUAUAAAUGAAACCUACUCGCUGAUCUAGUAAAUUUAUCUUGAACAUUGUUUAUUACAAAUAAAAAAAUUUUACGUGCGGUAACGUACGAGACUAUUUCUAGUUCAUGUUAAUAAAGCAACAGUUCCAUUCAUUUACCCUGAGAUCAUGCAUAUAUUGUUGCUAUGGACCAUUGAAUAUUCUUUGUUGCCCAGAAGUAUGGUUUGCCUGAUCCCUCGUUAUAAAUGUUUACAUCCUCUUUCACUCCCCAUAUCAUAAUUUUUGGACUUUUUAACUGUUUAAGUGGAAGUUUUAACACCACGAAAUAAAAAUAAAUUAGCCUAACAAAAAAGAGAGAAGUUGAGAAAGCUCAUAACAGCUUCCAAAGAGCAUUUGCAACCACAAUAAUUAGAUUGUAUCAAUACUAACUUAAUAGAAAUUAGAAACUUCUGAGUAAAUGAUAUAAAUUUGAAAUUUUUAGUAUCUUCUACUCGUAUAAAUUACAAUACCUAUAGUGUAUUAAUUUUUGACAUAUGCGUAAUGUACAUGUCAUUUUUAUAUUUAAAAAAUUCAAUUAAAUAAUUUUUUUUUGUUUCUAUAUAAUAAUGAUAAAUACGAACAAUUUAAUUUUAAUUUUGAUAAUUUUUUAUAUAUUUUGAUAACAUUUGUUAGAAGUUUGAUCACUGUUCAUAAAUUUUUGGUAUCUUCUAUACAAUUUUGUUAACUUUCAAUAUUUAAUGACUUAUUAUAUAAUUUUGGUAACAAUUGAUAUAAUUUUGAUACUUUUUUAUAAAAUUUUGAUAACCGCUUGAUGUAAUUUUGAUAAGCUUUAUGAUAUACGUUGACUAAAUAUUUAAUUUGAGAGAUGAAACAUUUAUAUGAUUAUUCAAUUUAGAACUAAACAUUUUAUUUUAUAUGAAUAAAAAUUAAAUGCUAUGGAAUGUUUAUAAUUAAAUAUAUAUUUAGAUGAAAAUUUGUGAGUGUUUCACACACACUAUUAACUCUAAAAAAUAACAAUUAAAUGAAAAAAUCAAUCAUCUAUAAUUUUGUUAGUGGUUAAGUAUUAUUUUAAAUAAAAAAAUUAAAAAUAAUCCUAAAAUAGAGAUCUAUUUUUUAGGAAAAAAUUAGAAAAAAAAAACAUUUCAUUUUUUCUUACUAUUUUAAAUACAGUUUAAAAACAAAAAGUAAGAAAAUAAAAAUUAAAAGUUCUAGUAUUUUUUUCACAAUCAUUAAAUUUUCAAUUAUUCAACAUUAAUCUACAAAAAAAAAAAAUCACCACUCCAUACUAUAAUACUCAUGAAAUUCAAAACCCAAAACUAAACCCUAUAAAUAAAAAACAUUUCAUUUUUUUUUUAUAUUUUAGGAAAAAAUUAAAAAAAAACAUUUCAUUUUUUCCUACUAUUUUAAAUACAGUUUAAAAAUAAAAAGUAAGAAAAUAAAAAUUAAAAGUUCUAGUAUUUUUUUCGCAAUCAUUAAAUUUUCAAUUAUUCAAUAUUAAUCUACAAAAAAAAAAUCACCACUCCAUACUAUAAUACUCAUGAAAUUCAAAACCCAAAACUAAACCCUAUAAAUUUUUGUUUGUCUAAAAAUUUUGAAUUAAAACAUGUAUGAAAAAGACAAAAAACUGAAACCAAUGAUCUAACAUCACCCUAAUUAUAGAGCUCAAGGAUCAUAAACCCCUUCAAAAAUCAUCAAAUCCAAGGAAUAUCCCAUGAUCCGAAGGGUAAUUACCUGAACCCAUUGUCAAAAGAUCUAGAAACAACCCGUCUUUAGGUAAUUCACUGUUCAGCUGUACUGUUUCAUCCAAAAUCAAGCGUGAUGGGGACUCCGCUUGAAACUCAAUGGUGGAUUGCUCCGAAUGGGUCCUGGGAGGCUCUGAGUUUGCAAACUGGGCAACAACUGCCUGGAUUUCGAACACACACUUCCCCCAUUUUCACUUUCGAACACCCUUGAAUUGCAAAUUGCUUUUCUCAGCUGCAGGUUUCUCGCUUAUGUGUUUCACUAUAUUCUUUUCCUUUUCAAAUCUCUGGGAUUGUCUUGGGUUCUCUUUCUCAGUUCUGUCUUUAAGCUUAUUAGGCACACCUCAUAACCCUCACCUCCCCUUGAUUCAUUUCUUCGAGACACCUUUUCCAUCUCCAACUUCUUAAUUAUAAAAUUACAAAAAGAGAUUCAUUGAUUAGGUGUUUGUUAAUCUGGUUUUCUUCCAAAAUUUCAAAAUUGGCAUAGAUUGAGCAUGCACAACCUUUUAACGGCUCAACAAGGCAAGGUUUAAAAUUUCUAGUUUUUUUAUAUUGUAAAUAAAGGAGUUACAGCUAAAGAGAGAAAGUGAACACUAAGAGAAAGUAGUUGAAUGGAGAAAAAAAUUGAAUGAAAAAAAAAAAAAAAAAGAUAGCCCUUUGCAAGAACAGAACAAUGGGAGGCUUUGUAGAGAAACAAGAGUUGAAAGGAGAAAAUUUUGAAGUUAAGAUAAAAGGAAAAAAAUUUGGAAAGAAAGAAGAAAGAAAAGUUGUUGUGUUCUUAUAAAACUGAUGUUUUUAUUAUCUUUUAAUUUUUUUGGGGUUUUAGGGAAUAAAUUAGUAUAAUACACAACUAAACAAUGCAAUUAAACCACAUGGAGAAGACACGCACAAUUUGUCAUCUAAAUAUAUCCUUAAUUGUAAACGUUUAAUAAUGUUUAAUCCUUAUUUAUAUUCUUAAUUGUAAUCGUUUAAUCUUAAAUUGAGUAAUUAUGCAAACAUUUAAUCCUAAAUUGAGUAUUUAACCUAUUUUUUUUUUGUAAUUAUUGAUAAAAUUUGUGCCAUCAUAUAUUAAAUAUUGGAUUCCUACAAUAAAGUGUAGGCUUCAUGUUAGUAUAAGAUAAUUUUCUUUUUUAUAAAGUAACAUUAUUGCUUCAUUUAAAUUUAGAUUUUCUUUACUAAUUUUUUUAUUAAAUAAGCUCAUGGUAGAUUUAUCCUAGCCUCUUAAGAUAAAAGUUCUAGUUUCGUUUUUAAUAGUAACCAAGGUUCAAUACCUGACAACUUUGAAUAUAAAAAAAUUAUCAAAUAUUGAUAAUUAAGUUAUCAUUAUGUUAUCAAUGAUUUACUACUAAGUUAUUAAUAAUUUAUUACUAAAAUAACAUUAAUUUACAACUAAUUUAUAAAUGAUUUAUCACUAAAUUAUAAAUGAUUUAACAUUAAAUUAUUGAUAAUUUAUCACUAAAUUACUAGAAAUUUAUUAUAAAGUUAUAACUGAUUUCUUACUAAGUUACAGAUUAUUUAUUACAAACUUAUCAAUUGUUAACUAAUUUAUUGCUAAAUUAUCUCUAAUUUACAACUAAAUUAUCACUAAUUUAUAACUAUUUUAUUACUGAUUUAUUACUAAAUCCCCAAUGAUUUACUAUUAUACUAUUAUGCAUUUAUUACAUGUUAUCAUUGAUUUAAUACGUAGUUUUCGAUUAUUUACUAUGAAAUUAUUAUAAUUUAUUAUUAAAUUAAUCAUGAUUCACCAUCAAGUUAUCACUUAUUUAUAUUAAAUUAUCCAUGAUUUACUAUAAUAUUACUAGUGGUUAAUUAUUAAGUUAUAGAUUAUUCAAAAAAAAAAAUUAAGUUAUCGAUAAUUUACUACAAGUUAUAUUGAUUUACUUUCAAGUUUUUAAUAAUUAACUACUUAAUUAUUAUUGAUACUAUUAAGUUAUUUAUGAUUUAAUACUAAAUUUAUCAUUGGGAUAAUGUUACAAAUGACUCUUGAAUUAUAGUGAAAUGUUCAAUGUGGUAUUUAAAUUUUAAAAAUCUUUAAUGUGAUACUUAAACUAUGAAUUUGUUAAUUAAUAUGGUACUUAUCCCUAACAUAAUUAGUUUCAAAUGAUGAUACAUGGCAUACAAGCAACUUUUCAAGUACUGCAUUAGUUAAUAAUUUUAUAGUUCAGGUAUCACAUUAUAUAUUUCACUAUAGUUUAAGAGCCAUUUAUAACAUUAACCUUUUAUCAAUUAAUUACUAUUAAAGCAAAAUUGAUUUAUUUUUAAGUUAGCAUUGAUUUAUUGUUAAGAUGUAUAUGAUUAACUACUAAGUUACUAUUUAUUUUUUAUUAACAUAUCCUUGAUUUAUUAAUAUGCUACUAUAUAUUUACAAUUAAUGAAAUAUGGAAUUUAAAAAGUUACUGACAAUAUAUAAGAUAAUUUUAUUUUAUACGAUAAUAUUAUUAUUUAUUCAAAUUUAAAUUUUUUACUAAAUUUUUAUUGAAUAGAUUUGUGAUAGGUUUAUUCUAGCCCCUAAAGAUGAAAGUUUUUUAUUUGUUUCCGCCAUGAACCAGGUUCAAUCCCCUAAUAAUAAAAAAUCAAUGAUUAAUAAUUAAAUUAUUAUUUUAUUUACUAUUAUGUUAUUAAUCAUUUAUUACUAAGCUACCAAUAAUUUAAUACUAAAUUAUCAAUAAUUUAUUACAUAUUUAUAAAUGAUUUAUCCUUAAAUUAUGAAUUAUUUAUCGCUAAGUUAUUGAUAAUUUAUUAUAAAGUUAUAACUUAUUUAUUAUUAAUUUAUGAAUGAUUUAUUAUAAAAUUAUCAAUGAUUAACUAAUUUACUGCUAUAUUAUUACUCAUUUGUAGUUAAGUUAUUAAUAAUUUAUUAUUACGUUAUUGACGAUUUACUACUAAAUUAUCAAUGAUUUAUUAUUAUAUUAUUAUAUAUUUACUAUUAUGUCAUAAUUGAUUUACAAUUUAAUUUUCGAUUAUAUACUACAAAUUAUUAUUAAUUUAGUAUUAAAUUAUCCAUGAUUCAUUACCAAGUUAUCAUUAAUUUAUAUUACAUUAUCCAAAUUUACUAUUAAUUUAUCAUUGAUUAACAAUUAAGUUAUUGAUGAUUUACUAUUAAAUUAUAUUGAUUUACUUUUAACGUAAUGAGUAACUAUUAAAUUAUCAAUUAUUUAAUAUUAAGUUAUUAUUCACAAUAUAAAAAAAGUUAUUUAUAAUUCACUACUAUUAAUUAAUUACUAUUAAAAUAAAAUUGAUUUAUUAUUAAAUUAUCACUAAUUUACUAUUAAGUUAUUAUUAAUUUAUUAUUAAGUUAUCAAUGGUUAACUAUUAAGUUGUCACUUAUUUUUCAUUAAAUUAUUCUUGAUUUACUACUCUCUUGUUAUUCAUUUACAAUUAUAUUACAAUUAAUUUAUUACUAAAUUAUUAUGCAUUUACUAUUAUAUUAUUAUUGAUUUAUUACUAAGUUAUCAAUUAUUGACUAUUAAAUUAUUAUUCAUAUAUUGAUUUAUGCAUGAUUUACUAUUAAGUUAUUAUUGGUUAAUUAUUAAGUUAUCAAUAAUUACUAUUAAGUUAUACUGAUUACUUUUAGCUUUCAUUGAUUAAUUACUAAAUUAGCAAUCAUAUACUAUUAUGUUGUCAUUAAUUUGCAUAUAUUCAAAAAGAAAGCAACCGUAAUGAAUGCUAAAUGAUGUAAUUUAUAAGAUAGAGAAAGAAGUAAGAAAAUGUUUAAACGUAGAUGACUUGAAAAACAAAAAGUAAAUGCUCUUAAUUUGCUAUUUGUAGUUUAGCAUAUAAUAAUAAGUUAAAAUCCUAACUUUUUAUACUAAUGUAAGUAUCAAAGCAAAGUUAAAUUAAUGUAUAAUAUAUAUUAAGUUAAUAUUUUUAAAAUAUUCUUUAAAUUUUUUAAUUCAUUGUAAAAUAGUACAUAUUAAGAUAAAUUUUGUUAAUAAUUUGAUUGAAUGAUUUGUUAUAUAUUUUUAUACUUGUUAGCGAAGUACAAUUUCUUAUAAAAGAUUGAAAAAAUUGAAGUAUUAUGCCAACAAUGAAAAUAAUAAACUUUACCUUAUGUUUCCAUCUUUAAGUAUAUAAUUUUAGGUAAAAUUUAAUUAUGCAAAAGCAAUGAGAAAAAAUUUACUAAAUAAAAUUUAUAAAAAAUAAAUAGACAAUAAUUUUUAAAAAAUUAAGUUUAUAAUAAUUACUUUCACAUUCUCUUUCAAAAAUUUCUUUUAUUAAAUGAAAAGAUAGUAUAUUUCUAAUUGUUAUUUCAUUUUUAUUACUAUCAUUCAAAAUGCAUUUUUUUUUUUUUAUAUUUUGAUGUCAACCAACUUUUUCAUUUGAAAAGAAUAAAGAUUAUAAGGGGUCAUAACGACCCAAAUAAUAUAUAACUGUAUGUUAUCUUCCUAAAUAAGUUUGAACUAUAAUAUCUACUUCAAAUGAAAUGUUUAAGUUGUUUCCUUCAAUCUAUAUCACAGCAACUUGAUUAGCAAGACUUGGGCAUAAGAAUUUCAAAAUCCUUAAAAGAAGAUAUAUCAUUUAAUCUUUGCACAAUUUGGGUAUAUGAAUUUUCUUCUAGAAUUAUCAUUAAUAUUUCCAUAACUUUUGCACUUAAAUUUUUUUUUUCAUUCUAUUUUGAAAUUUAAUACCAAUGUCAUAAAAGUAUAAUUAAAAAUAAUAUGAAUUAAUUAACUCAAACUUGAAAUAAUUCAAGACUCAUAUUGAGUAUACAUAAAAUUUUUACGCUUUUUGAAUUUUACUAUAAUUAAAAAUAAUAUAAUACACAUAAUUAUAAAAAUAAACAAAUUUCACUUGAUUCAAUUGAUUUUAAACAAUCAAAACCAUAGUGGUUAUUUAAAAUAUGAAAUCACUGAACCCAAAUUUUGAAUUGACAUAGCAAUACAAUCAAAAUCCAAUAUUUUUAUUUUAUUUGAAUUUAAGAUGAUUUUAAAUCCGGCUUUUUAAAGAACGAAAAGUUUGCAUCAAUUAUUAUGUCAAAUUUAUUCAAGUGAUAAGUGAAUAAUUAAGUAUACAAUAAAUAGAAGCAAAUAAAACUUAACUCAACCUAAUUGAUAUUGAUUCUAAAAUUAAAACCCAACUUGAAAUUAUGAGUAGUCAAAAUUCAAAAUAAUUGAAAUACUAGAUACAUAAUUAAAUAAAAAUUUAUCGAAAGAAUUUUCUUCAUUAAUGCUUUUAAAUCACAUUUAAGUUUAGUUAAAUUAUAAUGUAUAAUAAUAUUUUUAUAUUAAAUAUAAUAGUGAUAAUUAAUUUGAUGAAUUUCAAUACUUUUGAAUAAAUAUUACCCAACAUAGUAACCUUAAAAAUUUUUAUAUAAUCAUGAACAUUCCUUUAACUUAUAUAAUGAAAGAAAAAUGAAAGCUAUACAAUUUUUCCUAAAAAGAAUUUUAUAAUUGAUCCUAAAAGAAUUUGAAAUCAUUAAAAUUAUAUAUUUUUCAUUGAAAUAUCAUAUAGCACUAACCUUAUUGAUAUGAAUAAGAUAGAACUAUGUAUAAUCAGUCAAUUUUUUCUCUCAUUUUUUUUCUUUGGAAAAUCUUUUAUUGUUGCUUCCAUCAAUUAAAUGUAAUUCUACAUUCUACCAAUUAAAAACAUAAAUUUUCUUUUAUUUAAAAAUUUUAUUAUACAUAAAUUUUGAUUAUAUAAAAAUAUCACAAUACAUAAUUUUAAAAAUUAUAAUGAAAUAAAAAAGAUUUAAUUAAUUUCUUUUUUGAAUUAUUUCAAGCGACUAAAAAGAUUUAAUUAUAUAAAUUAUCAACUCAUAAAAUAUACAAAUAAUAAAAUUAUUAACAUACAUAUAUAGCUAGUAAAUCAAUUAAAAUAAAAACUUGAAAGGAAAAAAAAUAGAAAUAAAACAAAUAUGCUUUAAUGAUUUGGGAGUCUAAUAAUGAAAAGAAACUUCAUUUAAAUUAAAAUUUAUAAAAAACUUAUUAUGGUACUUUAAUCAAUCAUUUUUAACAUUGUAGGAAUUAAAAAUUUAAUAAGGAUAUUUUAAUCAAUCACUUUUAAUACUUUUUUAGCGUAAUUAUAAAAAAUUUAAUAAUAAAAAAAAAUUAAUUUAAAUUAAAAGUUAUAAAAAAAUUUACUAAGAAUAUUUUAGUGAAUCAUUUUUAAUCCUUUUGGAAUUAAAAUUUCAUAAUUUUAAGCAGUUUAAUUUCACAAAAAAUCUAUUUUUAAUUUUAGUUGAUUUAAAUUAAAUUUAAAUAAAUUAAUAAAAAUUAUAUAUUUAAAAAUAAAUUUGUUAAUUUAAAGAUUUAUAAAAGUAUUUAAGUCAAUCAUUUUUAACACUAUUAAAAUUUUAGACUAUUAAAAUCAUUUAUAAAAGAUAAUAAUUUAUAAUUAAAAAAAGACGAGAAGAAUAUAAAUAGUUACUGCACGUGUUUAAAUCAAGAAAAAGUUGAUAGCAUAACAUGUUAGCUGACCAUAAAUAAAAUCACACAAAUUGAGAUAUUUAGGUUGAAGCUAAAAUUAUUUACUCAGCAUUAAAAUGCAGCCUAUAUUUAAAUCCAUAUAAGCAAAAGAUUCACCAUUAACUUAGUCAAUUUAAUGAACAUCAUACAAAUGAGAAGAUCAUCCACGACUUUAGAACACACCGCAACAGCUUCAAACACAACAAUUAUAACAGAGACUAAAGGUAAAAGUAAUAUGUUUACUCUGCAACUUCAGUAAAUAGAAGAAAAUCGUUUAGAGCACAUUCAUCCUCCCAUUGAAGCUCUUUCCACCAUUUUUUCUCUCCUCUAAUGCUGAUUUUGUUUUCCUUUGCACUGUUGGAGUCGAGUGGAAGUCUUUUCAGCUUUGGGCACCGAUGAACAUAAAUUUCUUUCAAACAUGAGAAGGGAAGUGUAUCCCAGUAAAGCAGGGAAGAAAAUCGUUUAGAGCACAUUCAUCCUCCCAUUGAAGCUCUUUCCACCAUUCUUUCUCUCCCCUAAUGCUGAUUUUGUUUUCCUUUGCACUGUUGGAGUUGAGUGGAAGUCUUUUCAGCUUUGGGCACCGAUGAACAUAAAUUUCUUUCAAACAUGAGAAGGGAAGUGUAUCCCAGUAAAUGCUCUUCAACUCUGGCAAAUACUGUAAGAAAAGAGACUCGAGUUUUCCAAAUAGGGUUAAAGUUUCUACUAGCUCAGCCACUUGACUCAGUUUUCUCUUAUUGAUUAUUUCUUCCAUAUUGUUGCAGUCCACUACAUUAAACUGCCUCAGGUUUGGAGCGAGAAUUAGCCAUGUUAUGUCCUUCAAUUUUGAACAUUCGUAUAUAAAUACUUCGCGAAGGCUUUGGAAGCAAUGUUUGCUUGCAAUCACAGAGGUUUCAAUGUGGCUCUGUGCUUUUAUCAUUCUGCCCAACCCUCCCCACUCCAUCUCCACUUCUUCCAAACUUUCAGACUUCCCAAGGUCUAGAAAUUCUAGACUCUUCAUAUUCGCUAAAGAUAAAAUAUUCAAUCGCUUCGAGUCCUUUACCAGUAGAAGCUGAAUAGCUAAAGUGCAGCUGCAUAACCUUUCAGUACGCAAAAGGCUAUCGAGACCCAAAGCACUUGUUGUAUUGACAGUCAACACAUUCAAAUGGUUCAAGCACUUCAAUUCUUCCACCAAACAUUCACUAUUAUCUUCCACUUCCUGGCCCAAAGAAUAACAGCGAAACAUUCUCAAUACUUGCAACUUUGAAAAAGUAGAUAUCAACUGUCUUGGAAUUCUUAUGGUAGACUCAGAGUAUUCCAAGUUCAGGCAUUUAAGCUUUUCUAAAGCCUUCAAUUCAAUUGGUAGCUGUCUUAUCCCUGUAUAGGAGAGAUCGAGACAUUCCAGAGACACCAAUUUCGAAAUUCCCACUGGCAAUUCUUCUAUACCUCUAUUGCCUGACAAGUUUAGAACUUUUAAGCCACACAUAAAUUGGAAGAAGUCAUUAUUGAUCACCUUCAACUGAUUACCGUUAAGAAACAGAGUUUGGAGAUCACGACAGUUAGGUGCUUCUACUAGAUUUUCAAUCCUGUUCUUCAUCAAUGACAUCCUGCGUAUACUUCCCCAAUUCUGAACUUCUGGUAACUUAGUUAAUUGAUAACCUGCCUGCACAAAAAACCUCCACUUUUCUUCUUCACAUUCACAUGCUAUCCACAAACUCAUGUCACGAAUCACAUCAUGCAUCUUUAUGCGAAAUUCAUUUAUUUCUUCCAAUAAACAUGCAUGAAGAAGAGAACCAAUCAUUUGGUGGCCUUGGUUUCGAGCUAGACUUGUAUUCCCAUGUCCAUCCAAAAACCCCUCUCCUAUCCAGAAAUCUAUAAGCUUUUCUUUAUCAAUUGGGUAGUCCUCUGAGAACAAACUACAGUACAAGAGGCAAGUUCGAAACAUGUCAUUGGGAAGAGAAUCAAAACUGAAUUUUAGAAGUGGAUAUACCUCUUCACCCAUUUCUGGAAAAACAGAGGCAGAUGAUCUCCGACACACUUCAAUUGCAUCUUUCCAUUCUUCAACUUUGUUCUUACAAGCCAUGGCACGAGCAAUGGUGACAAGUGCGAGAGGUAGGCCUCCACAUUCUUUGGCCAAUUCAUGAGCCAACUCACGAAUACAUGGAUUACUAUCAAGUGUUUCUUCACCAACUUUUUCUUGAAAUAAUUCCCAAGCUUUUUCUUCAGGCAAACACCGCACUUCAAUCUUCUUUUGAGCUUCCAUUUGGCCACAAACCUUGAUAGAACGAGUUGUAAAAACUAGUUUGGAACCAUUUUUUUGAGUUGGGAGAGGUAUCCCAACCUUAGAUAGAUCGACUCGCUCCCAUAUAUCAUCUAACAAUAAGACAAAUUUCUUUUCCUUUAAAACCCUAAAGAUGUUUAGAGCUUUUUCCUCUGGAGUUUUGUCCUGCCAUGUUCCAUCAGCUAUUCCCACCCUUUUAGCAAUGUCAUCUUGGAUCUUUCCGAUAUAAAACCCUUUAGAUACUACAAUCCAAAUAACUACAUGAAAUCGAUUUGGGGGUUCACAGAACUUGUUGUUGAUUUUGUUCAGGAGGGUUGUCUUGCCAACCCCUCCCAUGCCAUACAGGCCAACAAUUCCCACUUGUUCAGCUUCAAGGAUACUCCAAGCCUUAUCGAAUGUGGAUUCCAAACCAACAGUAUGCUCAGUAGGUCGUUCAGUUACUAGAGGCGUUGGUUCCUCCUCAGCCACCUUGUCAAAAACUCCUUUGCUCUUAUGAUCUACAACAUCUCGAAGCAUUUUGGUAAUUUGCUUCCCAAACUUCAGGUUGGACUUGGGACUCAUAGAAAAACAACCUCCUACACAUAAUUUCUUAAUUUCCUGAGGACUUUGCUCAAUCAACAAAUGAGCUCCAUUAAUCAAAGUUUCUGCCCUCGAAAGCCAGCCUUGAACUUGGUCUAGCCGCUUCAGCUGUUGUUGAUCUUCAGCUAUUUUCACUCUUCUGAUCACAUCAUUCCUUAGAUCCGUCAAUUCUGCUAAUGCAAUUUUUAAAGCUUCUACGUUUUCUUCAAGCUUGCAUACAAACUGUGCUUGUCCGGCAACACAAUCACAGCAGCGGGUAAUGACAGUGUCGCAUGAAGCUGAGAUCGAGAAGAUGUUACCCAUAGUUAGGCUUUGGUUUUAAAGGGGGAGUUGAACAAUUUCUGGAAAGGAGAAAAAUGAACGAAAUCAAAGAUGCUUUUUGGAAUAUCAAGCCAAAGGGUGAAAAAAUGAAAGAAAGAUAUGCAGAAGGGAACAGAAGGCAGAGAAUAUCUCCUGGAAGUUUUUUUUUGUUUGCUAAUUCUAACUUAACCAAGGGUGUUGGGAGUAGUUGCUGUGGGAUUACUACUAUUUGCCACUUUCUACUUGUUUACUCCAUUAAAAAUAUUCUGUUUGCUAACCGAUUUAACUGGUAAUUAUACCACAACCUACAGAGAAAAACACAUCAGACAAUUUACAUGUAAUGAUAUGAUUUUUUUUUAAAAUUUUGGUAGGAUCAAAUAAUAAUUAUGUUAAAUUGGUUCUUGUAACAAUCAUGCAUGUAUGUUUUCCGAGCAAAAGAUGGCCUUGGGGCCGGGGUGGCUUUUGGCAUCUACCUUUCGGCAGAGGCGGUCAAGAGGAAGUUGCACAUCAAAAAAAUGCAUUAUACUUAGUGACAAAUUAGUCAAUAAUGACUUUAAAAAAUUAAUUUAGUGGGGUGGGUUUUCUGUUGUGUGGAAUAUGCACAAACUUGGUCCAAUUUGGCGUGCACAUCGACGACUAAAUAAACCAAAUCACUUUCCUUUAAGAACAUUGGUUAAAAUUUUUACCUUUUUCACUGGACCUAAAGAAGAAUAAUUAGACAUAAUUGAAAUAUCAUAUGUGGAAAAAUAGUCAGUCAUUUCGAAGAAGAAAAAUAGAAAGAAUGAGUUUUUAAAAUCUUAAAGUUUCAAAUUUAAGUUUUAUUGUAUUUGAAUUUAGUUUAUUUUAUGUUAAUUUAUUUAUUUAAUAAUUUAAUAUUUUUUUAUAAACGUAUGAAAUAUGUGAUUUUUUAAAUUAUUUGAUUAUAAUUGAAAUUUUUAAUUGUAAUUACAUUCAAUAAAAAAAGAUGGUUCCUCCGAAUACUAAAUUUAUCAACCUUGGUUAUGGAAACUUUGUUUUGAUAAUUGAAGCAUAGUAAGGGUAUUUUGAUCCAUGUGCACAUAAUUAAUCUCUUAUAGAGAGAUAAAAUUGGCCCAAUAAUCCUUUGAUUUGGGAAAAAAAUUUAACAGAUUCUACGUUUUUUUUUGUACGAAGGAAAGGAAUUCAGUAUGAGAAGAGGUUUCGGGGUCUUUGUCAAGAAUUGGAUGUUGAGGCUGCCAUUGAAGCAUCACUGAAAACCUUCGUUUUGUAGUUUCAAAACAUACAUUAUUUGUGUAAAAGGUGCGAAUUAAAUUGAAUUUUCCAUGUUAGAAAAUUCAUGGAAUUCAAUUUCGAAGGCAGCUAAGCACCUGUACUGAUUGAAAUAGGGUGAGAGGAGGAGGGGUUUUGAUUGGAGCUGGGAGCUGUCUAUCCUUGACAAAAGCAAAAAUUGGACGCACAGCAUAUGCUUGUUAGGCAAAGGACUUUUACAGGGGAAAAAACAACUUAUGAGAAAAGGCCAUGUAGCUCCAAGAUUUAUAAGACUCUUGAAAUUUCUUUGCUGUUUACUAUAAAGCCAAAAAUUUUCAAUAACAUAAAAAAAAAAGAAGAAAUUUCAUUAAAUUUUUUAUAAUAUCAAUAAAAUGUUAGUAUAUUUUUGGAGUUACCAGUAUUUUACAUUGCAUAGGCGGAAUUGUUGUUUAUAAGUUUAAAUUGUGAAUAAAUUCAAUAUAUUCAACUUAAAAAAAAAAAAACCUUUUUGACAUGUUCUUUCUUCUUUUCCUCCAUUUUUCUUGAUAAUUAAUUCCUAAAGCUUCAUUGACAUAUUCACCCUUUUAGAUAGCAAUUGUGUGUUCCAUUAAGCGGUUGGGUUGUAUUCUAUAUAAGAUUUUUAUUUUUUGUCAAAUGUGCGUUCUACAGAUAUUAAAACGGUGUACAAUCCAUUAAAAUAAUAAUAAAUUUCAUUUUUAUAAAUAAUAUCAAUAAGUCUUGGGAGCAUUUGAUGUGGGAAUUACUAGUAUUUGCAAUUUUCCACUAGUUUAUUCCAUUAAAAAUAUUUAGUUUGCUAAUCAAUUUAACUGGUAAUUAUACCACAACCUACACAGAAAAACAUAUCAGACAAUUACUAGUAGAUAUAAUCAUAUGAUUAUGUUUUUUCUCAAUAAAAAUUAUAGGAUCAAAUAAUAAUUAAGUUAAAUUAAAUUAAAGUUGGUUUCUUGUCACAAUCAUGCAUGUAUUUUUCUCAGCAAAAGAUGUCUUUUGGAGCUGAGAAGGCUUUCCGUAUGGCAUUUUAUAUUGGCCAAAGGAAGUGAAGAGGAAGGUGCACAAUAAAACAAAAUAGUUUAUAUUUAAUGUAUUAUUAACGUAUAAAUUUUAUAUAAUAUUAAUAAUUCAAAUGAUAUCAUCUCAUUAAUGCAUAAAUAUUAAUUCUUAAAAUAAAUAUACAAAAAUUAAUAUUUAAAAAAAAUUUUACUCGUUAAUGAAGUGAUAUCAUUUGAUUCUCUUCAUUAAUGAGAUGUCAUCAUCAUAUUCAUUACUAUCGCUGUGUUUGCAUUUAAAUAUAUAUUCUAUUACUAACUUUAAUCUUAUUAUUAUAAUAAUCAAUUUUACUAUUAUAGUAACAAAUCUUAUCUCCACCACUAUUUUUAAACUCAUCGAAGCCAAUCUUAUCAUUCAUCUAAAUGGACUUAAGAAUGAGUUUUUAAAAUCAUUAAGUUUCAAAUUUAAGUCUUAUUUCAGGUGAAUUUAAUUUAAUUUUAUGUUGAUUUAUUUAAUUAAUUUCUUUUUUUCAUAAAUGUAUGUGUGUAAUAUGUGAUAUAUGAAAUUAUUUCAUUGUGAUAAAUUUUUAAUUGUAAUUACAAUCAAUAAAGUUGAUAAUUCUAACAAAUUCAUUAACUACAUGAAAAUUUUGUUUUCAUCAACUUAUUUAUUUUUGUAAAAUAUAAAAGAUAAUGAAAACAAAACCAAUGAAUUUAAAUAGAGUAUAUCUAUAUCAUAUUUUUAUCAAGUCAAACAUAUGUAAAACAUAAAAAAUUGUAGCAUCAAAUUUGUAUAGCGCCCAAUAGAAAAGGUUUUUUUUUUUAUCAAAUCCAUAUAUAAUUUUUACUAAAAUUUUAAAUUAUUUAGCUUUUAUAUUUUUUUCAUAUUAUUUUUAUUUCGUAUUUAAAAUUAUCAAAUCUAAAUUUAAGCUUAGCAACAAUGUUUUGAUUGGUUUGCACAUGACUAAGCUCUCACAGAAAGAUACCAUCGAAAAACAUAGUAGUCAAGCAUAUAAACAUUUCUAUUUUCUAAAUCUGAGAAUUAACCCAAAUGAUUCACUCUCCUUAAACAAGAUAAGAUCAUAAGGUAAAAAUAUUAAUGAUAUUAUAUCAUGAUUAAAAUAAAAUUUUAGACAAAAAAAAGGUUAUUCUCAUGAAUUAUGAAAGAAAUAAAACCAAAUCUAAAUUAUCUAAAGGUUUGGGAACAUGAAGCAAUUGUAAAAGUUUUCAAAACCAGGAAAUUAAAGAUGAAUUAAGUACAUUGGUUAUGCAUAAUUACAUACAAUAAAGUAUGUAGAUUCAUGUCAUAUUGAAAGAAUAUAUAUUCAAGGUAAUUCAUCAAGUUACUAAAAAAAAAAAUUCAUAUGAACUAGAAACAGAAUUCUUCUAAAUCGAAGAAUAUAAAUACCUAAUACAUUUUAAAAUAUAGAGUUAAAAAAGUAAAAUUAUGUUUUAAGUUUUUUAUUAAAAUAAUAAGAAUCACAUGACUCAUAGUUCUUAAUGAUACUUGUUUUAAGAACAAGUUGCAUAUAAACCUAUAUAACAAGGUUUGUUAUGAAAUCCUAUUUUAAUGCUUUGUGGAAACAAAUGAAAUUCAAGGAAUAGCAUUCUCAAAAGAAAUUAUAAAUGAUUAAUUGUUUUACAGUUAUGGUUAAUAAUAUAUAUAUGUGUGUGUGUGUUAACAGCUUAAUUUUUUUGUUGCAAACCAAUAAAUUACAAAAGAAACUUAAUAGAAAAUAAAAUUUGAUAUAAUUCUGGACAAACACUGAAGCCAAGUAUUGUUUAGAGAAUUUACACAAAUAUAAAAUGAUUAUCUUGAUAUAUUUACACCAUAAAAAAAAUUAAUUAUUACAAAAAAAUUUAUAGCAUUGAUGUUAAUUCACCAAAGGAAAUGAAAUUCACAUGUUUAUAAAAUGAUGAAUUAGACAAAAGGAUGUGCAUGGAAUAAUCUUCUUCAAGAAAAGAUUAUAAAAGCACUUAAAUUAGUUAAGUUCUUAAUUAAACUUAAUAAACUUCUAAAAAAAUUAAAAUUUGAUGAGAAUUUUGACUUCUAAUAUCAUGUAAUGAAUUAUACAGUUAAAUAUAUUUAUAAUAAGUUCAAAAAAUUAUCAUCAUUUGACUAUAUAAAGAUUAUAUGUUUAGUAUGGAUCAAGAAUAAGUUAAAAAUAUAAAAUUCUUGUGAAGCUGAAGGGUACUUGUGAAUCUGAACCUUUGAUUUUCUAACUCAAAUUAUGAAUAUUUGAGUUUCCAUUACAAAUUUCAUCAAAUCUGAUCUAUGACUCUUCUGGACGUGAUUGUCGAUGAGUGUUUUGUUAGGAAAAUGGGGUUCAGCCCCAUUUAAGUGGUUUUGGACCAAGUAAAGGCCAUAGGCCUUGAUCUUUCAUUUUACACAGAGCCCUAGCUACUUAAUAAAAAAAAGGUGGGGUUGUUUUAAGGGAGUGUCGAAAACCAAGUAGAAAAAGAAGAAAAGUCAGAAAAAGCAUAGAGAAAAAGGAGAAGGGAGAGUUAGUUGAACGAAAGUCGAUUUGUGGUCCGAUUGAGUUGGAACCUUGUCAGGAGGUUUAUGAUUCAGAGUUCUAUAUUUUGAAUAGUGAAGAUCGGGUUUGAAGCUCUCUAGGAACAAAUCCAGGGUGUAUUUGUUGAGUCACUUAUUUGGUGAGAUUUCUCCAAUUAUUUUCUAGUUGUUGUUUAGCUCUAGUUUUAGCUAGAGAAGAACUUUGUAUACCUAUUAUUUGAUAGUGAAGAUUUUUUUGGUGAUCCGUGAUUUUUUCCUCUACACUGAAGGGUUUUUCACGUAAAUCUUGGUGUGCUUUAUUUUUUCUAUAUUUUUUUAUUAUUGAUUGUUGUCUAUUGUUUCUGUAUUGUUAUGAUUAUUGCUUCAGGCGCAACAAGUGGUAUCAAAGCUAGGGUUAUUUUAAGACAUCGAUACAGAAGCAACCCAGGAUAUAAGUAAAUUUUGUUUAAGAUCAUAAAGGGUGAUACAGGUUUCAUGAUAAAAUUGACAGCAUUGAAUUAUUCAAUUUGGAAGCCUAUGAUGGAAGAUCAUCUAUACUGCAAAGAUUUGUAUGAGCCAGUAUUAGGUGAUUCGGCUAAACCAGUAGAUAUGAAAGAUGAAAGCUGAAAUAGGCUAGGUAGAAAAACACUGGCUACAAUAAAAAAAAUGGGUUGAUAUCAGCGUGUUCCAUCAUGUAGCACAGGAGUCAGAUGCUUACAUUAUUUGAGAAAAAUUGAUAGCAUUAUAUGAGAGAAAAAUAGGUAUGAAUAAAGUUAUGCUUGUUAAAAAGCUUGUAACUUUACAGUACAGGGAUGGACGAUCUGUUACAGAGCACUUGAGUGAUUUUCAAGAUAUAUUUAAUCGGAUGACUACUAUAGAGCUUAAGAUGGAUGAUGAAAUGAAGGCGUUAUUUUUUUUGGGUUCAUUGUCAAACAGUUGGAAUACUCUAAUUGUGACUGUUCUUAAUUCAGCUCUUGAUUAUAAAGUGACAUUAGAGAUGGUAAAGGACAGUAUGCUUAAUGAAGAAGCAAGGCAAAAAGAUGUAAACCCUGGGAAUCAAGCUCUGGUCACAGAAAAUAGGGGUAGAAACAUCGACAGAGGUCAGGACUCAAAAGGUUUUGGUAAGUCUAAACAUAGAUCCAAGUCUAGAGGUAUAGCGAAGUAUUUCUAUUGUGGUAAGGCAGGUCAUAUAAAAUGAAACUAUAAAAUCUUAAAGCAAGAGUGAAAAGAUAAGAAAGAUAAGAGUUCAGAUGAUGGUAAUGCUACAACAGUGAAUUCAAAUAGUGAUUCAAUUACUUUGAUUUGCACACAUGGUGAAUGUAAUCAUGUUAGUGAUCCCGACAUUGAGUGGAUAGUUGACAUAAGAGCGACAUAUCAUUAUGUUUUUAAGAGAGAGUUGUUUACAACUUACAAAGCAUGAGACUUUGAUUAUACCAAGAUGGAAAACAAGAGUAUGUCGUAGAUUGUUGAGAUUGGUGAUAUUAGUAUACAAACUACUACAGGCUGCAUGUUAACUUUGAGGGAUGUCAGACACAUUUCAAAUAUGAGAAAGAACUUACUUGCUAUUAAUGUUCUUGAUAAGGAGGGAUAUGAAAGUCGAUAAAAGAAUGGAUAGUGAAAGCUUAUCAAAGGAUCUAUGGUAGUUGCAAGGGGAAAACUAUGUUGUACAAUGUAUAAGACAUUGAUGUAAUUAAAUAGUAACCAGGUAAAUGCCGUUGAAAAUGAUGCUUCAGCAAACUUGUGGCACAGGAGGCUGACACACAUGAGUGAAAAGGGGUUAUAGGUUUUGGCAAGAUAGUCUCUUAUUCCUUUAACCAAAGGUAUGUCUCUCGAUUCAUGUGAUUAUUAUUUGUUUGGUAAGCAUCAUACAAUUUUUUUUGUAAAAGUUUUCAAAGAAAAGAAAAUAGAUUGGAAUUAAUUUAUUCUAACGUAUGUGAUCCUAUUGAGGUUGAGUCAUUAGGUGGUAGCAGAUAUUUUAUUACUUUUAUUGAUGAUGCUUCACGUAAGACUUAGGUGUAUAUGUUGAAAUAUAAAAGUCAAGUACUGUAAUAUUUUCAAAAGUUUCAUGCCAUGGUUGAAAGGAUGACAAGGUUACCUUUGAAGUGUAUUCAAACUGGUAAUGGUGGGGAAUACACAUCUAAAGGCUUUAAAGAGUAUUGUUUAAAGCAUAGGAUCAGGCAUGAGAUGAGAGAACUUGAAACACUGUAGCAUAAUGGUAUAGCUGAAAGAAUGAAUCGCACUAUUGUGAAAAAAGUCAGAUGUAUGCCAAAGCCAUUCUGGGGUAAAGUAGUUAACACAGCUUGUUACUUACUUAACAGGUCACCAUCAAUUCCUUUGGGCUUUGACAUUCCAGAAAGAGUGUGGACAGGGAAAGAUACUUCAUACUCUCACUUGAAAGUUUUAGGGUGUAAAGCAUUCAUGCAUGUGCCAAAAGAGCAGAGAUCAAAGCUUAACAGUAAAGCCAUACAGUGUGUGUUUGUAGGAUAUGGUGAUAAAGAAUUUGGUUACAAGGUAUGAGAUCCAGUAAAGAAAAAGAUAGUCAGAAGCAGAGAUGUGGUCUUUCAUGAAAAAGAAACCAUAGCAGACCUUGAGAAAAAUGAGAAGACUACACGAGUUACUGUUGAGUGUGAUGUUUUAACACCGACAGACAUUCUACAGGAAAGAGCCACAGAUGGUGGAAAUGAGCAAAAAACAAAACUUGGGGAUAUGAAUGAGCCAACCACAGUUAGUGAUGUGCCAGAUGCAAUUAGUUUUGAGCAGGAAGAGUAAUCUUCUCUACUUUAGAGUGUUGAGUAGAGGGAGCUACCUUCGAUAUCAAGUGAUGUAGAGUCUCAGCCCAGGAGAUCUACUAGAGAGCGCAGGCCAUUUACCAAGUAUCCAAGUUUAAAUUUUAUUUUAGUUACUAAUGAAAGAGAGCCAGAAAGCUUUCAAGAUGUGCAGGCUACUCCAGAUAGAGAGCACUGAUUAAAAGCAAUGAAAGAAGAGAUAGAGUCAUUACGAAAGAAUGGUACUUUUGAUCUUGUUAAACUUUCAAAAAGGAAGAGGCCAUUAAAGAAUAAAUGGGUGUUCAAGUUAAAAAAAGAUUGUGAUAAACUAGUGAGGUACAAAGUUCGAUUGGUAGUCAAAGAUUUUUCUUAGAAACCAGGCAUCGAUUUUGAUGAGAUCUUUGCUCCAGUUGUAAAGAUGAGUUCUAUUCGAGUGGUACUGAGAUUAGCAUCUAGUUUGAAUCUUGAGCUUGAGCAAAUUGAUGUUAAAACUGUAUUUUUGCAUAGUGAUUUAUAGGAGGACAUUUAUAUGAAUCAGCUUGAAGGUUUUGAAGUGAAAGGGAAAGAACACUUAGUUUGCAAAUUGAAGAAAAGCUUGUAUGGUUUGAAACAAGCUCCGCGAUAGUGGUAUAAAAAAUUUGAUUCUUUUAUGGUGAGUCAUAACUAUAAACAAACAGCAACGGAUUCUUGUGUGUAUGUUAAACAAUUCCCUAAUGGUAACUUCAUUAUUCUAUUAUUAUAUAUUUAUGAUAUGUUGAUUGUAAGAUAAAAUGCUAGUACGAUUUGCAGGUUGAAAGAACAAUUAUCUAAGUCAUUUGAUAUGAAAGAUUUAGGUCCAGCAAAGCAGAUUCUUGGUAUGGAUAUUAUCAGGGAUAGGAGAGCUAAAAAGCUAUGGUUGUCACAGGAAAAAUAUGUUGAAUGAGUGCUUGGUAGAUUUAACAUGUAACAGGCUAAAUCAAUUAGCAGUCCACUUAUUAACCAUUUUCAUCUAAGUAAGAAAUCUUGUCUAGUGUCUAAGGAAAAGCAACUACCUAUGUCUAGUAUUCUUUAUUCUUUUGCAGUUGGUUCUUUAAUGUAUCUUAUGAUUUGUACAAGGCCUGACAUUGCUCAUGCAGUUGGUGUAAUAAGCAGAUUUCUUUCUAAUCAGAGGAAGAUUCACUGGGAAGCAGUGAAAUGGAUUUUUAGAUAUUUGAGGGUACCUAAAAAAUGUGCUUGAGUUAUGGAGUUUUACAACCAGUUCUAAAAGGGUUUAUUGAUGCUGACAUGACAGGCAAUCUUGAUGGUAAAAAAUCUACUUUAGGGUAUUUGUUCACUUUUACAGAAUGAGCUGUGUCUUGGCAAUCUAAGUUGCAGAAGUGUGUUGCUUUGUCAACUACAGAGGCUGAGUAUAUUGCAGCAAUCGAAGCAUGUAAAGAAAUGCUUUGGAUGAAAUGUUUUCUUUUUGAAUUGGGGUUGAAUCAAAAAGAGUAUAUGGUAUUUUAUGAUAGCCAAAGUGCUUUAGAUUUGAGUAAGAAUGCCAUGUACCAUGCUAGAAUAAAGCACAUUGAUGUUAGAUAUCAUUGGUUACAUUCAGUGAUUGAAGAACAUCAGAUGCUAUUGAAAAAAGUCCAUACUGAUAAGAAUGUAACAGAUAUGUUGACUAAGAUACUUUUCAAAGAAAAGCUUGAGCUCUGCAGUAACUUAGCCAGAAUGAGUUCCCUGGCCAAGGUAAGUUCCAAAUGAAACUAUUAUGGUGAUGACUCUCCUCCUAAUAGGGCUGAAGGGGGAGAUUGUUAGGAAAACAGGGUCCAACCCCAUGUAAGUGGUUUUGGACCAAGUGAAAGGGCAUGGGCCUUGAUAUUUCAUUUUACACAGAGCCUUAGCUACUUAAUAAAAAAGAGGUGGGGUUGUUUUAAGGGAAUGUCGAAAACCAAGUAGAAAAAGAAAAAAAGUCAGAAAAAGCAAAGAGAAAAGAAGAAGGGAGAGUUAGUUGAACGAAAGUCGAUUCGUGGUCUGAUUGAGUUGGAAUCUUGUCAUGAGGUUUAUGAUUCAGAGUUCUACAUUCUGAACAAUGAAGAUUGAGUUUGAAGCUCUCUAAGAACAAAUCUAGGGUGUAUUUGUUGAGUCACUUAUUUGGUGAGAUUUUUCCAAUUGUUUUCUAGUUGUUGUUUAGCUAUAGUUUUAGCUAGAGAAAAACUUUGUAUACCUAUUAUUUGAUAGUGAAGAUUUUUCUGAUGGUCCGUGAUUUUUUCCUCUACACUGGAGGGUUUUCCACGUAAAUCUUGGUGAGCUUUAUUUUUUUUGCAUUUUUUUAUUAUUAAUUGUUGUCUAUUGCUUCUGUAUUGUUAUGAUUAUUGCUUCAGGCACAACAUGUUUUACUUUUUAAAGUUGGGGUUCCUUUUUUUAGAGGAGCAUUUUAUUUUUCAAAGUUAUGGUGCCUCUAUUUAGAAGAGUAUUUAUUUUUCUCAAAGUCGUUGAGCCUUUGUUUAAAGGAACUUUGUUUAAUUAAAAAAAAAACAAGAAAAAUGUCGAGUUGAGUCUUGAUUGGGUGUCUACGUCUUUGCACAAUUCCUAUUUCAUAGAAAAUGCACAAAGAGGGGCAGCUAUAGACACCUUAAUUUGUUUAAGGUUCUACUUAGGUUAAUUUUGUUAAUAAAAAAUAAAAAAAAAUAGUUGAGUUUGUGUGAAAUUGUUGGAAUUGGUUUGUAAAGUUGGAGUUGGGUUUAAGGUUGAAUUCAAAGAAAAUUGGGAUUUCUUUUUGGAUUGGAGUUCUCAGAUUAAGAACUCUAUAAAUACAUGCCUAUAUAAAUUAUACAAACACACAAAAAAAAUUAAGGAUAAAGGCAGAAAUCAAAGAAAGCAGUCAAGAAAAUUUUUUGAAGAUAUUUUGGGGUUUAAAGAAUUUUUUUUGAAAAAAAAAAAUUUUUAAAUUCUCAAAUUUUGAUGAUUUUUUUUCUAUUCUUAUCUCAAGCUGAGUCGAAUUUAAGUUAUUCUAGCUUUUCUUCCUGCAGUCAAGCCGAGCUUUCUAGCCGCUGAACCAAACCAUUUUCCUAUUUGGUAUUUUUUAAUAUUUUUUUAUUAAUUGAUUUUAUUUUUUUCAUAUUAUUUUUUUCAUGAUUAAAUUUAGGAAAAAUAAAAAAUGUAAAACUUAAUAAAAUAAAAUUUUGAGAAUAAAUAAUAAUUAUCCAAUGAUGGAAUUUAUAGAAAUUUCAAAUGGUAAAUUUCUAUAAAAUUUCUAGAUGAGAAAUUUUAUCUAAAUUUGUGCCAAAGAGUGGAAUAAUUUAGAUAAAGUUUCAAUGACAAUAAUUAACAUUUAUUUUCAAUCCAAAAAAAUAAAAACUAAAAAAUUUUGGUUGAAAAUAUUUGACAAUUAUCUAAGGAUGAGAUUUUUAGAAAUUUCAAAUGAUAAAUUUUCUAAGAAAUCUCUAGGUGAGAAAUUUCUUUAAAUUUGUCCCAAAUUGUGAAAGAAUUUAAAUGAAAUUUCAAUAAAAAUAAUUGUUAUAUUAUUUUCUCUCCAAAAUAAAAGGGAAAAAGAAAUAAAAAGAAUUUCUAAAUAGAUCCAAAUGGUAGAAAUUUUAAAAAUUUUUUUUAAAAAAUAUUUCUAAUUUGACCUAAAUAGUGAAAUAAUUAGAUGCAUUUUCAACAAAAAAAAUAAAUAAUUAAAUAUUUUUCCGACAAUGGAGCCUAUUUAAGAAAUCAAAUGGGAUUCUUGAAUACUCUUGAGGUAACGAAAUAUUUUUAAGAAUUCUACCAAAUUGAUGAAAGAAUCUUAAGAAUUAUUUCUAAUAUUUUAACAUAAAAAUUUGAAAUCAUUAGACUCAAAACCCUAUGAUAAAUAUAAAAUAAAAUGGUACCAUCCUUUGGAUGGGCAUGUGAGGGUGCUAUAACUUUCUUCAUAUGUAACCGAACUUUCAAAUCCUGUUCUAGUUUAUAGAUCCGAACCUAUUCUUUUAGGAAUUUUUAGUCAAACUUAGGAGCUCUUUAAAAUGAUAGAUUUCUUAGAUGGCCAAUCACAUAUAGUAAAAAAAGAUUUGUGGUGACUCCUUUUAUUAACUCUAGUUAUAGAUUUUCAGAUCUAUAUGUUAUGACACUUAUAAUAUCAUAUAAUGAAUUAUACAAUUAAAUAUAUUUAUAAUAAGUUCAAAAAAUUAUCAUCAUUUGACUAUAUAAAAUUUAUAUGUUUAGUAUGGAUCAAGAAUAAGUUAAAAAUAUAAAAUUCUUGUUUAAUAAUUUUUUAUUAUGAAAAAUAAAAUAUUGUAAAAGUAAUUCUAAAAAUAAAAGUUAAUAUAAAAAUGACAAGUGAAAAUUUUCAAUUUUACUUUAUUAGAAAAAUUCUAAAAAAAAAAAAAUAUGAUUAUACAAUGAUACAACAUUAUCUGAUAAAGAAAUAUUGAUUGCAUAAUCAAAUAUAUAACAUCAAAUGAAUGUGUGAUGUAUAUUAAAACAUACAUAAAAUGAAACAUUACUUUUGUGAUAAACAAAAAUUAGUAGAUAUACGAAGCGAAAUAAAUUGUGUUGAGAUAUAUUAUACAUAACUAAUAAUUGUACACGUAAAAAAAUACGUUAGACAAUUACAUGUAAUCACAACAUUAUGUUUUCUUUUAAAAAAAAUUAUAGGAUCAAAUAAUAAUCAAGUCAAAGUUGGUUUUUUGUCACAAUCAUGCACGAAUUUUUGUGGGCAAAAGAUGCCUUCGGGCCGGGGGACCUUUCGGCAUUUUAUGUUGGCCCUAUGCAGUAAAGAGGAAGGUGCUCAAUAAUGCAAUGCAUUACCUUUCACACUCACAUUUUGGGCAUCAAUUGGUCAAAGUUUAAUUUUGUGGGGUCAGCUUUUCUGUUGUGUGGAAGAAGCACAAACUUGAUCCACUUUGGCGUGCACUUCUACAACUAGUUAAACCAAGUCGCUUCUAGUUUCCUACAACAAUAUUGUUUAAAUCUUAUUUUUUAAGAACACUAAUUAGACGUUAAUUAAUUGCAAUAUUUUAUAUAAAAAAAUGUUCAUUCUCUAGCCGAUCAAAUCUUAUCUUAGUACUAAAGAAUGAGCUUUUAAAAUCUUUAAGUUUCAAAUUUUAGGCUUGUUAAAUGUGAAUUUAUUUAUUUAAAUAACGUUUAUUAAUUUUUUUCAUAAAUAAUUGUUUGUAAUAUGUGAUGUAUAAAAUUAUUUGAUUAUAAUAAUAGUUUUUAAUUAUAAUUAUAACUAAUAAAAAAAUAAUUUUUACAACAAUUAAAUUCAUCGAUCACAUGAAAAUUUUAUUUUGAUCGAACUAUUGAUUUAUUUUUUUAAAAUAAACCCUCCUGUACCACUGGAGGAAUGCUAGAGCUAGCUGGAGGCUUGAGGUAUUCAUUCUAUUAAAAGCUUGCAUCUGUGACAAACUAUUAAGCACCAUGAUGGGAUAGCAAUCAAAUUAACUAAAUCAUCUACUGGAGCUUCUUUAUCUCCGGAAAAAAACGGAGCAGUGCGAAAAGAGCAUCACCAUAUCCAACGGAAUCUGUCAUGUAAGCAUAACAUGUAAGAAUAGAUGACGAGGUGAGACUAAAAUGCACUGAAAAGUGACAACACAGACCACCAUCCUCUCUUCGAAUUUUUAUGACCUCCCCGUACACAUUCGACUGGUGAAAGAAUGAUCAGAAUUAGAAACAAAACCCAGAUUCAUUGAUCAUAUAAACAUAUGCAUGCAUGAAAAGUAAGUAGCAAGACACGUAGUGUGAAAUCAACCCCUCAUUUCCAUCAGUCAACAUAAAAAAGUAAACACAUGGUAAUUCCCAUCAAGUCAAGAUUUAUACCUCAGUUGGAAUUUAACCACCUAGUUGUUCAACGUAGCAAAGCAUCUGGCCCUCCUACACUAUUUGCCCAUGUUGCAAAAACAAACUCAGAAUUUCUCAACAGAACUUCUGACAUAUGGAAACGAAAGCAACACUUGAGAGUACAAGGGAACCAAUGAUGGCUUCCAAAUCAAUGGUUUCAUUUUAUGUUUUGUCUCUUGAAGACAACACAUUGGAAAAUAAAAGGAUAAAAAACAGUAAAACCAUUAUGAAUGCUAUGGCCAAAUGAGAAAAAACAUUAUCCCUUUCUGCUAAUGUGAUCAAAGCAAGCUAUUAUUUGGGCCCCUAAAAUAAACAAAUGCUCUUACCAAGACCCAUUGAAGUAUUACCUCAUUACAAGAUGGUGGAGCACGCUUCCCCUUUAUGGUUCGUGAUCUCCUGAAGAAACCCACGUGCACAAUUUAUCAUCUAACUUCCAUGAGUUCAAAGCAAGAGAAGAAUUUAAAUUUCAUAUUCUCACCGUGGAAGACUGAAGUAUCACCAAACCUUCAUCUGCAGCUUUAUCAAGAAAGGAUUGGAUUCUCCCUGAAGAAGAUAGUGGUUUGGUGACAACUAAAGAAGGUGAAGAAACAGCCUCAUUUGAGUCAGGUGCUUCAAUAGUUCUAGUGGUGUUGACACCAACAGGAGGAGGACUUGGGAUCACAGGUGGAGGUUCACAUUUUCCCCCCAGGUCCCUCACUAUGUAUAGCCGAAAUCCACCUAGCUAAAAAAUGGAGACAGAACAGAAAGCCACUCAAAACCACAAUAUCUGUAAUUGCUUUGGAUAGGAAACAGAAACUAUUCAAGUAGAAAAGCCAUUAACAUUAUCAAGCUAUUUACGGCACAAGAAAUUAAAGCCAGCUUACUUUUAGUUCAAACUCUGCAAUUGAAAUUGUAUUGCAUAUAUCUCUGACCAGAGAUUCCACCUGCUGUUAGAAAUUGUAAACUACAAACUUCUAAAAUAUAAGCUAAAGGUAAGAUUUUUCAUUCAUUUUUGAAAGAAGUCCCUAAGCACGCAAUAUUCACAUAUUUAUUCCCAAUUUCUAACGGUUGAGUACAUUAAAAAAAAAAAAAGGAGAAGUCAAUCGCUGCAUUUUCUCCAAAUCACAUAUAUUUUUUCUUCACAGCGGCUUAAAACAUAGUUAAAACUUGAAACAGCUAAGCAUAGUUCACUAAUUACCCAGUAAACUUCAAAGUCGACUAAAUAAAAUAUUUUUAAUUUAAAGGUGAAAAAAGGAAUGGCAAUAAUAAUGUGGCAGAACAUACAUGCUUGCAUUAAUAAUACAAAAAAAUAUAUAUAUAUGAACUCACCCCAGAUGAAUUUGGAAUAAGCUGGCUAGUCAAACCAGUCAUUUUAGUCUCUUCAGAAUCAUCUGCUAAAUUUGUAGUAGCUGCAAGUCAGCAACCAAAAUGAUGUAGACAUUACAACAAAUCAUGUAGUGGUUAAUCUUCAGAAAACAGAGAUGAUGGCAAAACUUCAAAAUAUUCAAAGUUACACACUUUAAUCAAAGAGGUACUUCAUUUCCAUGUUUGAUAGUGGUUAAUCUAAGAUAAGAUGGCAAAAAAAAUGACAAAUGACCAGAAACAAUUGGGUACAAGAUUUUUUUCCCAACGAGCAGCAUGUACAUCAACCUUAAAUGCAAUAGGAUUGAGCAGUUGAGACACAAUAUCUGGAUAUUUCACGAACAAGAUAUUUCAUGAAAUUCUUAGAGAUCCAAACAAGCUUCAAUAGUUACAGCAAUUCUUUUCUUUUCGUCCUUACCUCACCCUGUAUUUUUUUUUUGGUACUUUUUUCUCUCAAAGCCUUACAGCAUACUGACAGAUUAGAGAUUCUUAUAACUUCUAUAAUGAAGUGAGAAUGACUUUAAAUUGCAGAAACAUUAUAGACUAUCCCUAUUUCGACAAAUUUGAGUGACAAUAGAACCAGAAAGAGAGAUGAAUUGAAUAUUAUCAACUUGCACCGUAGGCACUGUCAUUCAAUCACAUUAUUCACCUCCAAAAUAAAUAAACUAAAAAUUACUUCUCUAUGUAUGUACUAAUGCAUUAUGCAUGUGUUGCGUGUUUGUGUAUAUUUCAUUUGUUAUACACGUGAACAACUACUGUUCAUAAAUAGACGUAUACAGGAGUUUUGUGCCAAAAACUUACUGUCAUAACUUCCAGAUUCGGGGAUCUGUCAUUAGACAUUGACUUGAAGGAGUCGCCACCAAUCUUUUUUAUCUAGGCGCGAUUGGCCACCUAAGGAAUCUAUCCUUUCAGGGAACACCUAAGUUUAAGGGUCCCUAAAAGAAUAGGUUUAGGUCUCCUAGAUCCAGGAACAAGGUUCGAAAGUUUGGUUACGUGUGAGGAAGGUUAUAGCACCCUCACAACGCUCAUCGGAAGAUGGUACUAGCUUAAUUUUGUGUUAUCCAAUAAGCCUUAAAAAUUUACCAAGUAAUUAAUUAUUGAAAAUUAUUCUCAAUUUACUCUAAUACUUUUAGCAGAAAAUUGAGAAAAUUCCCUCAUCUCUAGUGUAUGCAAGAAAACUACUGUUUUACUUGCAGAUGCCCCAUCAUUGGAUUAUUUAACAUUAAAGAAAAUUUGAGAAAAUAAAAAGGAAAAAGAAAAAAAAAUGAUUGUUUUUGUACAAGGAAAAUUGAUACUUUCAAUUUUUCCCCAAAAUAUUUUUUAGAAACUUUAAUUUUGAAGAAAAUUUAUAUUUUCAACCUUUCCUUAAAAAUAUUUUUUAGAAAACUUUUUUCAAGGAAAAUUGAUACUUUCAACUUUUCAUUAAAAAUAUAUUUUUUAAAAUUUAUUUAAAGAAAAUAAUAACAAAAAAAUUAAAUUAAAUUAAAUUAAAGGGAAAAAAUAAAGGAAAAAAAGAAAUAAAAAUAAAAAUAAAAUAAAAUAAAAAAUACUAAACAAUUCUAAUCUAAUAAAUAAUAAUAAUAAUAAUAAAUAAUAAAUAAAUAAAAACUUGGGAACAGCUCAGCUCGAUUUUGGAAACGGCUCGCACUCGGGUUGCACACUGGUCAAAAGCAAGUUGACGCUCAGGUUGGGUCGUCCGAUUUCAAAAUGCACGGAUCCUCUGGGAACAGUAAGGCCAAAACGACGUUGUUUUUAAUAAGUAUAAAAGGCUAAUUCCUCUGUUUUUCAGCAGAUCGAUCCUUCCCUCUCUCUCUCUUCCCUUCCUUUCCUCUCCCUUUUUUCUAAACCAACGAAAAACUCCGGUUGAAUCUCGUCGGAUUCUGAAAAAUUUCACCAGAAUCUAAGUUUUUCGUCGAAACUUCAUCGGAAAGUUGAUCGGUUUCUGGAAGUAUUCAUCGAAAACUGGGUAGUUGGUCGAAAAAUUCAAACUUGGCCAAAAAUUCACCGAAAAUUUUGAACUUGGCCAAAAAAUUCAACCAAAAUCUGAAAAUUUUUCAGAAAUUUCUAGAAAAAAAAUUCACCAAAAUUCUAAAAAUUUUUUGAAAUUAUUUCUGGCCCUUCUGAACACUUUUUCUUUCUCUUCUCAUUCUUUUUCUCAGUCAGUGUCUGCAUUUCUGUGUCCUGGUCUUUGUAAUUUGUGGAUCUAUUUAUAGGGAUUGAUCAGAAGAGUUUUUGAUCAAUCCCAACUCUUCCUUGGAUUGGGAUUCAAUCCUUGAAUCCAAUAUGGACUCCGAUUGAAUCUUAAAUUCAUAGUAGAAUUCCCAAUUUCCAUCCCAAUCUCAGUCGAAUAAAAAAAAAAUAAAAUCAAAUAAAAAAAAAAUGUUAAUAGAUAAUUAAAGAAAAUAAUUAGAUAAAUAAAAAUAUUAAUAGAUAAAUAAAAAUAAUAACAGAUAAAUAAUAAUAUAUAAAUAGAUAAAUAAUAAUAAAUACAUAUAGAUAAAUAAUAAAUAUAUAUUAACAAAUAAAUAAUAAAAAAAUAAAAUAAAUAUAUAUUAAUAAAUAGUAAUAAUAAAUAAAUAAAUACAUAAGAUACAAACAAUAAAUAAAUAAAUAAAUAAAAAUAAAAAAUAAAAAAUAAAAUGGGCCUACCCAUUUGGACCAGGCCCAAUUGAUCCGGGCCUGGACCAAAUUGGGUGUCUACAGCUGCCUCUCUUUGCACAUUUUUUGUGAAACAAAAAUUACGCAAAGACGUAGACACCUAUUCAAGACUCCACUCGACCCUUUUCUUUUUUUCAUUUUUUUCAUUAAAAUUCUGAUCAAAGCUCCUCUAAGCAGAGGCUCAACGACUUUGAAAACAUAAACAAAGCUCCUCUAAUCAGAGGCUCAACGAUUUUGAAAAUAAAUAAAGCUCCUCUAAACAGAGGCUCAACGACUUUGAAUAUAAAUGAAGCUCCUCUAAUCAGAGGCUCAACGACUUUGAAAAUAAAUGGCUCCUCUAAUCAGAGGCUCAACAACUUUGGAAGACAAAUAAAGCUCUUCUAAACAGAGGCGUUAUAACUUAAAAAAAAAAGGCUCAUUGACAAUCAUGUCCAAAGGAGUUAAAAAUCGUAUUUGAAGGAAUUUUAGGAAAUUAUGCCCAAAGGUCUUACAAAUCAAUCCUGAUAUCGAGAGAUAUCCUAUUUCAAGGAUUAGAAACUUACCUGACAAGCUUUUUCUCAAAUUUAAAAAUGUCUUCGCAUCUGUCUUCUCUAUGUGAGAUGUUGGAAUACUCCUGCUUCUUGAAUUUAUGCACUAUAUUUUCUUGAAUGUAGUAUGUGCCAUGCAAUGCGUGUGAAAUUCAAUACAUGCUAUGCAAAUGUGGGCUAAUUAAUUCUUAUUCAAUUAUGGUACUCAAGUUUUUCAAGCUCUUUUCUUGGGCAUAAUCUUUUAUUCUUCAAAGACUAAAUUACGUUGCUCUUCUAAGAUCGAGCCAGUGUAGCUCUCAAUCAUCUCUUUCACUCACAUUCUUCCUUUAAGAAAUAUCUUUCCAAGUUCAAUGUCCUUAUCAGGAACUGAACAUCUCGAUUCUGCCUUUAUCACUCUUGACUUCUUCAAUGUAAUGUAAAAAUCUUUCAUGCCAUUAUUCAUUUAUCAAUCAUUAUUUCAAACUCAACAAGUAAGAAUGCAUUUGCGCAUUUCUUUGAUUGUAGAGUAUUGAGAAAAAAAGAAUAAGAAUGGUUGAGAAACUGUCAACAGAAGAGGCACACAAAGAGUGAAAAAGAAUGUCUUUUAUUAGCAAAAUGUUAGCAAACUUUGGCCAAGAAAGAAAUAUAAGAAUAAGUAUGGGGACAAAGCCCAAAAAUGAACAAUCGGACAAUCAUGAUAACACAUCUCAAGGUUUUUUUGAAAACUCAACCAUCUGAUGUACUUAACAAUUUAGAGCUCCUCCGAAUUUGCUAGCCUUUAUGCCGAUGGAUUUUCAAAUUUGAUGUUGUAUUCUCCCUAUCUAAGCUGCAUUUUCAAGUUUUCAACUUAGAUAAACCCUCUAUGACUCAAACCACCCUUUUAGGGUUUUCGCCUUGAGUCAUCUUUUUUCAUUCACUUUUUUUCAUUUUUUUUCUUUUUCAUUUUUUUUUCAAGCAUAAUAUUUCUUCACAGCAUCAGAAUUUAUAGGAUGGGAUAAAUCAUUUUCAUACAUCUCAGUCAGUAUCAGUGCUCCACCUAAGAAAGCAUGUUUCACCACAUAUGGCUCUUUCCAAUUCAGAGUCUAUUUUUCUCUAUUAUCGUGCUGGGUCAGAAAGAUUCAUUUCAAGACCAACUCUCCUUCUCAAAAGCAACGAGGUUGAAUCUUUUUGUCAUGAGCCCUCAUAAUUCUUCUUUGGUAUAGCUGACCAUGGCACAAUGCAAUCAAUCUAUUUUCUUUUAUGAAAUUUAACUGUUCAUAGCAUUUUCAAAUCCAUUCAGCUUCUUCCAACCCAACUUUUUUUAGAACCCUCAAGGAUGGAAUCUUCACUUCCACUGGUAGUACAGCUUCCAUCCCAUAAACUAAAAAAAUGCGGUUGCCCUAGUAAAGGUACGCACUGAUGUUUGAUAUGCAUGCAAUGCAAAUGGUAACUUUUCAUGCCAAUCUUUAUAAGUUUCAGUCAUCUUCUCAAGAAUUUUUUUUAUGUUCUUGUUGGCUGCCUUAACUGCCCCAUUCAUUUUCGGACGGUAUGGUGUCGAGUUAUAAUGCUUGAUCUUGUAUUAAGCACAUAUUUCUUGCAUUAUCUUACAUUUAGAUUCUUGGCAUUGUUUGAAAUAAUUCUCUCUGGAAGUUCAUAUCUACAGAUGAUCUCUCUCUUUAUGAACUUGCAAACCACAGAUCGUGUUACAUUUACAUAUGAUGCUACUUUCACCCACUUUAUAAAGUAAUCUAUCAUCACCAAAAUAAAUCUAUGCCCAUUAGAAGCCUUUGGGGUGAUAGGACCAAUGACAUCCAUGCCCCACAUUGAGAAUGGCCAAGGUGGUGCCAUAACAUUAAAGCAGAUGGCAGAGCAUGGAUUUUAUCAGCAUAUAUCUGGCAUUUAUGGCACUUACGAGCAUAAUCAAUGCAAUCACUCUUCAUUGUCAACCAGUAGUAUCCAGCUCUCAUGAUCUGUCUCACCAUCAUAUGUCCACUGACAUGUACCUUACAUAUUCCAUCAUGUAUCUCUUCAAUGAUUUUUCUUGCUUCAGCCUUACUUACGCAUCUUAGUAAUACUUGAUCACGACUUUUUUUGUACAGAACAUCCAUAUCCAGGAAAAAGCUUAUAGCCAAUCUUCAGAUGACCCCUUUUAUCAUUUACUGUUGCUUGAAUUGGUAUUGCUGAUCCUUAAUAUACUGUAAGAUAUCAUAAUACCAAGGCUUCUCAUUUUCUUCCUCUUCUAUAUUGAAGCAAUGAGUUGACAUAUCCUUAACAUCUAGCCGGAUAGGCUGAAUGUCGGUAUUGUCAUUAAUUCGAAUCAUUACAACCAGAGUAGCCAAAACAUCGACAAUCAGAUUCUCUUCUCGAGGUAAAUGGUCAAACUAGAUAUCUUCAAAUUAUUUUAUCAACUUUAGAAUAUACUUAUGAUAUGGAACGAGUUUUGAAUCUCUCAUCUUUCAUUCCUCUUUUAACUAAUAUAUAACUAGAGCUAAGUCCCGAAACACUUUUAAUGCUUUCACUUUUCUAUCUAUAGCAACUUGUAGGCCCAUGACAUAUGUCUUAUAUUCAACAAUGUUAUUUGUGCAAUUAAAAUUUAACCUCGCUGUUACAGGGUAGUAUUAUUCUUUUGGAGAGAUCAGAAUUGCCUCAAUUCCAUGUCCCAAGGCAUUAGUAGCUCCAUCAAAAUACAUUCUCUAACAGUUCUCUUCAUGUUUCCUUUUUUUCAGUUGGAAAAUAGUCAUUCGAUCUUCAUCAGGGAAUUCUAACCUCAUUGGUUCAUAUUCUUCAGUAGCACGAUCUGUAAGAAACUCCACUAUAGCACCCCAUUAUUACCUUUUAGUUUACAUAUAUCAUAUCAUAUUCUGAGAGAAUUACUUGCUAUCUAGCAAUUCUUCCAAACAAAGAAAGCUUCUCGAAGAUGUAUUUAAUUAGAUCCAAUUUUGCUAUGAGCUAUAUGGUAUGAUAGAGCAUAUACUGUAUGAGUCUUUUGGCAGUCCACGCUAAUGCACAACACAUUUUCUCCAAUGAGGAAUACUUGGAUUCAUAUUCUGUGAACUUUUUACUCAAAUAGUAAAUAGCUCUCUCUUUUCGGCUAGACUCAUCUUAUUGUCCCAGCAUACAUCCCAUUGUAUUUUUACACAUUGUCAAGUAUAGAAUUAAAGGUUUCCCUGGAAUAGGUGGCACUAACACUAGAGGGUUUGACAAGUAUUGCUUAAUUUUAUCAAAAGCCACUUGACAUUCCUCAUUCCAUUUUCUAGGAUUAUUCUUAAGGAGAAGCUUAAAUAUGGGAUCACAUUUGUAAGUAAGCUGAGAGAUGAAUCGAGAAAUGUAAUUCAAUCUUCUCAAAAAAUUUUGAACUUCUUUUGGUGUACUUAGAGGUGACAAAUUUUGAAUGGCCUGUAUCUUGUCUGGAUUGACUUCAAUUCCUCUUUCACCGAUCAUAAAGCCUAGUAACUUCUUUUACUUUACCUCAAAGGUGCACUUGGCUGGGUUUAACUUAAGCUGAAACCUUCUUAAUCUCUUAAAUAACUUUCUGAGGCUGGUGACAUAAUCUUCAUCCUCACAAGAUUUUACAAUCAUAUUGUCUACAUACACCUUAAUCUCUUGGUGCAUCAUGUCAUGAAAGAGUGUUACCAUGGCCCUUUGAUAUGUUGCCCUAGCAUUUUUUAAUCCAAAAGGCAUGACUUUGUAACAAAAAAUUCCUCAUAUGGUCACGAAAGUGGUUUUUUUCAUAUCAUUUGUAGCCAUUUUUAUUUGAUUAUACCUUGAAAAACCAUCCAUAAAGGAAAAAAUUGAAUAUUUAGCCGUAUUAUCUACCAGUGUGUUGAUAUGAGAUAAAGAAAAGUUAUCCUUUGGACUAGCCUUAUUCAAAUCAUGAUAGUCUACACAUAUUCAUACAUUUUCAUCUUUUUUAAGAACUGGUACUAUAUUGGCUACCCAUUUUGGAUACUUAACCACUUGUAAAAAACCUGCAUCAAACUGUUUCUUCACCUUUUCUUUGAUCUUUAAUAGCAUUUCAGGCUUCAUUCAUCUCAGUUUCUGCUGGACUAGCUUACAUUCUGGCUCUAGGGGUAAUCUGUGCUCUGUUAUCUCCGUGCUCAGUCCUGACAUAUCCUGGUAAGAUCAAGCAAAUACAUCCAUGAAUUCCUGAAGUAGAUCUGCCAAACAUUGUCUAUCUCCUGAUGAAAGUGAAGUGCCAAUUCUGACAUCUUUUUUAUUCUCUUCAUCUCUCAGAUUCACUAAGUCAACUAUCUCCUGAUGAGGCUCAAUUGGCUUAUUUUCUUGUUCAAUCAAUCUCAUUAGGUCCGGAAGCAUAACAUAUUCCUCAGAAUUCUUUUCAUUAUCAAGUUCAUCAGUGUUAAUUGAAUUCUCAAAAAUAACCUCUUGAUUGUUAUCAUAAUUAUCUUCAUGUUCAUUUAAAGACCUGAAAUUGAAUGAAAUGGGAUAUGUUGACAAGAUGUGUUUGGAAAAAUGGCAAUAAUGAAGAAACAAAAAGAUAUGAAUGAAAAUGCAUCCUUCCUAAUCUUUAUUAAAAUAAUAAAAGAUAAAUAGCCCAAACAAAAAAGAUUACCCUAAUGCCUUGGGCAAUAGCUAUUGGGAUGUUACAAUUACAUUGCAUUAGUUUCAAAAGUCACAGGCACUUUAAUGGCACUCUAAUUGUUCAGCUCAUAAUCUGACGGACAAAGGCGGACUCACCCCUCUUGAUUAAGCCCCACUUCAUCUUCAAUAGCAUUAAUGGUUAAUUGGGCAAAAGUUAUUUCCAUGCUUUUUUUUGUAUCUGGGUAUAUUAAUCUUCCAGGUCUGAAAGUCUCGUACAGGUGUGAAAUAACCAUUAGUCUUGCCAUUUUACCCGCUGGCCUUCUUUUGAUCUCCCAUUCUGCUACUUCAUAGCUUAGGCCUAACCUUUCACUAUUGUUUAUCACUGUCAGAGGUUCCUUUAUUCCCUACAAGUUCUUACCCAGCCCUAAUCCUGGAUACCAGCCCUUAUUAAUGACUUGGCUCAUCACUAUCCUUGAACAAGAUUGAUUUUUAAGUCCUUCACCUAUAAAAUUAACCAAUUCAAAAGAUCGAUAGGAGCAUUCUACUGCUUCUUCGGUAGCCUCUACAUACGGAGCAUUCAAUGAUUGGGUCACUACCAUGUCUUCUUCCCUAACUACCACUACCAAUUGACUUUCUACAUUAAACUUGAUCUUUUAGUGUAAGGUAGAGGGCACAACACCUGUCAUGUGAAUCCAUGGCCUUCAUAGUAGAUAGUUGUAAGAGGGAGAAAUAUCUAUCAUUUGAAACUUCACAUUAAAAGUGCAUGGCCCAAUUUGCAAGGGCAUCUCGAUAUCCCCCAGGACUUCUCUUCUGGUCCCAUCAAAAGCUCUUACAAUCAUUUGACUGUCUUUCAUAAAAGAGUAGUCAAUGGGUAACCUUUCCAAAGUUGACAUAGGCAUGACGUUAAUAGUAGAGCCAUUAUCAAUAAAGACUUUGGCUAUGAUAUGGCUCCUGCACUUGACCGUGAUAUACAAAGCCUUGGCAUUUCCCUUUCCCUCCGAGGGAAUCUCAUCAUCAAUGAAUGAAAUAUAAUUUGGAAUGACUAGAUUUUCAGCCAGGUGGUUCACAUAUUCAACAGAUAUAUUAUAUACCACAUAUGCCUAGUUCAAUACUUUUACCAGUGCAUUUUGAUGUGGCUCUGAAUUUAAUAGCAGUGAUAGUAAUGAAAUUCAUGCUGACAUUUUGUUUAACUGUUCAAUAAUUGAAUAGUCACUAUGUUUUACCAGCUUUAGGAAUUCACAAGCCUCUUUUUCUGACACCGACUUUGGGCGAUCUUCCUCAAGUUUUACUUCAGGGUUAUUUCAUCAUUUUCCUUCCUUAGCUUUCUUUUUUCUAGCCUUUUCCAAUAUUUUUGGAGUGUAGCACAUUCCACUUCGGGUAAUGCCUCCUACACCAGUUAUAUUGGAGGUGUCAGCUUUAGAGACAUCCCCUUUUUGCCUCUGAACUACUGUAUCGUAGCCAUAUUUCUAGGGUACAACUUUAUCAUUCUUAUAUGGGAAGGGAGUCAAAACUUUAAAAGUUAUCGACUUGGGAAUAAGUUUGUAUAUGAUUGACUUUGGCUUGUUCCCACAAUGAAUUGUCAUCGAUUUUGGAAAUAGUUUUGUAGGCUUAUCAGUCAUGGAUACUUCAACACCUUUUAAGUCUUUUCCUCUUUCAUAGACUUUCAUCUGGUAUGCAUCUGAGAGUUUUUGCACCUCUUGGUGAAACUACUCACAAGUUUCAAUAGAGUGACCCAUUGCCCCACUAUGAUAUUUACAACUAGUACCAGCUAUAUAUACUCCAUGAUAACUGUGUGGACCCACCGGUUGUAUCAUGUCAGCUUUCCAUAAAACAUCAAACAGUUGACUAAAAGGUGUCUUAAUAUUUGCCACUUUUUUCUUUACAUGGCACUCAUGUUCUUUACUCAAAGUAUUCACAUUAUGAUUAGGCAAGGGAUUGCCACUAACAUUUGGUGUAGUCACCCUUCCUGUAUCAAAACUAAUCAUUCCAUCUUUGAUCAAUCGUUGUACUUUGUAUUUUAAGGUGAUGUAAUUUUUAGUGGAGUGAUCGGUAAUCUUAUAUUGAUAGUCACAAUGGGCUGUAGGAUCAUACCACUUAGGGUUAGGUGGCUUGAGGGACUCUAAUUUACUAGGAGCAAUCAAAUGACCGUUGUAGAGCUCACAAUAUAAUUUUGAAUAGGUCAUUGGGAUUGGGUCAAAUAUAAGUUUUUCACGAGUAAUUCGUUACUCCUGUGAACCACCCAUUGGGUUAGCUUGAUGAGUUUGGGGUCUUAGGGUAGGCUGAGUGUUAGGACUAUACGUGGUGUUCUGAGGCCUAAAAGGAGGUUGAUAUGUUUGGGGAUAAUGUGACUGUACAAAUGGUUAGUAUGGGUAAGGGAAAGUGUUAUUUAUAGUAGGGUAAUAUGAAAGGUAUCCUUGUGGUGAGUAAAGUUGAUAACCCCCAAAUUACUGUCUAUCAAAGCUCACAACCUGAGCAUCAGUCUCUUUCCUCUUCGAGACUUUUUUGUUGGAUGCUUCACCUCCUUCCAACUUGCCAUUCUUGAUGGCACUCUUGAUAAUUUCUCUCGAAAUUACCAUGUCAACAAAAUUUUUGGUUGCAUUCCCUAUCAUCUUCUCAUAAUAGAGAGAUUUCAAAGUGCUAACAAAUAGCACUGUAGUCUCUUUCUCAGUCAGAGAAGGUUGCACCUGAGAAGCUACAUCCUUCCAUCUCUGGGCGUAUUCUUUAAAAGACUCAUUUACCUUUUUUCUAGAUUCUAUAAAGACAAACAAUCAAAAGCCAAAUCGAUAAUAUGUCGAUAUUGACUGAUAAAGUCAUGAGCAAUAUCGCUCCAAGAACGAAUGCGAGUUCUAUCUAGCUGGACAUACCACCUGGCAGCAGAGCCUGUAAGGCUAUCUUGAAAAACAUGCAUUAGUAGUUUUUCAUUAUGGGCAUGGGCUGCCAUUUUUCGGUAAUACAUGGUGAUGUGAGUUUUUGGGCACUUCGUACCAUCAUAUUUAUCAAAUUUUGGUACUUUGAACUUGGGUGAAAUGACUACAUCCGAGACUAAACAUAGCCCAGCAGCAUCAACAGAACCAUAAAAUUCAAUCCUUUCUAUGACCCGUAAUCUUUGUUCAAGCAUACUAAUCUUUGGAUCUUUCUAAGACUCUGUCGCUUUUGUUUUCUCCUUAUUUUUCAAGUCAUCUAGAUCAGAAAUAGGUUUUACUACCUUUUUAGCAAAGACAGGAUUUACAUAGCUUUGGUAAUGCCCUGGAUUGAAGGCUGAUGGCAUUCCAGGAUAUGUAGGAUAUACAAAGUGUUGUGGUGGAACCUCUUGUGUAGACUGGGCUUGAGGUGGAUCAAAACUUGGAGGAUACAAAGGGUCAGCCACUUUUUUUAAUGGGAAAACUUAUUGGCUUGUAUUUUUUUCUACUUUUUGUCCCUUGUUCAGCUUAUUGAGAGCAUUUAGAAUCUUGCUCAACUCAUUUUUAAUUUUUUCCUAUGCUUUUUCUAGCUUUUCAAAUCUGUGAGAGUUUUUCUACUCCAUUUGUCUGGUUCUGGCUCUUGUGUUAUAUCGAUAGACAGGGUUCUCGCUAGAUAAAGUUAUCCUUGAACCUUGAGUACCAUAUCUUAGAAUUAGUAAAUUUGCAUGACUAUCUUAUGGUUACUUUGUUAAGUGUAAUGAGUGAGAAUGGAAUGAAUGAGAAUGCAUGUAUACAAAGAACAUUUACCUUAAAGACGGUAUUUAACUAAAAUAUUUCAUUUAUUCUAAAAAAAAAUUUUUAUUUAUAUUGAGUUUAUCAUCCUAGAGUUAUAACCAUAAAAUUGUUUGAUUUGUUCAUACUGGGCCUGAGCUUCUUCGAUGAAGUUCAACAGACGCUACCUAUGUUCUCCUACUGGGGUCACCACUUAUUCAAUGCCUCUACCUUUUUCACCAUCUCUCUUGCCUUGCAUACCCCUUUACAAAUUUGGGUGGUUAGGUGCUCAAUGUAUUUCUAUCUUUCUAAAUUCUCUAUUUUACUACACCAGACUUGGUAUGAUAACUCUCUAUGCUCCCUAACCAAUACAGUAAUACGGUCUUCUUGUUCAUUCAACUUUUGUCUUAUCCUGCUUAGAUAACUAUUUAGCAUGUUAUUCUUCGUCUGUACUUGGGUACUUUUUUCUUCCAAUUCAGCAUACUCUUGCUUCAAUCUUGCAUUCUUUUUAGUUAGCUCAACAAUGGUUAUCUCUUUGGCCUUUUCUCUCACACAUAUCCUUUUAUGUUCUUGGUGUAGCUCUGCUAAGUCUUCAACAGCUAUAUCACGUUCUCUAGCAAUCUUACGAACUUUGGUUUCAUGACUUUUAGCUUUAUCUUUUCACUGGUCUUUUUCUUCUCGAAGCUUCUGGAUUUCUUACUUUAACUAUCCUUUUCAAACUCAAAUUUUUUGUCGCAAGCUCUAAUUUUGAAGGUGUCUCUUCUAGCUUUCUUCCUGUUGGUGGUUGAAAGCUUUCAUAAGUGAAUGCCAUUUCUUGUCUUCGUUUUGCUCUCCAAACCAAAUACCCCAAAGUGACUUUAUCAGUAAACGAUCCAGGAUUCACUCUUCGGGAUUUUUCCAUGCUUUAAUCAUCUCAUUCAUCCUCUGAAAUGCUUUUGGCUUACUGUAAAAAAAAUUUAACUGAUAAAGCCUAUGCAUCAUAGGAAUGAACUGUUCUGCCCUAAACUGCUUCUUACUAGGAGUGGUGCACAAUUUGUCAUUCUCCAUAAACCCAAAAGUGGGACCACUGUAUUAUCCCCACAUUGAUACAACAUAGGCUCACAAUUCAUCCAUAGGGCCAACCAUCUUACUUCGACAUUGGUCAAUUUUUGUAGGAAAGUUAGCCAUUCCUUUUUAGACUUUCGUUUUGACUACCCACUUUCAUAGAAUUUCUUGAUCGGAGCUCGAUUGCAAACAUAAAGCUUCGAGAAAGCACAUUUUCCCCAUUCGAAAUGGCUUUUCAUCCAUAAGUAUAAUAACUGCAUGCAGCCUAUGAAGCGCCUUCCAUUUCGAUGACAGUAAUUCAAAAAUCUGAUAGUCUCUGCUAAUAUUACCAUUGAAGGGUUACAGUUAUUGAUCACACUCUCGGAGAAGUCAACCACCGCUAUCUCAAUAUAACCUAAAACCUUUGAGAAGAUCACCAUUCCGUAUAUGGCUAAGGUAAAUAUAUCUAGCCCCCGUUUUUCGUUGGCAUGUUACACUAAAAACUCAUGAAAGAACUUCCAAGGUAGGCAAACCUGUUCUUGUUUCUUCUUUCUAUGAGAAUCCACAACUUCUUUAUCUAUCCCCAUGAGUUAAGCUAAACCCUUACGAAAUCCUGACUUGUGUUUUUUGACAUAUAUCUUAUCGGGAGCCUUAAGUUGCAAACCUAACAAAGUCAAAUAUUCUUCGAUGGUUGGUGUCAUAUCAACUUCAUUGAAGAUGAAACACUUGUAUGUAGAAUCUCAAAAUUAUGCUGUAGCUCUGAUUAGUUGAUCGUUGACAACUACUGCUAGAAGGUGUGCUAUAUGCCCGUGUCUCUGGCAAAACUGCUCUUAUCUUGACGGACUCAUUUUCUUCCAUAUAUUAACCAAAUUCUCUAGAUUAUUUUGUUUGAGGAGGAUAGAUGUUUUUUGAGACAAGGUAGAAUCAUAUCCGAUUGGUAAACAAUCCUCCAUCUUCAGUUGAAUCUUUUCUGACUGGACCCUUACUUCGUUGGGUGACUUACAAGGUGCUAAUACAGAUGAAAAACAAACUAGUCGUUCUAUAGAGUCCAUGAAAAUUUUUUGUUGAAAACCAUCUUUUAAGCAAAUGUUCUUUAUACAAUGCAAAAGAAUGAGAGAAAAGGUUAGUAUGCCCAGGGAAAAAAAGAAUAAAUAAAUAACUAAGUAAAUUAAAACAUCACACAGAAUAAGAGGAAUGAACCCUCUGCUUCUGGUCAAUUCUAAAAUGGAAGAAUGAUGGCUCUAUCUAUAGGUUAGGCAUUCUUAAAGUUCACUAUAUGGGGUUUAAGGUUAAAGUCUGAAGGUUCCUAAAUUGCUCAUUACAUCAUUGUCCAUCACAGACUAGUAAGGCACCUUAAUCUUCACCUAUUACAGGCUACAAGUGGAAAUGGUUCAAUUUGAGUGGGAGUAUUUCACUAGCCAUUACGAAGGCAUUAGACCUCACGAAAGCAAUAGGUACUUUACUCCCUCCUAGAGGGACGGAGCUCGAGUAUAGAGCUCAUGUUAUGUAUAUGCAUAUGAAUGACAUAAUAAAGUAAAUAAACAUGAAUGAAUAAAUAAAAUAUAUACAAAAAGGUUCAAUUUUAUUAGGCUUUUAGAUAACACAAAUUUAUUUGCUGGCCUGACUCUAACUCAUCCCCAAUAGAGUCGUCAAGCUGUCAUAAUGUCCAGAUCUGGUGUAAUGCCCUCAAUCCCACAUCAAGAGGAUGUGUGGAUAAGGAAUGAUAUAUAUGUAGAGACUUAAUCCCAAACUUGUGAGGUGCCUUUUGUGGGACAAAACCAUGAGACCUUCGGGUCAAAGCGGAUAAUACCUCACAGGUUGGGUACGGGUCUCUACAAAUGGUAUCAGAGUGAUCACCAGUCCGCAGUCAUGGGAGUCACUAAGUGCUACACGGUGGAGCUGUGGGAGUCACUAAGUGCUACACGAUGGUCUGGUGUGAUCUUGGUCCUGUGGAUGGACUCGGCUUGACAGGGACUCAAGCAUUAAAGGUGGGGAGAUUGUAACGCCCCCAAUCCCACAUCAGAGGAUGUGUGGAUAAGGAAUGAUAUAUAUGUAAAGACUUAAUCCCAAACUUGUGAGGCACCUUUUGUGGGACAAAACCAUGAGACCUUCGGGUCAAAGCGGACAAUACCUCGCAGGUUAGGUACGGGUCUCUACAAAAUUCCCCUUUUACUUUUUCUUUACAGAUGACUAAGUGAUAAGUUUGGUUAGUCUUGUGUGAAGCUAGAAGAUGAAAUGGGCAAGAUUACUUAGUCGUCAGAGAAUAUGUUGGCCAAUGAGAUUUUAAGAGGCAGUUUUAUAUUUUAUAUGGUUUGUAUUUGGAUAUGUAAAUAUGUAUCAUCAGUUGGAUUAAAGAUAUGAAUUUUACUUGGUAAAUUGUUUUAUUGAAGAAUUUUAGAAUGAUUAAGAAAGAAGGCUUCAUAUUAUUUUGGGGUUUUCUUCAAGGUAACACGAUUGUGUUGCGUCUUGGUCUCGGGGCGUGACAAAAGUGGUAUCAGAGCGAUCACCGGUCCGUAAUCGUGGGAGUCACUAAGUGCUACACGGUGGUCUGGUGUGAUCUUGGUCCUGUGGAUAGACUCGGCUUGACAGGGACGUCAAGCAUUAAAGGUGGAGAGAUUGUAACGCCCCCAAUCCCACAUCAGGAGGAUGUAUGGAUAAGGAAUCAUAUAUAUGUAGAGACUUAAUUCCAAACUUGUGAGGCACCUUUUGUGGGACAAAACUGUGAGACCUUCAGGUCAAAGCGGACAAUACCUCGCAGGUUGGGUACGGGUCUCUACAUCUGGGAAUUUGUCAUUAGACAUUGACUUGAAGAAGUCAGCACCAAUCUUUUUUAUCUAGGUGCGAUUGGCCACCUAAAGAAUCUACCCUUUCAGGGAACACCUAAGUUUAAGAGUCCUUAAAAGAAUAGGUUCAGGUCUACUAACCAGAACAAUGUUCGGGAGUUCGGUUACGUGCAAACAAGGUUAUAGCACCCUCACAACGCCCAUCGAAAGAUGGUACCAGUUUAGUUUUGUGUUAUCCAAUAAGCCUUAAAAAUUUACCAAAUAAUUAAUUAUUGAAAAUUAUUCUCAAUUGACUCUAAUACUUUUAGCAAAAAAUUGAAAAAAUUCUCUCACCUUAAGAGUAUGCAAGAAAACUAUUAUUUCACUUGCGGAGGCCCCAUCAUCGGAUUAUUUAACAUUAAAAAAUUCAAGAAAAUAAAAAAAAUAAAAAAAUGAUUGCUUUUGUGCAAGGAAAAUUAAUACUUUCAACUUUUUCCCAAAAUAUUUUUUAGAAACUUUAAUUUCGAAGAAAAUUGAUAUUUUCAACUUUUCUUUGAAAAUAUUUUUAGAAAACUUAUUUUCAAGGAAAAUUGAUACUUUCAACUUUUUCUCAAAACUAUUUUUUAGAAAAAUAUUUUCAAGGAAAAUUGAUACUUUCAACUUUUCUUCAAAAAUAUUUUUUAGAAAACUUAUUCUCAAGGAAAAUUGAUACUUUCAACUUUUUCUCAAAAAUAUUAUUUUAGAAAACUUAUUUUCAAGAAAAAUUGAUACUUUCAACUUUUCAUUAAAAAUAUUUUUUUUGAAAUUUAUUUAAAGAAAAUAAUAACAAAAAAUAAAAUAAAAUAAAAAUAAAGGAAAAAAGAAAUAAAAAUAAAAAAAUACUAAACAAUUCUAAUCUAAUAAAUAAUAAUAAUAAUAAUAAUAAUAAUAAAUAAAUAAAACCUAGGAACGGCUCGACUUAACGGCUUGGCUUGGCACGGCUUGAGGAAGAAAAACGGUUCGGAGACACGGCUCGGCUCAGCUCCGAAAAUGAAUCACACUCAGGUUACACGUGGGUCAAAAGUGGGUUGACGCUCGGGUUGGGUCACUCGAUUUCAAAACACGCGGAUCUUUUGGAAACAGUAAUGCCAAAAUGAUGUCGUUUUCAACAAGUAUAAAAGGCUAAUUCCUCUGUUUUUUAGCAAACCAAUCUUUUCCUCUCUCUCUUCACUUUCUUUCCUCUCCCCUCUCUCUAAACCAAUAAAGAACUCCAAUUGAAUCUCGUCGGAUUUUGAAAAAUUUGGCUCAAAUUUGGGGUUUUCAUCGGAAGUUCACCGAAAAGUUGAUUAGUUUUUGGAAGUAUUCAUCAAAAACUGGGUAGCUGGUCGAAAAAUUCAAACUUGGCUGAAAAAUUCGAACUUGACCGAAAAAUUCAAUCGAAAUCUAAAAAUUUUCUAAAAAUUUUCAGAAAAAAAAUUCGCCAAAAUUCUAAAAAAAUUUUGAAAUUGUUUGUGGCCCUUCUGAACACUUUUUCCUUCUCUCUCGCUCUUUUUCUCAGUUAGUGUCUAUGUUUCUGUGUCCUGAUCUUUGUAAUUCGUGGAUUUAUUUAUAGGGAUUGAUCAGAAGAGUUUCUGAUCAAUCCCAACUCCUUCUUGGAUUGGGAUUCAAUCCUUGAAUCCAAUAUGGACUCUAAUUAAAUCCCAAAUUCAUUGUAGAAUUCCCAAUUUCCAUCCCAAUCUCAGCCGAAUAAAAAGGAAAGAAAAUCAAAUAAAAUAAAAAAAUGUUAAUAGAUAAUUAAAAGAAAAUAAUUAGAUAAAUAAAAAUAUUAAUAGAUAAAUAAAAAUAAUAACAGAUAAAUAAUAAUAUAUAAAUAGAUAAAUAAUAAUAAUACAUAUAGAUAAAUAAUAAAUAUAUAUUAAUAAAUAAAUAAUAAAAAAUAAAAUAAAAUAAAUAUAUAUUAAUAAAUAGUAAUAAUAAAUAAAUAAAUACAUAAGAUGCAAACAAAAAUAAAUAAAUAAAUAAAUAAAUACAUAAGAUGCAAACAAAAAUAAAUAAAUAAAUAAAUAAAAAUAUAAAAUAUAAAAUAAAAUGGGCAUACCUAUUUGGACCAGGCCCAAUUGAUCGGGGCUUGGACCAAAUUGGGUGUCUACACUUACCAAAAACUUUAAGGAAAGAUUAGUCUGUAAAGCAAUUCAAGGGUAAAAUUUUUCUAAAUCUGAAACAAGCAGAAGAACAUAGAAUAUAUGUCUUCAUGAGACUGCUACAAUGUGAAAUGUAUUUCUUCAAGAAUCAGAACGAUUAUUGAGAGCACAAAAGUUUAUUGUGUGAACUCUUUAUAUCGACAUACCUUACAGCACAAUUUUUAUUUUUUAAUACAUGAAUUUAAUAAAAAUACUUCAUUUAUAUAUAAUUAAAAUAUUUAUUUAUAUUUAAAAAUUAUAUUUUUAUAAAAAUUAUACUAAAUUAAAAUUAUUAAAUUAAUUUGAGUCAAGUCAGGUCAAAUGCAUACUAAACAUAUAUAGUUAAGAUCGGAGUUGAGCAUAUAUAAAAAAAAAAAAACUGAUGUCAAGUUAGAGAAAAAUUGAAUAGAAUUAUUAAAGAGUCAAGUCGAUCAAAGGACAAAUUUUAACUCAUCCCGACUCAACUCGUUAUCAUAUCUAAAUGGAAGUGUUUUUAUGACACCUCAAUUUGGCUUUCUUUUAUUUUUAAUUUUGGCCCUUUUCAUUUUUUUUAGUGUUUAUUUAUUUCUAGAUAAAUUUUAUAAACAAAUGGGUCACUAGUGACAUGAAUGACAAAAUAAUCAGUAUCCGACAAAUUCUAACUCAACUUCAUCCAAUAGGAGAGAUUUUUUCUUUUCAAAAUUAGGAUCGAGUUGGGCUAGGAUGGUUUUCCAUUUUUUAAAUCGGGAUCAAGUCAGAAGUGAGUUCAAGGUACUUUGUCACAAUCCUCUUCAAGAUAUAUAAAAAAUAUAUAUUCUAUUAUUUAUUUAGUUUUAUAUUUGUAUAUGGAUUAUAUUAAUAAAAUUAUCAUUUAAUAAUUAAUUAAAUAAAAAUACUACAUUGAUAUAUAAUUUAAAUAUAAUGUGGAUUAAAAAUAAUAUUUUUAUAAACUAGGCUAAAUUAAAAUAUUGUCACUUAGUUCAAUCAAGCUCAAAUGUAAUUCAUACAUAUAUGUGCUUAGUCAGAUGGGAUAUUAUUUAUUCGUGUCGGGUCAAAAUUGGAUUCAGAUUGAGAUUAUUAAAAAUUGAUCAGAGCAAUGCUAAAAAAUUUGCCUUAAUGAUUGUCUUCAAGUGAGUAUCUCAUGCAUCCUAAAUGUUCUUUCCUUUAUCUUGGCAUUCUUUUUGUUAAUUUCAUUUGUUUUUAAGUUGUCAUUUUAUAUUUCUAAUUAUGUAUGAAAAGAUAAUACUUAAAUGAAUUUUGAUUUUAUUUGUUACAUAAGAUGUCAAAAUAAAAUGAACAUAUUAUGCAUAAAUUAAUUGAUAAAUUUUUUCUAAUCAUUACAUUCAUUAAAAAUAUUAUAAAUGAAACCAUACUAAUUGAUUUAUUAAAUUUAUCUUGAACAUUGUUCAUUACAAAUAAAAAAAAAUUGAACCAACGAUAACGUGCAAGACUAUUUCUAGUUCAUGUUAAUGAAACAACAGUUCAUUUAUUUACUUGAGAUCAUGCACUAUUGCUAUGGACAAUUAUUGCAAGCAUUAAACAAGAAAAUUAGUGAGAAAGAUUCAAACAGAAUAAAAAUUUCAUACACUUAGUUAUUUAUUGUUGCCCUGAAGUUUGGUUUGCCUGAUCCCUCAUUAUAAAUCUUUUCGGAGUCUUUCACUCCCUUAUCAUAAUUUUUGGUUCCUUUUAACUAUUUAAGUGGAAGUUCUACCAUAGUGAAAAUAAAAAUAAACUAGCCUAACAAAAAUGAAAGAAGUUGAGAAAGCUAUAUUCCUCAUAACGGCUUCCAAAGUGUAUUUGCCACAAAAAUUAAUAGAUUGUAUCAAUAUUAACUUAAUAUAAACAAGUGACUUCUUAAAUAUGUGAAGGAAGCCAUUAAAUUCAACAAUUUCAGAAUCUAACUAUUAAAAAAUCAUAGAAAAAAUUUAUUUCCCUUACCUUUUCUUCUUCCUUGUUUGUCUCAAUUCCCUUCAACAUCGAACGGUGAGAGAGCUUACCUCCAUCAUCCAGCUCGGGUGAGUGGAGUUCAAUUUGGUGACAGUCAAAUGACCUUUUCCUUUCUCGUCUCUUCUUUCUUUUUCAUUUUCCAAUUCUCUCUCUAUUUCUUUUACUCUGUUGUUACCUAUGAAUUAAGCUACCCAUCCUUGCCGAAUGGCAAAUGGUAAAGAAAAGGCCUUGGCUUGACCUCCCUCUCAACUUUCUCUUUUUUUUUCCUUUGUUUUCCCCCUUCAGCUCCCUCAAGAGAAUCUCUUUUAGCUUUAUCUUCAUUGUUUCUCGUCUCAUCCAAGAGCUUUUCAAGGUUCUCUCUUCCUUUGGGGCUUUCUAAAUACACCACAAAAUUUUUUUUUAUACACCCUCAAAAUUUUCUUUCAAAAAUACCCAUAUAACAAAUACAAAUUUUAACCUUUAAAAAAUAAUAACAAUAACCUCAAUAGCUUAUACAUCCCAAAAUCAACUUCGUACAUCUUGGAAAUCCAUUUUGAGAAUUAUAUUACAUUCUUAAAAAUGAAUUUUUGAAAAUAUUGUAUUCUUAUAAAUCCAUUUCCAAAAAUACAUAAAUUUUUGUUUAAAUAUAUAUUUAAUUAUAAACUCUUGAUAACGUUUAAUUUUAAUUUAAAUAAAAUAAAUACAUUAAUUUUGAAAUAAGUAAUACUAAAAUAAAUCAAUCUCUUUAUCAAUGUCUGACAUGAAAAAUCAAAUGUGCUAGAAUCUCUAAACGUCUCUAAUGAUUUCUCUAAGGCAUGACUCAAUUCUAGCAAUAAAAACCUCUAAUCUUUAGGCCACUGACAAUGUCAUCAGCACACUAACAAAUCUGGUAGUAGAAAUUGGUGGCUGAAAGAGUAAAGGUCUUUACUGCCAAAUUUGUCAGUCUGUUAAUGACAUGAUCAAUGUUUUAUAGGGUGUUCAAGCUUGAACUAGCAUGCAUGCACACACAUGAGUCAUUGAUGUGCCCAUUCUUAUUUGAUCAUAUGUAUGAAUAGAAGAGACAUGUUAGUUUUUAAGAAUGCAUAGGCAUAAAAAUGUUGUUGUUUUGAGACCAGAAAACCAAGAACACCCUUUGGCCCAUGCAAAACUAGAAAACUAGAAAAUGGUGUUCUUGAUUUUCUAGAGUAUCAAGAGAAAGAACAAGUUUAUGCCAUGUAUGUUGAGAAUAUUGAUUUUAGUUUCAAUCAUACACAAGUAAAUGGGUUUAAAAGAGAAUGAUUUAAGGUUUUCAGUAAUUAAAAGUGAAAUCGAGCUUCUAAGACAUAGAUAUCCAAGAAUACUUAAAGAUUCUCGAAUAUUCAUUUUUAAUAAUACUCAAGACUUCUCAAAAAUGGAUAUCUAGGAAGCUUUUAGUGUUCUUAUAAAUGAAUACCUAAGAACCUUUGAGGCUUCUCGAAAAUAGAUAUCCGAGAAUCCUUAAAGCUUAUCAGAUGUCCAUUUUCGAAAAGCUUCAAAAUUUCUCGAACAUUUAUUUUUGAGAAACUCGAUUUCAAAAAAUAAAAGAGAAGAAAAAAGAAAAGGUAGUAAUGGAAAAUAGAAAGUGAGAGGUGGGUUGUAUUUAGUUAAACUAGAAAAUUGAAUUUUGAAUUUGGGUAUAUUUAGAAGUGGGGUGUAUAGAGUAAUAAAUGGGUUGUAAAUAGAAUUCCCCUCUUCUUUUUACCUUAUUAUAAAUAUUAAAAAGUCUUUUUUAACCCUACAAUUAUUUUAAAUGUCAAAUAUGAGUUGGCUUUAAAGGACAAUUUUUAUUUAUUGUUGUUUCUCAUCGCCUCCAGAAGCUUUUCAAGCUUCUCUCUUUCUUUUACUUUAUAAAUAUUAUAAAGACAUUUUUAAUGCUAAAGUCAUUUUAAAUGUCACAUAUAAGUUGGCUCUAAAUUAGAAUAGUAGGGAAAGUUUUUUUUUUAUAGAUUAAAAAUUUUUACGAAAAUUAUAUAAAUUUGGAAUUUCUAGUAUCUUAUGCUUAUAUAAAUUACAAUGCCCUCAGUAUACUAAUUUUUGGCACUUAUUUGAUAUAUGUAUAAUUUUUACAUCUAAAUUGAAUUUAAUAAAUAAUUUUCUAGCAAAAAUGAAGGGAAAUGAAUGUAGACACCAAAUUUAUCUGGAUUUUAAAUAAGUCUUAGUUUAAAAUUUGUCAAGUGUAUUUGAUUCUCAGGUCGAGGUCUGAUUUCAAUUCAACUAGUUAUCAGGCUCGAUUUUAAUUUAACUAGGCCCAAAGUCUUAUUUUGAUUGGGUCUGAAGCCCGUUUCAUUCUUUAGGCCUAGCUUGUUUUUUUAUUUUAUUUUAUUGUUAGUUUAUUUUAUUUUUUUAAAAUUAAACAAAAUACCAAAAAAAAAGAGACAAAUAGAAGAAUAUAAGAAAAGAAAAAAACAAAAGAGGCAUGGGGUGCUUGGUGCCGUGCAUAGCACCACUAGCACCACCAACCCCUGCUAGGCCCUGUGCCACCCACUUAGGCAUAGGGCCAAGAUUGGACAAAAUAAAAAAAAUAAGGGGGCCGGUGCUUGGGGUGCCAUAAAUGACACCCUCAUUUGCCAAGCCUUGUGCCACUCACCAAGGCAUAAGGCAUAACCAGAGCUUUAUAAAUAGAGCUCCAUAAUUGACCCUUAAAAAAAAGAAGAGGGACCCUGCCCAAAAAAAAAAAAAACAUUUUGCCAAAGAAAAACAAAAAAAAUUAAACAAAAACUCAGUCCCCUGGGAAUGGGAAACCCAAUGUCGAGAGCCCCAACAAAAAAAAGAAAACGAAAUCAGUCUUAAAAAAUAAAAAAAAAUUAAGAAGUCAGAACACUAAAAAAAAGAGUUUGGCCGUAACUUUGAAGGUCGAUUCAGGUUGUUUGGGACCCUUUUUGGUGAAAAGGAGGUUGGAUCUGCGUUUAGGAAGGUGAAAGGAAUUUUUUGGGAGCUUUUUAGAUUUUUUGACAACCGGUCAAUGACCAUCUACAAUAGUCGACACGAUAAAUGAUGAAUGAUCAGUUUGGAUAGAGAGAGGGGGUCUAACAGAGAGAGAGGUAGAGAAAGAAGAGGAAGAGAAAGAUGAGCUGAAAAAGAAAUUUGAGGUUUUUAUAUAAAGCUAAAAGCUAAAACAACACCAUUUCAAUUAAAGGACCAAAACGACAUCAUUUUAAGCCCAGGAUUUGCACAUAAACCCACCGACCUGACUCAGAGUCCAUGCACCCGACUCGACAACCCGUCUUCAAUUGACCUUUACCGGUCUAGUUGAAUCGACCCAGACUGAAGUAGACCGGUAUUAAAUCGUCAAACCAACUAGACCAAACCGAGCCAUCGAAUCGAUUGGACCCACAUUGAUCGAACUGUUGACCAAUUUGGUUCAAGUAAAAAAAUUUUUUUUGAAUUUUUUAAAAUAUUUUUUUAUAUAUUAUUCUGAUAACAUUUAUGCAUAUUAAAAUAUUUAUAUUUGUUAGAAUAAUUUUUUGUUGUGAUAAAUAAUUAAUUAGUAAAAAAAUAAAUGAUGAAAUAUGUAGUUAAAAUUUUUAUAAUUUUGUUAAUUUCAAAAUAAACUUUAAAAAAAAUAAAUUUUAUAAUAAUAAUAAUAUAAAGUAAUAAAAAAAGUAAGGAAAGGAAAGUUUUAUUCGAUGAUGAGAUUCAAAGGUAUUCCGAGUAGUGAUACUUACGAAAUCUUUAAGUGAGAAAAUUUUUUUUAAAUACUAGCAGUAUAUUGGAAUAUAUUUUAAAAAUUUUCAAUAAAAUAAAAUUUUCUUUUUUUGUUAUAAAAUAGUAAAAAAACAUUAACUUAUAAAUUAAGAAUAAAAUGAUAAAAAAAUGUGAAAAAAAAAAAUUUAUCCGAUGAUAAAAUUCUAAAAGUAUUUCGAGUAGAGAUUCUUUAAGAAAUCCCUAGGUGAGAAGAUUUUUUUAAAAUAUUAUCAAUGUAUUAGAAUAUUUGUAGAAAAUCUUUAAUAUAAUAAAAAUUCCUCUUUUCUUCAAAAAAUUAAAUGAUAAUAAAAAAUAAUAAUAAAAAUCAAUAAAAUUUUUAAAAAGUAAAAUAAAAUGUAUGCAUCAAUAUGUUAACAUUUGCAUUGCAUGCACGACUUUUUUUUUUACGAAAAGUAAAUCUAAGUCUCUGAGGAUGAGAUUCUAAGAUAUUCCAAGAAGCGAGACCUAAGAAAUCUUUAAAUGAGAAAGAGUUCUUUCAAUAUUACCAACAUACUUGAACAUUUUAAGAAUUAUUUCAAUAAAAAGGUUCUGACUUAUUUUUCCCAAAUAAAAUUUGAAUAAUAAAUUUUUAAUAAAAAAAGAGAAAACUCAAAUUCCAAUAAAUGAAAAAUCAAGGUGUUAGCCUUUUAGGUGAAAUUAUUUUUUUAAACACCAAAAAUAAUACUGUUUUUAUCAAAAUUAAUGGAUAAUGCGUAGUUAAUUGGUACCAUUUUUAAACAGGCAUUAUGAGGGUGCUAAUCCUUCCCCACAUGUGACUAACUCCCAGACCUAAACUGUUUCGCAGACCCUAAAAUUAUUUUUUUAAUAAAUUUUAAUUAAAUUUAAAAUUUCAUUAGUGGGAUAUGUUUUAAUAAGUGACCAAUUGUACCUAGCCAAAAAAAAAUUGGUGGCAACUCUAUUUUCUAUUUUUUAUUUUCGUCUUCAAAUUCAUUGGACGACCUUAAAACCGUUAUGACAAUGAACAAAAAAAAAGUGAGAAGACAAUAGAAAAACAAUGUUGGCUUUUCUUUUUUCUAUUUGACAUGAGGAAGGAAAAAUAAAAAAUAAAAAAAAAAUUGUAAAUAAAAUGAUUAUUGCGUUUUUUUUUACUUACUUUUUGAAAGAUUGAAUUUAGAAAGACAUAAAAUCUAUAAAUGAAUCAAUUCAUUUUUUUUCCUUUAAUCUAAGAAAAAAAUUAAAAAAUUUUUUUUCCUUUCUUUUUUUCAUCCCAUCAAACACAACGUAGAGUCAUGACAAAUUGAGAAUACACGUAAAUGUUAUUUUUAUAAAGUAUGAGUAAUUCAAUUUCCAUCACCCUAAUUUGAAUGUCCAAUUAUAUAAAAUAUUUAUCACAAUUUGUACUUCAAUUUGAUUGAAAGGCUGAAUUCUAGCUCUCCACUUAAAUUUGAUGCGUACACAAUUUUCAUAUUUGACUUUUGGGUCCUUCGGCUUGUCCAUCUAUCAUGGUAACAAUUCUCGUGAAUAGCAAUAAUGGUUCUUAAAAGUAAUAAAGAAAAAAAAAAACUUGCCAAUUAAACUUUGAUUCAAUGGCACGAAUAUUUUAAAAUUUUGAGAUUUUAAAUCGAAUUUUAUUAUAUGAAUUUGUUUUAGUUUUGUAUUAAAUUUAUUUAAUUAUAUUUUAAUUUAGUCGAUAAUUUAUAUAUAUAUAUGAAUAUAAUAUUUAUUAUGAUUGUGAUUUUUUUUAUAAUUGUAAUUUUAUAAAAAAUGUAGUCAAUUACUAGUAAUUAUAAUUGUUAAUUAUUAUUAACUAGAUAUAUCCAAAUUCAAUGACAACUCUAGAAAUCCUCCUAUUGCAUUUCUUUUCAAAAAAUUUUUACUUUUUCAUUUUCACUUAAUAACAUUUUUUUUUAAAGUGUCCGCACGUUUUAUCUAGAAAGAGCAAGAUAUUUAUCUAUUAUUAAAAAGGAUUUAAAUUCAUUUUUAAAUAAAAAAAUUCACCAAAAAUAAAUUUCAUAUCAAUAGAUUAGGUUCUUUCACAUAAAAGAAUUAUAUACAGUUUUACAUAUCAAAUUAUAUAAUUAUUUUUAAAUAUGAUAAUUAAUAGAUUUGAAUUUAACUCAUAACAUUUGUAAUUUUUUUUAGGUUAUGAUUUUUUUAUUAAAUAAUUAUAUAAAAUAUUCUUUUUUUGUCCUUUUUUUUUCAGAGUAAUCAUGUUGGAAUAUUAGUUGGUGGGGAGGAAUAACAUAAUUAGAAACACUUAAAUAGCUCAGUGUAUGCAUGGCCCUCUCGUUUAUUAAUUUGUUUAUGGUGAUGCAAUCGACAAGAAGAUGAAUCAAUUAUAAAUUGAUGAGGAACACUGGUAGCUAUAGAUUUGCAGCUUAGGUAAUUAAUUUACUAAUUGUAUUCCCAUGUUUAGUGUGAGAGCUUGGGGACAGUGGAGAAGAAGCUGAAAGGAAAUGGAUGUGGAAUACGUGCGGGCAAUAGUGGAAGAAGGCGGGAUCUAUGUUGAACAACUGUUCUUCCAUGACCCAGAUGGGUUCAUGAUUGAGAUAUGCAACUGUGAUAACCUACCUACCAGUGAUCCCACUGGCAGCUGAGAUGGCUCGAUCAUGCUCCCGAGUGAAUCUGCAACUGCUGCAGCGUCAGUAGAUACAGCAAGUGGUUCAGCAGUAGGAGCAGCUGCAGGAGCAGAGCUGAGUCAUUUGAUUUAGGUGCAUGUUAAUAAAAAUCAUGAAAUAAAAGGCACCCUAUCUGCUUUUUUCUUUUUUCAUGUUCUUGUCUAACUAUUGUAUGGACAAGUCCUUGUUUUUCUUCACUUGGUUUAGUAGUUUGUUCAAUAUUAUUUAUUUUGUAAUUAAUAAAGACAAGGCCUAGAUGUGAUCCCAAGGGAAGUGAUCAUUUUAUGAGCUUAUUUUAAUUAAUUAAAAAUGGACUAUUCUCUAAAGUUUUUCUAGUACUUAAAAUUAUGUAAGGCCCCCUUCUCUUGUUGUGAAUGAUUUCGGGUUUCAAAAUCUACUAAUUUAAUGCACAAGUUGGAACUAGUUUUGAAAUGCCAUUCACCUGAAAGAGUUUGUUGGAAAUCAUGUUAUGAGCACAUAGUCUUAUCCUAAUUUAUUUAUCAUAGAACGAAAAAUAAAAAUUUCAUAAAAAAUCAGAAUUUGAAUAGGAUUUUGCUAUCUAUCCUUUCAUAAAUUUCAAAUAAUACUAGGAUAUGUAGCUAUCAUUCACACCUUAUUUACGUAUUUAGAUUUGUGUCAAUUUUAGGGUUAUGGUCUAUCACUAGGUUACCUUUACAACAGGUCAUGUUAUAAUGUCAAUCUAAUUUCCAAAUUGGACAAAUUCAUCUCGUAUUAAUUAGAUUCAAGUUUCUAUCCGGAAUUACAAUUUCAUCUACAAUCUAUCAUACAAAUGUAAUGCUGAAAAAUCAAAUGAAUAACCGAUAAAGAAUCGAAAAUUAUGAUUGCACCUGUCCAAUGGAAGUUCAUUUUGGAGGCAGAGGAGAGUUAAGAAAACAAAAAGUAAAAAAAUAAAAGAUUGCAGAGAGUUGGGUAGUUUUAUAUAUGUUUAUGUAUCUUAGAGAUAUUUAAGCGCAGUUGAUAGGAUUCUGAAGCCCACAAAAUCUAAAUCCCAACCAAUCUUGAGUCCUGGAUUUGCACGGAAGUUGGCAAAAAGGUUCCCUACAAAGCUGAAACCUGCGAUUUCUUCCUCUUUUAAGGCAUUGCCAUGCUCUUAAAAUUGAUCAUUUAUUUGGCUUUGGAUUUAUGUUUCAUCCCUUCUGUAUCUCUCAUUUCAUACUAUUACUAUUUCUUAACAACUAAGAUGCUUUAGUUAAACAUAAUCUCUAUUUGUGAUAAUAAUUUCAUCUUUUUUAAUAUUAUAAAAUAAUUAUUUUACCUUUAAAUAGAUUAGCGAUUCCUUCAUAGGUCUUAGAAUUGGUAAAGGGGUUAUUGUCUUGCCCAGGAUUUAAAUAGCAGUCGUGAUCAUGUUUUCGAUCGUGUUGCAUUUAUCAUGUUUUCGAAUAUAAUGAAAAUCAUCGCGGUCACCGCGGUUAUGAAUUUUUUUUUAAUUUUACACAAUUUGAUAUAAAAUAUAAUAAUUAUAAUUAUAAUUACAAAAAUUCUUGUUUAAUGUUUUUUUUUAAAAAUAGUUUAUGACAUCUAUAGUUUUUAUUUUCUAAAAAAAUUAUUUAUAAUUUUAUUUAAAUUAUAAUAAAACAUUUAUAUUUGAUUUAGCAACAAAAUUUUUACUCGAGGCAAGUUCAUAUUCAAAAUUAAUUCUAAACAAAUCAAAAUAUUAAUUAAACAUAAUACGUUAAGUACCAAAUAUCCAUAUUUAAUAAAAUUAUAAAUUUAAAAAUAUAAUAAUUUCAAAUUUCAUCAACUAUAGUUAUAAAUUAAAAAGAAUUAAUCUAAUAAAAAAAGAAUUUACAACAAUAUAAAUAUCAAAAUAACAAAAAAAUUAUUAAAUUUCAAAUACAAAAUCAUAAAUUAAUAAAUAAUAAAAUCAAAUUAUAAUAUUUAAUUAUAAUUAUUUUUUAUCUAACUUAUACAAAAAAUUCAUUAAAAAUUUUCAUAUAAAAUUCAUAUAUAUAUAAUUUCAAAAAUUACAAAAUUUUAAAUUUAUGUUCUAAUAAAAUUAAUUAUAAAAUUAAAUAAAUAAAAACCCACCCACCUACUCAGCCCGCAUGUCCCCCUCAGUGUCCAAAAUUUCCCCCAACUCUUUCUCUAAAAAUCGACAAGCAUAUCCAAUUCUUCAUCUAUCUUCUAACCUCUUUUAAGUUUUAUCCACAUUAUCUUUGUCUUCCAAAUUGGGUUGUGAAUGGAACACGGCCGUUAUUAUUGUGAAUUUCGUUCACAACUCAAUUUUGGGAAUGUAACGGUGGCGGAGGCUAUCGAAACCGCAAAAUAGCGGCCGUAAUACCGCUACACAUAUGCUAUUUGAAACCCUACGUCUUGCCUCUGCCUGUUUGUGGCUAUUUGGAGGCAACCAGACGAACGAAAGAGAGUUCUUGGUUGAGUUGAUUCUUCGAUUUUUUGUUCAUGAAUAAGUGAUCCGAAGAAAAUUUGAAAUUAAAAUGAGAGAAACCGCUUGUCUCAUCCCAAAAUUCUCAACCUACACAAGGCCAAAUUCAUUCGUCUUGGUUGGAUGCCAGGACUUCUGUCUCCCCGUCACCGUAAUGCGAUCUUGUAUUUUACUUUUUUCGAUUGACAGCUGAUUUCUAUGCUUUUUAUUGGAACUUUCUUGUCUUCUUGCAGCACUGUGGUUCAUCAUUUAUGAAUUUGAAAAUGAAAUUUCUCUAUUGAUGAUGGAUGGAAAAUAGACGGAAAAUGGGUCUCGUGUGUUUUCUAUAUUCAGGAAGCAGAUAAUUGCUAAAAAUACAAUUAAAAUGUUAAUAAUAAAAGUUAAAAAUAUAUUAAAAGAAUUUUUAAAUAGAUUAUAUUUUAUCAUCUGUCUAAUAUUAUAAAAUGAUCAUUUUAUCUUUUCUAAUAUUAUAGAAUGAUCAUUUUACCCUUUAAUGAAAAAAGAAACUUAAAAUGUUAAUAAUAAAAAUUUAAAAGUAUAUUAAAAGAAUUUUCAAAGAGGUUAUAUUUUGACACAUGUCCAACAUUAUAAAAUGAUCAUUUUAUCUUUUUUUAACAUUAUAAAAUGAUAAUUUUAAGCUUUAAUAAAAAUAAAAUAACAUUUAAUGUAAAUAAUAAAAAUAAAACAAUAUGAGAAUAGAAAAAAAAUCAAAUCUAUAUAUUUUAGAAGCUCCAAAAGUACUAUAUUGCAACAUUAGUCUAGCAUUGUGACAUGAUCAUUUUAUCCUUUCUAACAUUAUAGAAUGAUCAUUUUACCCAUUAAUCAAAAUAAAAUAAUUUAAAAUAUAAAUAAAAAAUAUAUUAAAAAAUAUAUUAAAAGAAUUCCCGUAAAGUUAUAUUUAGACAUCUUUCCAACAUUUUAAAAUAACCAUUUACCUUUUUCAAAAUUAUAAAAUGAUUAGUUUACUUGUUUUAACAUUAUAGAAUAAUCAUUUCAUUUUUUAAUGAAAAUAAAAUAACUUAAAAUAUAAAUCAUUAAAAAAAUUUUAAAAAUGAAAAUUAGAAAAAAAUUAGAUCUAUAAAAUUUGUGUAGAUUAAAAAUUUAUAUUUGAAUUCAACAAUCUAAAAGAGAACCAAACAAUUCAUUUUGGGAAAAAAAAAAGUUAUCCUUUUACGAAAUGGUGGGGUUAAUACUAGUAACUGAAAUUAAGCACCCGUUUGAUUCCAUCACAUCGAAGCGAUGGAAUUCAAUCGGAUUUUGACCUCCAAUUGCACCGUGGUUCGUAAGAUGCAUUUGGAUAGCGCUGAUGCAGUUGGGAGCUUCUGCACUGCUUUUUAGAUUUUUAUUUAAAGGAAAGGAUCUAGUGAUUUACUAAACUCUACGACAGUCAAAUGUUUUAAUGUAUUCGGUUUAAUGUAAAAUUAAAAAAGAAAGGAUUUUCAAUUAUAUAAUAACUGCUUUUAAAAUAGGGAUAUCCUUCUUUUUAACAGAUUAUCAUUUGAAAGACGGAAAACAGAGAUGGAGAUUACAGGGGGAAAGCAGACAUAUUUCAUCAUGAAAAUUUAAUACAAAUUAUACAAAAAAAAAAAGCUUGUAUUAAUUAAUUAUAUAAUCUAAGACGAUAUUUUCUUUUACAUAUUUUCAACCUUCCAUAUCAUCUGUAUAUAAUCAUCCAUGAUAGAUAAAAUGCAAGCCAAAAAGCAGAUUAAUGAAACAACUGGAAGAAGCUAGUACAGAAUACCAGUGCAAGGUCUUAAAGAUAAAAGAAAGGGCAACCGAUCAGAGUCCUCUAGCCAACAUUUGCUCAUAAUUCUCAAUGGAUUCCAGCCUCUGGUGCAAAAAGUUGGUGCCUGAAUUUCUGGAUGAAUGCCUCAGCUCUUUUGUUUAUGUCGACGAAUGGCUUUUUUCUGUGACAUUGGACCUCAUGGCUCUAUUAUCUUUGAAGUUAUGGACAUUUGGUUCUGGAAUUUUGGAGUCGUGGUAUGAAUGAGGCAUGGAGCUGUUCUUCAUUGUAAGUGCAAGAUAGCUUUCUCUAAUUCUUUCUUCCUUGCACAACUCUCUUUGUUGAUAAGAUGACUGUUUGGUUUCCCAUAUUUAUAGCUAGGAAGUCGAAUAAAAACUGGGUUAUUUAAAGAGGACUUUUCUUUUUAUGUAGGAGCACGCCUUGCUAGAAUUUUCAAGUAAAAGAUAUCAACAAGCUCAAGUUAUAGAUGGAAGACUUUUUGGGAGGACAUGCCAUGGUGAAAAGCAUAUAUAUGCUUUUUUUAUAACUAGUGCAAAGAUCUUCCUAAAAUCUAAUAGUCAUGCUUAGUAAAAUGAUGCAUUUUCAAAACCUCAGACUUGAUUUAAUGGUUUACUGAUAUUAUGUCACAAGAUAUAGUAUGGAUAUUAUGUUGUAUUCACUGAUAUUAUGUAAAUUAAUACCGUAAAACGUUAAUAAAAUGUUAAAUUUCUCAAAAUUUUUAGUAAAAAUGUCGAGAAUCAUAUAUAUAUUUAUAUAAAAUCUAAUAAUAUAUCUUAUUCUAAACGGAAAACUACAAGAAUCUAAUUCUAGCCAUUAAGGUUGGGAUAACAAAACUGGGGAGUAUUACUGCCAACUCUGACCAUCUUUUUUGUCUUUGAAGAAAGGCCUAACUUGUAAUUUUCCGACGCGCAUUCAGGUAGUCAAAUUCAAAUGAAAAUUACGGCUUAAGCAAUGAGCCAGCAGGUUGAGGCCCCGAGGCCCCAAGGUGCCCUUUCAAGGCACCAUAGUUGGAGAUCUAAGGACAAAAUAUGAACUUGCGUUUCUAUAGAUUUACAUAUAAUAAUUGUUAGAGAUCAUACCUGUUUUACCAAAAAGAAAUAGUAUAAAAUUGAAAGACAGAUGCGUUUUUAAAUAUUAUAAUAUUCUGAUCAUCCUAAUUAAUUUGCCUCAAGUUUCCAACCUAACUCUACCUAGCCUUGAUCUUCGACCGAGUCCCAACUAUCAUACUUUUUUUUGUGAAAUGGUACCACCAUGUUCCCACCUUGGGCUUACGUCAAUGGUGGAUACACUCACAUAGUCAUAUUCAUCUUCAAUUCAGAAUUUCUUUUUCAAGAUAUCCACGGUAUAAAAAUUAUUAACAGAUUUAUUAAUUUUAUAGAUUAAAAAUAUGUUCAAAAAUUUUUUUGAAAAUAUUUGAAUUUUGUUAAUUUUUAAUUUUUUCAAAUAUUCAUAAAUAAUUGAAUACUUUAUUUGUAUCUAUCAUCAUUGUUCAUCGUAAUGAAUGUCACAUUUAAAAGAAUCAAACUAAUAAAGUUUGCAUAGGCUAUUUCUUUCAAUUUUGCAAAUUCUAUUUACCUACAAUAAUCAUUAACACCAAACAUCACCCCCACCUCCACCUUUUCUUAUUUAUUUUUAUUUUUUUAUGAAACGCAUCAUCCUUGUUAAAUCAACAAUUACCAUAAUUUACCCUCCCAUUAAAAACACAUGAAGUUCAGACAAAUCUCUAUCAAAUUGAUCUUCAAAGAAAUGCCAAAUUUUACAUCCUUUUCCUUAAUACUGAUGCAUCCUUUCAUCCUUUUACAUAGCAUGCUUAUACAUAGAAAGUGAGACUAUGUUAUAAUUUAAGAUGAAUUCUAUUAAUAAGGAGAUGAGUUUUAUUUUCUUGUUAAUUAAAUAUCAUUCAUUAUAUAAAGUACUUCGAAAAUAAAAUUAUAAAUGUAUCGAUUGACAUGAAAGAAUAUACUCUUAAAAUUAUAUGUAAAGAAGAUUAAAUUCAUGUAAAGCCUUAAAAUACGAUCGUACUAUCAAAAUCAAUAUAUUUUUUAUUAUGAAAAUCCAAAUGGAUUUAUAACGUGACUUUGGAAUCCUUACUUUCUACCUAAAAGAAAAAAGAUGGGGGUUUUUAACCACAUCAGUAACUGCAAGCCCAAGUUUUAAGCAGAUUAACUUGGAUAGAAAAAAGUUCAAAUGCAACCCAAGAUAAACUCAAGUCAAGCUGAAAUUCAGGCCCAAUAACUCUUCCUCAAAUCCACAAGGCUAAUUUGGCAACUGUCAUUUUGAAGGUUGUUCGAGGUAAGAUGGAAAAAACGAAUUCCAAAAGUACAUAAUUUUUAGUAAUGCCUUUGCUUCUGUCAACCUGUCUGCUACUAAUGCCUAGUAUCUCAAUAAUCAGUUACAUUUAUUACGUUGUUCUUUUUGUAAAUUUUGAUAUCAUCAAUGACAAUUAUAUGGAUGUUGCUUCAUGGUUCAUUCCAAUUUGAUAGGUUUCCUCAAGUCAAACUCUAGCACAAUUUCAAAGAAACAUUGUGGCUUCAAAUGAAAAAAAAAAAAGAUUUCUUUUUGUUCUUACUUUUCUAUACGUAGAAUGCUUCUAACUUUUUUAUAUAAUUUAUUAUAUAAAAUUAUUUUAUAUAUAACACGUGAAAUUAUGCUAUAAUUUAAAGAUUAAUUCUGUUAAUAAGGAGAUGAGUUUCAUUUUCUUGUCAACUAAAUCUCAUGCAUUAUGAAAAGCAUUUCGAAAAUAAAAUUAUAAAUGUAUCAAUUGACAUGAGAAAAUAUACUCUUAAAAUUAUUUGUAAAGAGAAUUAAAUUCAUGUAAAGCCUGAAAAUACGACCGCUAAAAGACAAAGGAUAGACGUUUUUAAACAUAUUAGGAAUUGCAAGCCUAAGUUUUUAGACAGAUUAACUUGGAUAGAAAACUGUUCCAAUGAAACUCAAAGACGAACUCAAGUCAAGCUCAAAUUCAGGCCCAAUCUCAGAAUCCAAUAAUGAGUAUAUUGGGCUAAAAGCCUCCAAUCCAAUCACACCAACGGAAGCGAAAUCAAACAAUAAAUCAAACACACAAAAGACAACAAUUUAACGUGGUUCGGUCCAACUGACCUACAUCCACGGAUGAGAAAAAAGAUCCACUAGUUGUAGAGAAUUACAAACAUACAACAAAUCAUCAACCUCACUCAACAAUCAAUACUCAUAAGACACUCUCAAUCUCCUUUAGUCCUAUGAAGUAUUCUCAACCCAAAACAAACACAAACCCAAACCCUUGUACACUCUUUCAACAUAACCAAACACAUACCCAUAUGCUCCCAUACAUCAUACCUAUGUGGACCCUCUCAGUCUCUUCUAGUCCACUCACAAACAAACAUACACACCCAUAAGACGUAGAGCCCCAAUACUCCUAUGGGGUGUCUAUCCCACAAAACCCUACAACUCUCUUACAUCUUUUUCUCAUACCUAACCCAGUAGAGACUUCACCUAUUUAUAACCAUACAAACUUGCCCAUUAAGAAUCCCUCUCCAUUUAGAAUUCUUCUCCUGUAAGUCAAACUUGCCUAUUAAGAAUCCCUUUCCUUUUAGAAUUCUUCUCUUGCAAGUCAAACUUACCUAUUAAGAAUCCUCUUUCUUUUGAAAUUCUUCUUUUGCAAGUCUUCUUGUCCAUCAAGCAAUAUCUGACAAAUCCCAAAAGUAAACAGUGACCAAUUCGGCUAUUACCCUAAAACCAUUUAGCUUAAGAAAACUCCACUUAAACCGUAAAAUUACAGUGUUUGACUUGGUAACUCUUCCUCAAAUCCUCAAGGCUAAUUUGGCAACUGUCCUUUUGAAGGUUAUUUGAGGUAAGAUGGAAAAAACGAUUUCCAAAAGUCUACAAUUUUUAGUAAUGCUUUUGCUUCUGUCAACCUGUCUGUUACUUAUGCCUUGUGUCUCUAUAAUCAGUGACAUUUAUUAAGUUGUUCUUUUUGUAAAUUUUAAUUUCAUCAAUGACAAUUAUAUGAAUGUUGCUUCAUGGUUCAUGCCAAUUUGUUAGCUACAUAAAAGAGUUGGUGACUUUUUUAAAAUUUCUGGUAGAACCUUGACAUGGUGGUUACACAGCUUUAAAUCAUCUGUGGUUGUAAUCUCUCAUCGUUACUUUCAUCUUGCAGUAUAGAUGGAUUCAGAGCAGUUGUGGAGCGACAUCUGGUUUGGAUCUUGAUGGCCAGCCUAUCAAAUUAGAUGUUUCAGGCUAGCAGGCACGCAUUUUGCAGCAUGAUAAGUGUGAUCAUUUGGGUGGAACGCUCUAAGAUGGUUCCUAUAACUUUCAAAACUGUUCAAAACUUGGAGAUGCCUCUUGCCAAAGCUUGGUGCCUGCUAUCUCAUAUUUUUACGGACAAAUCCAGUCGAAGCAUGAUGCACAACAAAUAAGGCAUAUACAAAAGCUAGUCUAUGAAGCUUCAAAGUAAUAGAAUUGUUAUUUGGUAAGACCUCUCUCGUUCGAGUUGAAAGCAUUGGAUUUCUUUGAACGGAAUGCAAAGUCUAUUCAUUUCAUGGCAUUUUAAGCAGUUGGGUUUGAGUUGUUCAUGCACUGCAGAUAGCGUUGAAUGCUCUUUCCGCUAAAUUCAUGGUUUUACUUUUGUAGGUGAAGUUUAUUGAAAAUACACUUUCCAUAAUGUAACUUGUUCACAUUUUCACAUUCCGCGGAACUAAUUAUAUUCUUAAUUGAAAGUAGAGCCAUUGCCUUUUGUUCAUGGCCGAUGUGAUAGGCUAAAUAUACAUGGCCGCAAGACAUUUUAUCGUUGCCAUUAUCUCCUACGGUACCAGGACAAUAUCUAACUUUAGAUUUCUACUCGAUCCCUGUCCCAUGAUUACCCCUAGAAUGCACACAAAUAACUACUACUAGGAUUUUUGUUUUGUUUGUUUGUUUGUUUGUUAUCAUAAAAUGAAAGUUAGCAACUUAAGCGGUGUAGUGGUGGCAUAACAAAAACACAGAAUUUAUCAAUAUUUAAGAGUAGUAUUGCGAGAAAUAUUGAGAAUUAAAUUUUGGGACCAUUUUUGGAGGUUUGAAGAUUUCUUUUUUAACUUUGUGUUUAGGCUUUCAUUAUUUAUUUUCUUUUUAUUUUGAACAUAGUUUUAUUUUAACGCCCCAAUUCCACAUUGGGAUGUUUUGAAAAUAUGUUACUAUAUACAUGUAGAUAUUUAAACCCAAAUCUACUAGGUGCUUUAUGUGAGACAAAAUCGUGAGAUCUUCGAGUCAAAACGGACAAUACAUUGCAAGUUGAGUGCAAGUCUUUACAAAUAAAUCAGAGUGAUGACCAGUUGAACGAGAGUUAAGUGCUACUAUAUGGGAGCCACAUCUAAAAGCUGGUGGAAGUUAAGUGCUAUACAAUGAUAGUCACCUCUAGAAUCUCAACUUCUUGUGUGAUAUUGUGAUUUGUUUGUGUUUUGUGUUGGCCUUGCCCAACGUUUGAUUUGAUUUGGUGAAUCUAUAUGUUUUGUAUUGGACUUGAUAGGAACGUCAAGCUUUAACGGGAGGAGUUUGUAACGUCUCAAUCUCACAUUGGGAUGUUUUGAGAAUUUGCUGUGAUAUAUACGUAGAUAUUUAAACUCAAAUCUAUGAGGUGCCUUGUGUGGGACAAAAUCAAAAGAUCUUCGAGUCAAAAUGAACACUAUCUAGCAAGUUGGGUACAAGUCUCUACAUUUAUACUUUAUAAUUUUUUGUUUAUUUAAUGUAUUAGUUUAAAUUUUUUUUAUAAUUGGAUUUAUCUUCAUAUUAUACUUAUUUAAUAGACUCAUUACAAAAGUGAUGAUUCCUCACCAAAAAUAUGUUGAUUCAUGAAGAGAUGUUUUAAAUAUUAUUUUUAGUUUAUAAAUAUUUUUAGUAACGUUCAUUUAACAAAAUUUUACAUCUUAUCUCUUACGGUUUAAAUCAUUAUCUCUCAUGUUAAUUCAUGUUUUCAAAUAGUUCUUGAAACGUAAUACCAAAUUUCUUUAAUUAAGCACUACGUCAUUGAAAUAACAUCUUUAAUAGUCAAUUUGCAUUAUAGUGAAAAAAACUAUUACCCUUGAUAAAACUUUUGAGAAGUGUCUUACCUAAAUUUCUUCUUUUCUUAUCCUCUAUAGGUUGCAUUAGUUCCAAACCAUCACUUACAAUAGUAUCCCUAGUCAUUGCUUCAACUAAUUUUUUUUUCCCAACGAUUUUGAAGGUAACACUCAUCUUCAUGGAUAUGAUGCAUUUAAAUUAUACAUUUUUUUUGUGUUGUUAUUAUUAGAUGAAUUUGAUUGAAAGAAAAGUAGGUGUAAAGUAACCCUUGUUACAAAUAAAUAUGUUACGGCAUUAAGGUUGUUUUAAAAAUGUUUUGAAAAAAACUAAUUACAAACUCCAAUGAUACUACCAUUUGGCAUUUAACAUUUAGAAUCCAUCGGGGAUAUAUAUGGCUAAGAAUUUAUCACUUAUGCAUAUUUAGGAUAGUGUAGGAUUGGCCUGAUUGUCUUUUUCCUUCAAUUUGGAGAACAAUGGUUUUCUACUUGCUUUCAGCACACAUGAGAAAGGAGGCAACAACACAGGGGUUUUGGUUUUUAGUGGCAUUUUUUUUACCAUUUAGCGGUGUUUGCAAAAAAAUACCACGCAGAGUGCCGCCUAUACAUACGUCACGGUAAAUAGCGGCGUUUUCGAAAAAACACCUCAAUAUUAGCGGCGUUUAUAUCUGAAGUACCACCAUUUUAGCAGCAUUUAUAUCUUUAAGACACCAUUACUUUAGAGGCGUUUGAAUUUGAAAAUAGCUCAAUGUUAGCGGCGUUUAUAUCUUUUAGUCACUGUUAUUUCAAUGGUGUUUUUAUAAGAAAAAUGCCGUUGCAUUGAUGGCAUUUGUAACAGAAAAUGUCAUUACUUUGCAUGGCAUUUGAAUUUGAAAACACUUCAAUAUUUACGGCGUUUGUAUCUUUUUGGCGACGCUAAUUUAGUGUUAUUAUGGGAAAAAUGCUGUUGCUUUAGUGGCAUUUGCUGGAAAGAGCGUUGCUACUUAUAAUGACGUUUUAUGCUACAAACGCCACUAAAUUAUUCAUUUAGCAGCAUUGCCCAAUGCAAACGCCGCCAUUAUGUAAAAAUGUAUUUUUUUUUAAUUUCUUAUAAUAAAUUUUAUUUUCAAUAAAGAAUUUAAAUUCAAAACUAAAAUUAGUAUUAACUUCAUUCACAUUUAAAUAUAUAUCUAAUUAAUACAAAGUUUAAUAAUUAGUAUAAUGACAUUCAAAUAUUGUAAAUACAUUAACCAAAUAAAAAAUUAAAAUGUAUGAAAUGGAUGACUACAUACAUUUUGUUGGUGGCCAAUUGAUAAAGAAAAUUUUUUACCUUGGUAACUAGCGUGUUCAACAACCUACUAAAUAAUACCAUACAAUUUUUAACACUUCAUUGUAUGCUUAUUUUUUAUUUAAAAAUUUUAAUAUUUACUAAAUAUAAUACUUGAGUUGAUGGAGCACUAAGAUCAUUUCCUAAAAAUUGUUGUUGCACAAAAUUCAUAAGAUGAUCGAAUUGAUCAUACAACUGCUGAAAUUUUGCACACUCUAGCUCCAUUAUAGCAUGUUAUUCUUCAAUUUUGGCACGCUCUUGUUCUCUUUCUACUUCCAUCUGCUGAAAAUGUUGUUGCAUAGUUUGCAACUCCCCUCUCAAUAUUGAAAUGUCUUACAAUGACUGAUUUGCUGAGAGCGUAAAUUACAGAGAGUUAUGUCUAUAGUAGACGGAUGGUGUUGGACCCAAUCCAAGGCCUCGAACCGUCCAUUCCUUUCUUUUCCAGCAACUUCUAUGAAUAUCUAAUUUUUUAUUUCUUGCAUGUUGAGAGAACCUUCAGAUGCUACUUUAAUCUCAGCAACCAUUUUCUCUUUCACUUUCUCAUGUGAAUUUGUCAUAUACAACUAUCAAGUUUAAUGAUUAAUUGGUUAUAUGUUAAAAAGAGUUAAUAUUUACUUUAUGCUAAAAUAGAUGAUACACAUUACCACAAUUUCUUGUGUUUUGACAUUCAUGUAAGAUCUAUCUUUUUUUAUGUGUGUUACACGAAAAAGUUUCACACGUCCAAUUGUACUGCCCAUCUCAUUCUCCUAUAUAUAAACAUAUGUUAUUUGAUAGGAUACACAUCAACCGUAACUUAUUUAUGCAUAUCAAUCCUAUCAAUCAAGUGUUACAAUUUUGAAUAACUUUAAUCUUCUUUAUUUAUAUUUUGGCCUUGUAACAACACAAUAGUCUUAAAUAUAUGCAAAGAAUAAAAGCAUUUUGGGCUUUCACACAUAUCGAUCAUGGAAACCAAAUUCAAUUAUUUUCUCUUGGUUUAAUAUGAAGGAUUGAAGCCAUUCAAUAUGUUGAAAGGCAUCCAAAAUUUAUUUGUAUAAUUUACCUUUCAUAUGCAAAAAUAUUCCCAAAUAGACAUAACUGGCAACUUUUUCUCCAUAUCAACCAUAGAACCAAGUUCAAUCAAUCAGACAAGCUUAAUAUCAAGUAUUGAAGCUAUCAAAACUAUUAAAAUAUAACAAUAACAACAACUAGAUAAUAAACAUGUAAAUAUAUGUAAACAGUAAUUUUUCAUACAUAUCAUCUGUGUAACUAAGUUCAAAACUUUCGAUAAGUUUAAUAUCAUGUAUUGAAACAAUCAAAUCUAUUAAAACAGAACAAUAAAUGUUAAUUUCCAUAUUUACCUUUUAACGGCAAAAAAAAUUCAUUCAUUGGAAUAAGUUAAUUAUCAUAAACUUAUGAUUUCUUUUUGCUUUCUUGCAAAACUUUUUAAUCAACUUAUGUGGCUAUAUUUCUAUUGCUUUUUGCUACCAAUCCCAAUCUGUUCUCUUUUCUGUCAUAAAAAAUAAUUACGUAUAUGAUAGAAAUACAAAUAUUACCAAAUGAAACCAUCAAACACUUUCAUCAUUUCAUUAUAUUAUACAAAGUUAUAAACUAGUACCUCUCAUUUUCUUGAGAACCAAAAUCUAACCAGUUGUUCAUAUUACCACCUAAUCACAUUAUGGGAUAGAUUUGCAUCAUCGCCACUACAAUAGUAUUUCAAUCAAAAUACUUAUUCUUCAAACUAUGCUUAUAAUCUUUCCAUUUCUUUCCCAAUGACUUAAGCAUAAAUGAAGUUGGUAUUUCAAGUACAAAUCUUGACUAUAAUAAUACAAUAAAAAAGUUUGAAUAAGUAAACAAAAUGUAAAAUAAAAAAUUUGAAUAUAUCUAAUUAAUUAUACUAAUACCUCAAUAAAGUUUAACGCAUUGGCCUUAACUUCUUUUGGAAUAUUAUGCCAUGUUUCAUAAUGAAUAGGCAAUUUCAUUCCAUUAUGAGCUAGCAUGCCUAGAAAUCUAACCAAUAGUUGAGCCUCUUCACUAAUUGGUUGCCUAUCAGAGUUUGCAGACAGUACAAUACGCUCGUUAGGAGGUAGUGCAAACAAUUCCUUCAAAGUUGUUCAACCUCUGGUCUUUCAUUAACCAUUGUUAUCAACUACAACAAAUAUAAAAUAUAUUUGUAAAAUCACAAUACUUAUAUCAUUACACUCGAAUUUUAAAAUUGGAGUAUAUCAUACCUACAUUCAAAUUUAAAGCAUAAUCAAUUGAUGGGGUACUAUCUAAACCUAGACCUCUUGUAUUGCCAGAUAUAAUAUCAAUUGAAGGGUUAGAAGUGACGGAGUUAGAUCCGAUAGUACGUUCAUUGACCUCCAAAGGAUUCAAUCCAUAGCCAAUAUCUAUAGGUGCCAUAGACAGUUCUGAACUAAUAUCUCUUAUAUGUUUUCCUUUCAACAUACUUCUUCGUAUUAUAGCUUACCUAUAUCAUAAAAGCGAAUAUAGAAAAAAUUUUAGUUCAAAAGAUAUAUAAAGACAUUUUCAAUUUAAGAAAUCAAAACUUACGAUAUAUAAAAAACAUAUCGAUUUAAUUAAAUCAAAAUAUAAUGUAUGAUUUAGAAGACAAUAAUUAUACAAUAGCGAAUGUGACAUUAUUUACAUACUAUUAUUUACUACAUUAUAUCUUACAAAGUCGAAUUACAAAUUAUAGGUGCACAGAAUCAUGGUUCGUAAAUGUCUUCAGCAACAUCUUCGUAGACCCACUGAGCGUAGGUACUAGAGAUAUUCUCAUCCAAGUUUUAUUUAGUAAAAGGAUAACAUUCAGUUUCAUGUUCAACAUCAUUUUUGGUAUCUAACCCCAUAUCAAAUAAGUCUCUAGGUGUGUUUCGAAAAACAACAAACCAACCUAAUUCUUUUAGAUCUUCAGAAUAAAAUACUUGUUUGACAUAAGAUAAAAAUACAUAAGGUUCAUCGAUGAGUUGUUGUCCAAUGUGAAUUAAUCAAAAAAAAAAUUCAUAAGUAUAAAUCUGUACUGAUCUUUCUUAAGACCCCUUGCACUAUUCACAUCUGUCCAAUCACAUCGAAAUAAGACAACUUUCCACUUGUCAUAAUAAUUCAACUCAAUGAUGUCAUUAAUCAUACCAUAAUAGUCAACAUUUCUUCUAAAGGGUUUGUGUCCCUAGCACUAGCAUAGCUAGUAGUUGAUGAAGUCACAACAACUCCUGAAUUUUGUAUACUUCUAAAUCUCUCAUGGGAUUUUGUGUGAAAUCUAAAUCCAUUGAUGAUGAAACCUUUGUAUCAUUUCAUAAUCUGGUUCGGACUGUGUGAAAGACACUUUACCUUUUCACUAACAAGUCUUCCACUCCAAACCUAUAAAAGUGGAAUAAAUAUAUAUAUGUUAUUAAUCUUAUUUUUACCGUAAGCAUUCUAUGUAGAUAAAAAACAAUGGGAAGUAUGGUAUUACUUAUAAUUGCUCUUAACCAUUUAUGAAAGUUUUCAGUGAACAACUUAUCAAUCUCUCAAGGGUUUGAUCAUCGAUAAUGUGCAAGAUCUCUCAAAUUAUUUCUAUACUCACUAUAAAGCAUCAUGAUAAAGUAUUAACACUAAAAAAAAAAACACAAUAUAUUAUGCCUAAUGUAAUGAAUAAUUUCUUUGCUAAAAAACUUAUGUGCAAAAUGAUUCAAUUGAGUCAUGAUGAAAAAGAAUAUAUCGAUGUGCUUGUGCCCAAGAUUUAUCAUCUAACUCCACUAAUUUAGCUUUGCCUAUGGGUUGUUUAAAACUUUGAAAAAGAUAAUUAUAGGCCAAGUCUAUAUGCUACAUACCAAAAUUUCUCAAAAGUCUAUUAAAUCUCAUUUCAACAUCUUUCAAAUAAUGAGAACAAAAUGUCAUACAUUCUUCUGCUAAAUAUCCUUCAAUAAUAGAACCUUUCGGAUAGUGUUUGUUGCGACAAUAAGACUUUAACCUCCUUAAAAACCUAUAGCAUAAAACAUUAGUCAUAUGUUAUUUUAAGUAGAUUGACUUGAUAAUCAAUAAAAACAUAAUCAAUCUAUUAACAAAUAAUACCUUUCAAUAGGAUACAUCCAUCGAUAAUAAAUCAACCCACUGACCUUUGCUUCAUAUGAAAGGUGGAUAACUAAAUGUAUCAUAAUAGUGAAGAAGUUUGGAAGGAAGAUCUUCUUUAAAUGGCAUAAAGUAAUCGUGGCCUGAUCUUGAACUUUGUCAAGCUCUUCCACAUUUAUACAUUUCUGACAUAAAAAUUUAAAUAUGUUACUCAAUUCAAUUACCAUAAAAGUCACUUGCUUUGACAUUGAUGAGCAUAAAGCAAUUGGAAGUAAGUCUUGCAUCAAAAUGUGAUAAUCAUGUGACUUCAAUUAAGAAAGUUUUCGCUCUUUCAUAUUCACAGAUCUUGAUAUAUUUGACGCAUGUCAUCUGAAAUUUUGACAUUUUUCAAAAUCUUGCAAAACAUAUCUUUUUUGGCUUUAGAAAUCUCAAAACAAGCAAUAGGCAAUUGAUAUUUGUUAUUAGGAAGCAGCAUCGGAUAAAGGUCUGGGUGAAUCCCUAUAUCAACUAGAUCAAGUUGACUCUUUAAGUCAUCAUUGGAUCUUUUAUUCACAUUGAGAAUUGUCCCAAUAAAAUUUUUGCAAACAUUCUUCUCUAUGUUCAUUAAAUCAAGGUUAUGGCAUAAUAAAUUAUAUUCCUAAUAAGGUAACUCAAAAAAAUACUUUUUUUUUCCAUAACUCAUACUCAUUGAGGUCAUCUACUUCAUCGUCCUCUUCAUCACUUUGAACAUCAAGAUCACUAACUUCUGUAUGCCUAUCACCAACUUGCGAAUACGAGGCCAAACACCUUCAAAGAUGUCCCUCACUCUUUUUCUUGAUGGAGUCAUUUUUUCAUAUGUGAAAUUGAUAUCUUUAAACUUUGAUAAGAUAUUAGACCCACUAAUGGGUAAAGGCGAUCUCCUUCAACUUUUUAGUUCCAUCAAAUAGAUACUUUUGAAAUCUAAAUCGAUGAUUAUUAUCUAACCAUCGAUGAUGUCCCAUAUACUAGAACUUUCUACUAUUACGUAACCACAUCGAACAUGUCUGUGCAGCACAACAUGGACAAGCAUAACGACCUUUUGUACUCCAACUAGAUAAAUUUGUAUAAAUAGGAAAAUCAUUGAUAGUCCAUAAUAAAGUAGCAUACAUAUUGAAGUUCUCUGCUUUUGAUGCAUAUAGGUCUCAACUCAUUCCCAUAAUUGCUUUAACUCUUUAAUAAGAUGUUGUAAGUAGAUAUUUAUAUCAUUACCCAGACCUUUUUCCUUGGGAAUUAUCAUAGACAAUAUAAAUGACUAUUGCUUCAUAGCAAUCCAUGGUGGCAAAUUGUAAGGAAUCAAUACAACUGACCAAGUACUAUAAGAAGUACUUAUCAUUUGGAAUGGGUUGAAUCCAUCAGUCCAAGCAUAACAUUUCGAGGAUCAGAUGUAAAGUCUGGAAACCUUGAAUGAAAUGACUUUCAUGCCAAAGAAUCUGCAGGAUGCAUUAAUGAUCCAUCAUUUAUCCGCUUUUCAUGAUGUCACCUUAUUGAAUCUAUAGUUUUGGAAGACAUCUAGAGUCGUUGAAGUGUUGGUAUUAAUGGAAAAUAGUGUGAAACCUUAACAGGCUUCUUUUUGACACAUACUUCAUCACCAUCAUCAUUCAACCUUUCAUUGAGAUUUUUGUUGACCCAACGAGAAAUACCACACAAAUGACAAGAUUUUUUAUUUUCUAUCCCCUGAAUACAACAUGCAAUCAUUGGGACAACUAUAAAUUUUCUUAUAUCUGAGACCUAAAUCCUUGAUCAUCUUCUUUGAUUCUUUACAAGAUUUAGGGUUUUUUUGCAAAAGGAAACAUUUCUUUCAUAAAUUGUAAUAAUAAAGUCAAAGAGUUUUUUAUCCAUCCACAUAAGCAUUUCAAGUGAAAAAGAUGAACAUAGAAAGACAACCUUGAAUGCUUCGAUCCUUCAAAAAGUUUUUCAUUCAUCUCUUCAAACUACCUAUAAAAUUUUAAUGCUUUUCUUCUAGGUUGUUGGUCACGUAAACCUAUCCCAGGUUCACCAAAUUCAUGUAUUUCAACAUUAGACUGAUUAAAUCCUUCAUUUUAGGGAGAAAGAUUAUGAAAAUUUUGGUUAUGAAUGUUAAAAGUAUCUCACAAUAUGCCUUUAAUGUCAUCUGCUAUAAAGGGAUCAUAUUGGUGAUAGAGAGUCUUUGAUGUUGAAAGAACUAUAGUAGAAGACCUUAACGGUAUAGACUCUUCAUGAAAAUACAUAUUAACAUAUCCCGAUAGAAAUCCAAUACAAAUUAAAUGCUCAUCAACAACUUAAUGCAUUUGCCACUCGAUAUUAGCACAUUUCACACAUGGGCAUAAUAUCAUAUUAUCUUCACUUGUAUUCUCAAAUGCAAAAUUAAUAAAAUUUUCCACUUCAUCUCUGUACUCUUGACUUAAUCUUGACUUUUGCAUCUAACUCUUAUCCAUUUAUUAUUUGCUACAUUAUCAGACCAAAUGUAUAUAAAUAAUUAAUAUGAAAACGAACAUGUACAAUUGCAUAGUUUACUAUGUUUUAAACAAAAGAUAAUAACAAAAAUAGUACUUACACAAAAUGAGGACUCCUUGUUGUAAAGUAAUUUAUCAGCUACCAGAUAUUAUGAUUGUUAAAACUUGGUGAUAAUGUAGACAGUACCCAAGAGUAUUUGUAGUUGGGGUUGACAUAAGGUGAAAUAAGGUAGGUUUUGUAAAAAAAAAUUUUCACCAAAAAGAAAAUCAUGAAUUGCAAAAGCUAAAGGAAUAGUCAAUGAAGUAAAAGCUAAAGUCAAUAAGUUACGAAUAGUCAAAAUAGGGUUCUAAAAGAUAAUACUCGAAUACUAAAAGCGAAAAGAAAGGGAAAGUAAAUUGUACUUGGUCUGGAAAAAAAUUAGUAUAAUAAUUAAGAUAAAGCUUGAAGUUGGUGAUUGGAUGCACUAAGUUUGGGAAUAUUUUUAUUAGACAUGAUUAUGGAAGGCAUUUACUAACAAAAAAUGCCAACAAUAAUUCUCUCCUAAAUAUUUUUGGAAUAUAUUAUAGGUGCCUUGAACAUAUCGUCACACAAAUUUUAACACUAUUAUUGAAAAGCAUAUAUCCAAGAAAGACCCCUUUAAUAAUUCCUAUCAUAGUUUGUAGUUAAUUACUGAAGGCGGUUGUAAAAAACAAUGCCUUCAAUAAUUUUCCUAAAAAACUUUUCUUGAAUUAUUAAAGGCCUCUUUUAUUAUGACACGCCUUCAAUAUACCACGAUGAUAAUGGAAGGUGUUUAUUAGAAAAAGGCACCUUCAAUAUACCUUUAAACUUAGUAAUCCAUUACUAAAGGCGUUUGUUAAUAACAGAUGCCUUUAAAAUUUUCCCACUUAAUAUUUUGGAAAUUAUUAAACGCGUUUUCUACUGUAAAAUGCCUUCUAUAUACCGCCACACAAAUUUUAACACUAUUAUUGAAGGCAUAUAUUUAAGAUAGAUGCCUUUAAUAAUUCCUAUCACAAUUUGUAUAUAAUAACUGAAGGCGGUUUCAAAUAACAACACCUUCAAUAAUUUCCCAAAAAGUAUUUUUUUGAAUUAUUAAAAGGGUCUUUAAUUAUAAAAGGCCUUCAAUAAUUUGUUAUAAACUUUAGAAAUCCAUAAUUAUUGAAGGUGACUUUUUAGUGAAAACGCUUUUUAUAAUUUUUUAAAAUUAGAAAAGGUAUUUUUUUUUUUAUAAAAUACACCUUUAAUAAAUUGGUUGGACAAUUUUAAAGGCUUAUAAUUAAAUGCGUUUUUUUUGUAAAAAACAUCUUCAAUAAUCUCCAAUAAAAUUUUUUCACUAAAACUUUUGAGAAUAAUUAAAGCAUCUUGUAUUGUAAAAUGCCUUCUAUAUACCGUCACACAAAUUCUAACACUGUUAUUGAAGGCAUAUAUCCAAGAAAGAAGUCUUUAAUAAUUCCUAUCACAGUUUGUAGUUAAUUACUGAAGGCAAUUACAGAAAACAACGUCUUCAAUAAUUUCCCUAAAAAAAUCUUUUCGAAUUAUGAAAGGCAUCUUUUAUUAUAAAACGCCUUAAUAAUUUGCUAUAAACUUUGGAAAUCCAUAAUUAUUGAAGGUGAUUUUUUACUGAAAAUAUCAUUUUAUAAUUUUUAAGAAUUAAAAAAGGCGUUGUUUUUAAAGGCUUAUAAUUAAAGGCAUCUUUUUUGUAAAAAACGUCUUCAAUAAUCUGCAAUAAAAUUUUUAAGUGAUUAUUGAAGGCAUUGUUCCAUGGAAAUACCUUUAAUAAUUAAUUUUAUAUUCAUUUCCCUACCUUGAACAUAGGAAUUUGUAAAGGGUUGGUACACGAAAUGAUUAAAAGUUGUAUUAUUUAACCAAACAAACCAAACCCUUAAACACAUUUCUAGUAAACCAUUGCUUUCUUUCUCCUAUUCCUCACCAUCAACCUUCAAUAAAUCACCACUGUGAACGUCUGUUUUAACUAGUAAAUCUUUCUUUUUUUAGUUUACUCUAUUAUUUAUGCCUUCAAUAGAAAUUUUUAUUUUUUUAGUUCCUUAAUAUUGACAUAUGCAUUUAUAUAUUUUCAUUAACAUCACCGUCAGCAUAGUCAUCCAAGAUUCUAUUUAUAUUGCAAGUAUGCUAUUUCUAUGUAGUACAUAUUAAAUAUUGUGGUUUGCUGAACUUUAUUGAUUGAUAUUAUAUUGCCAAAUGGAAUUGUAUGAUAUUGAGGGUCUGAAUAAUAUUUCAUGCUGAAUGGUUUGCUGAACCUUAUUGUCUAAUAUUAUUUUGCUGAAUGGGUUUGAAUUGGGGCUGAAUGGCAUUUCUGAGUGGUUUGCUAAAAGAUAUGUAUGAGCACAUUGCUGAAUGGUGUGCUAAAUGCUAUUUUUGUACAUAGUAUGGUAUUGAUUGUAUUAAAUUAAGUACAAUUUAAUUAAAAUGGGCAACUGUGUCAAAAGGAGUUGUCAAGAUGGCUACUCAUAUUGGAGCCAUCAUCCGUUGGAGGAUUUGAAUUACGUACACCAAUUGGCGACGAGUUCCUAAUGAUCUAAAGGAUGAGAUAUGGCAGUCCGUUAUGGUAUGUUUAUUCAACUAUUUCGUAAAAUUUGUUAUAUGAUCAUUUCAUUGAAAUUCAAUGUGUUAAUACUAUUUGUGUUAACUUAUUUAGGAUCAGUUCGACGUCCCAAUUGAGUGUAACAUGAUUUUGUUGCAAUAUGCUAGGAAAGCUUUCAGAGGCUUUAAAAGCAGAUUAACAACCUAAUAUAUUUUAUCGCUGGCUGGUGACGAUGAUUUUUGGCUGUUCCACCUGCGGCAUAUGUAGAAGUCAUAAGUGUUGAAGAUUGGAGAAAUUUUAUUUAAUAUCGACUUUUAGAAGAUUUCUCGAUACACAAACCCAUUACCAAAUUAGUCUAAGUUUAAAAGUCUUUAUGCAAUAUAGCAUUUGAUCUUCAUAUGUGAUUGACGUAAUUUCUUGAUUUUGUAAAAAUCAAAGAACAACAUUGAGACAUUUGGGCCAAAUAGCAAUAUCACCAUUAGACAACAAGAAAAGGAUAUGCAACUGUGAAGUAUGAGCUUAUAUGUAUUCACACACUUUUUUUAUACUCGUUAAUGAAUAUUUAAGAACAUUCAUUUCAUACAUUCUGAUUCUUUUAUUGCGGUGAUUUAAUAAGAAUCGAUGAUCUCAAACACAGAAGUUUCCAGAUGGAUGUCUAGAAACAAGGACAUCUACGAAAGAAUGGAUCCUUCGCAGAUGAAGCAACCGAGGAAAUGGUAAAAAAAUUGUAUAUAUAACUACUUUUUUGAUAUAAUGUAUGAUUGGCAUUGUGGUUAUAUGCAUGAGUGUAUACUAGCUUGUGUAGAUCUGUUCUAACAGCGUAACUUAUUAUUGUCUUUCAAGAUGAUUAUGCUGCCAAAAGUAAAAUCUGGUGAACUGGCAACCUAGUAUGGCAAAGAUCCUUUUUCUUUAGCAUUAGGCACUAAAGAAAGGCCUGGUCGGGUUCAUGGGGUUGGUAAAUUUAUCUUGCCAUCAACGUAUUUUGGUAAACAACCAAAAACUCCAAAAUGAGAAAUGCACAAUAUGAAGCAAUAAUUGAGCAACAAUAGUAACAAAUUAAUGACCAGAGUAACGCCUCAAUGAUCAACAGUAAAGAGUCGCUACUUUGGAGUCCAUGUUGGCAGCAAUGCAGUAGGUUAUGCCAAUACCCCAGCCUGAUAACAUCGUCCCUGUACGAAAAGCUUUCAUUACAAGUAAGGAAGCCAUCCUAUCAUCCGUUACCACCCAAAAAGUAUGAUAUUGUUUAUAAUUUGAAUAUUAAUUUGUUUAUUAUAUUGACUGAUUUGGUUUUAAUACUUAUAUUUCAUUAAAUAUUGUAGGAAAAUGUUCAGACUCAAAGUUUGACCCUUGCCCAGACUUCCAUGGAUGAGUUAACAAAAUAUUCACUAGAGAAUUCUACAGGUGAAAACUUCAUAUCCAUUGAGUCUGAGGAAAACUUAUUUGAUAAACAAUCAUUUUCUUUCAUUGGUGUGGAUAAGGUGAAAGAAUUUUGUGAAAUUGAUGAAUUAUCAGCUGCUAAAAUCAUUACUUAUAUGAGGUUAGCUUAUAAAUACAAAUAUGCACAUUCAAUAUGUAGUAAGUUGGUAUUAGGGUGUAAUACUAACUAGUAGUGUUGAUUGUUAUCAUGUAGCUUCAUAUAUAGAGAGCUGAAGGGAGAUAGUUGAGGAACAAAUUUAAAUUCAUUGACCCUAACUUCAUUAGUGAAUAGAGUGGCACAGUCGUAUAUCAUGCUAAUCAUGUGAUCCAAUGCAUGGAAAGACCGGUUGAUUAUUAUUUGCUCCUGUAUAAUGCACAGUAAGCUAUAUUCCAACCUUAAUUACUCCAACCUACUCCAUUUUAUGAUCUGAUGCAUAUUCUAAGUAUAUCAUUGUUAUUAUUUUGCAGUCGUCAUUGGGUGCUUAUUGUGAUUGACACCAAAUCUUUAACGCUAUACUUUUUUAAUUCAAUUAAUCCAACGGCGAUACUUAACCCCGAUAUUCAAACUUUUAUAAAGAGGUAUUACAGUACUUUAUUAUAUUAUAUAUGUUCUAUUUCUUCAUAAGAAAUUUUAUUUAUGUUCCCACUAAUUUUUUUUUCAUUUCAAUUUAGGGUAAUAUCUGCAUUCAAUAAGAAGAUAAAGAAACUGAAAUAGGUGUCAUUACUGGUAAAUGUCAAAUUUAUUCUUUUAAUACUGAGUUUGUGUAGAUAAAUAUUUUUUAAAUUGACUCAAUUUAAUUUUUAGGUACCUCAUCAACUCAGUAAUACUGAAAGUGGAUAUUAUAUCCUUCAUUUUAUGCGAGAGAUAGUGUUACAUGAUUUUAUGACCACACCAUUCAAGGUUAGUAUAAACUCAUUAUAUAUUCAAAAAAAUAAAAUAGUACAUUAUGUUCUCAUUUCUUAACAUUUACUUUUGAUAUUUUUUUAGUGAAAGGGUAAAGAAAGCUUCACGGAAGAAGAGCUGGAUGAAGUCCAUAAAGAAGGGUGUGAUUAUGUAUUGUAAUUUAUCAAUGUUGAUAAACCUUCAGUUAGACAUUGUUGGUUGAAUGUAAAUAUAUAUGAAAGAAAUUGUUAUAAUGUUUUUAACAUGCCAUAUUGAAUGAAAACUUUAAGUUUAAACAUUGGGGGUAUUGGUUUAAUAUUAUUGUUAUACUUAAUAUGAAUACACUAUGUAUACUUAUUAAAUUACUGAGUACGAUUAUUUCAUAAAACUAUAUUAAUAUGGCAACAUUAUCAGUUUUAAUUUUGGAUGUGUGGUCAAUUAUUUUGAAAUACAACAAUGUUCAUUAUGCAAAUUCCAAAAUGUAAUUCAUAGUAUCAAAUAUAUAAACCAAAUGUUUUCUAGGCAUAAAUAUACAACUGACAGCAAAGGUUUUUCUGGGCAUAAACCUACAACUGACUUAACAUAUAAAGUACCAAUUAUGCUUUUUUGAUGUGAUUAAUAAAGGCAUUUUUAGCAAGAAAAUGCCUUCAAUCACCCAUAACAGAAAAACAUUAAAGGUGUUUUUUACUAAAAUCGCCUUCAAUAAUCCCCUAAGAAAUUAUUGUCUGGAAUAUUAAAGGCAUUUUGGGUAAAAAAUGCCUUCAAUAAUACCAACUAAAAAUUAAUUGAAUGGAUCAUGAAGGGCAUUUUCCUACGGGUUACACCUUUAAUAAUCCCAACAAAAUGUUUUUGAAGGCAUUUUUGGAUAUAGCCACAUUCAAUAAUUCGCUCAUUAAAAUUUAUCGUUGGAAAUAUUAAAGCUGUUUCGAGCCAAAAACCUUUAACCAUCCCAUCCAAGUUUUGUCUAUGGAAUAUUGAAGGUGUUUAUUACAAAACUGCCUUUAAAAAUCCAAAAAAAAAAUUUACUGAUUGGAUUAUAGAAGGCGAGUUCAACCAAAAAAACCUUCAAGAAUCAACCUCAUAUUUUUCCUAUCGAUUAUUAAGGGUGUCUCUCCAUGAAAAAUGCCUUCAAUAUUGUAUGAUAAAAUUUUUUAAGCAAUUGGUGAAGGCAUUUUUGCCAAGAAAAUGCUUAGAAUAAUCAAUAACAAAUAAUCUGUGCCUAAACCCAAAAAAAGGCUAAAGGACAGAUCAGACCAACAAUCUUAUGGUAACAUCCAUAUAAUCCAAACAAUUUGAUAAGCUUAAUACUGAAUGAGUUUUUGAAGAAAAUAAAUUUAAUAAGCCUGGAAAAUUUUUUUGUCUAAAUAUUAAAGGCGUUUCUUGUAGACAACGCCUUCAUUAAUAUUGUACAAUUUUUUAUGACAUGAUUAUUGAAGGCAUUGUCUACCAAAAAUACACUUUAACUAUUCACCAAAACUUUUAAUAAAAAAUAUUCAAGGCAUUUUAAUCAAGAAAUGCCUCUAAUAUCAAGUCUUGGGUGACGUUUAUAAGUAACAACACUGCUAUUUGAAUAUUUAGUGGCUUUUGGAUAACAAACGUCUGAAGUUUUGUAAAAACACGGAAGCUAGCAAUGUUUGUAAAUGAAAAGCCACUACAAAACUGCCACUAAUACGCCAUUUUGCUAUAAUGCAACUCUUUUAUCUUUAUUUCUUUUGUUUUAUCAAUUCAAUUAUUAGAGGUGGACAUCAUGUCAAAAUGAAAAAGCAGAUAUCCCCUCAAUAAUGCCAAGUAUUGUUAUAAAUGUUGCUAUAAUAGAAAUUGAUUUAUUGGCAUAAAAAUGCAAAUAAUUCUAGAUAAAGUGAUCAUAUUUAAAUAAAGCAUUAGAUCUUAUGAGGUUCUGGCUUAGUGAGUUAAUUAGUGGCAAAAAUGAGGUUUUAGAAUCCUAAAGUCCUAAGUUCAAGUUUCAUUAUAUGUAACAUAAGUUUCAUUCAAUUUUAUAUUGAAUUUGUCUAAUAAUAUUUUAAUUUAUUAGUUAAUUAUUUAAUGAUUUGUUAUAUAUAAAUGUAAUAUUGAAUUAUAAUUAUAAAUUCCCUUCUAUUGAUUAACUUUCAUUGAAAAAAUAAAGCAUUAGAAAUUAAAAAAGACUAUGUAUAUACAAAUAAAAAGGUUGAUAGUGCUCUUCUGUCCAUUUUUCAUAAAUGCUUGACUUGAACCCUAAAUUUGCAACUUACUCAUUGUCUAAAAUAAACAGAUUAUUGUAGUAAUAAUUUCCACCAAGAAAACUAGACUAUGAACAUCUUUCCAAUAGAAGACUCAAAAACAUUUUUUUCCAUUUAGGACGUGCUAAGUGAACAAAAGGUAUUAGGUGCAUUAAAGUUUCAUUUUGAUAAAGUAAAGUACCAUUGAGAUACUUUCAUUCGAACAAAACAAACUUGAGAUUAAUUUUAGAGUUAGCUUUUUAUAAAUUAUCAGAAUAAUUUUUAAUUCUAUAACUGAAAUUAAGAGACUAAUAUUAGUUUUUUUUUUAAUAUAUCCUACUAAUUGAGCUUUAGAUCAAUUGAUAUGUCAGAAGAAUUGAUGUUUAUUGUAGGUUUGAAAAUGUUUAUGCGCAUAAUUUUUUUUAACCAAGUAAAUAUUAAAGUAAAGAAAGUUUAAAGAUAGAUUAGGGAUCUCUCUAAAAAUAUUAAUAUAUCCUAAAAUAUAUAUCACAUUGUUAACCCCAUUUUAUAAAAAUUAAAAAACUUCACUGACAAUUGAUGAAAUAAUUUCUUCUAGUUUCAAGAGUUCUUUGAACUUUUAAAUGAAUUGCUUUAACCAUUUUUUAGUUAAUUAUAGGAUUGGAGAUUGGAGUUUUUAUGGCAAAACUUGUUAGGUAGGUAAGUUGGGUUCUACUAACUCCUUAGUUAAAAAAUAAAUAAAAAGAUGAAAUCAUAAUUUCUUCAGCUUUGGAAGAAACAAUAUAAAGAAAAGAAGGUAUUCAAUAAUUCAUAGAUUAUUCUACCAAAAAAAAUUCAUAGAUUAACCUAACCAUAAUCUUCUUUUCUUAUGGCUAAAAAAAACCCUUAAUCCCCUUCUUAAUCAGUGGCCAAUGGGUCUUCAAGGACAUCUCUAAUAUGCUAAAAAGUAAUGUUAAUGCACGUAAAAGAAUUAAGCAAAUUGGGGGCAAGGGUCCACUCUCCCCUAUUUGAUGAUCCCCUGAAUUCUUGAAAUUUUCUGCCAAAGAAUAACAUAACAGAGCAGGGGAGAGAUUCUCUUGUAAACUUACCCGUUUCCCACAAAAUGAGACAUAGAGCUCCCCAACACCCCAGAAAUUUUGAAACCUAUUGGAAAAGAAUCAUAAGGAAUCAAAACGAAAAAGAAUACCAAUAAAAAGAACUUUUGUUCUUAUUCAGGAAAACACAAAAAUAAAAGUAAAUCAAAUCAAACCUAAACACUAAAGAUGCCUUACAACGAGAAAGAAAGAGAAAAGAGUGUGAAAUCAUGAUUUUGCCUUUUGUAUAUGUGAAUAUUGUCUCAAGAAAAAUCAAAUAAAACAUUUGCAGAUUAAUUUAAUUACAUCCACCCAAUGCAUAAAAUUCUGAAUGAAAUAGAAACAAGAAACAUUAUCAGAAUAAAAAAAUAAAACUUUAAACACCCCCAAAAAAAAGACAUCCGUAAUCUUUUUUCUUUUUUUUUUUCUCUAAAAGUCUCACAUCUCAAUUCAUUGAGAUGGACUUAAACUUAAACCCCCUAAGUUCACUGGAAUUCCUACCUCUGGUCACCGAAAAAUACAAGGAAAAGAAUAGACAAUAUCUUGAUCUACGCUUACCAGGUUUUUUCCUAUGAUUCUUGGUUUGUUUCCCAAUAGCACUGCAAAAACCACAAGCUGAAACCUUUGGAGAAGAUGGCUCAAUAGCAGGGGAUGCCUUACCAGUAUAGUAAUCUCGUCUUUCACCAUUGGAUUGGCUUCUUUCAAAAGUAUUGAUUGGUCCCGUCAAUGAUAUUCUUAUAGAAUGAUGAUAUUAUUCUAGUAAUAUUCUAGUAAUAUUCUAUAUUGAUUUGAUAUUGAUUUAGAGAAUAUUAGUGUUGAUUUAAUAUUGAUUUAAAUAUUGAUUAGAUGAUUAUAGGAAUUGAUUUAAUCAUUAUUUUUAUUUAUUGUAUUUUGUAUUUUGUAAUAGUUUACCUCUGUAUAAAUAGGCUUUAAGCCUCAUUGUAAAAUACAAGUCAAUAUAAUAAAGUUUUAAUCAUUUUUUCUUUUUUAGGGUGUCAGAGCUAUUUCAUGGUUCAUUUCGAACGUGAAUCACAUUGGAAUAACCAAUAUUAACUUAUUCUUGUCAUUGAUUUAUUCUUUUUUCUAAACUUCAUAUUUUGCUUUCGUGCUUCAAAUUGUUGGGCUUCUCUUCCAUCUUCAAUAUUAAUCUUUUAUAUCAAUACUUAUAACUUCCCAAAUCCUUUUUUUUUUUCAAGAGCCUAAUGGCAAGUAUUCAAUAAGAAAAUGUACAACCAAUUUCCAUUAUCCUUGAUGGAAACAACUACAAUUGGGCAAUGGCUGUUCGUAGUUAUCUAAAGGGAAUAAAAUUAUGGUUUGUUGUUACCAGAGAAUGCAAAGCACAAAAAGAAAAGAAGAAGAAUUUAGUGAUAAAUUUACAAAUGGACUAGAGGAAUAGGAAAGUAAGAAUCAUUGAAUUCUAACAUGGUUCACCAACACCACUGUUUCUUCUAUCAAUGUAUAUUUUGGAUGAUUUGAAUUUGCUAAAGAUGCUUGGGAUUUUCUUGUCACACAUAUAACUCUACUACUCUUCUUCUAGACCACCUCACAAAUUCAAGAUGGUAAUGUAGUGGCCAACUUGAGUUUGGAAACUUGGACAAGAAAUUGACCAAAUGGAUGUGAUUUGGUGAAGAUAUAUGCUUUUUGAUCAGCACUGGUAAUAGGAACAAGUUAAAGAGUUUCAGCAAGCAGAUGGUGAUGAAUGAAGAGGCAUCAAUUUCAAUAUGUUUAAUAUGCUCAUGAAAAACAUCAUUGUGAGCUAUCUGAAUGGCACUUUGAUUGUAACAAAAUAUAGGAGUACUAGAGUGAUCAAAAACACUCAUAUCUUGAAGUAGCUAUCGUAACCAUAAAAGUUUUGAUGUGGCUUUUGCAAGAGCUCGAUACUCAGCUUUAGUCCUAGAAUGGGACACCCCAAUUUGUUUUUUACUUUGCCAAGAAAUAAAUAAAAAAAAAAAGUAGCCUAUGGUAGAACGACGAUCACUAAGAUCUCUUGUCUAAUCAGCAUCACAAUAACGAUGCAACUCCAAAGAGGAACUAGAGGAAAAAUGCAAACCAUGAAACAUAAUACUCUUGACUUAUCGUAGGAUCCCGAGGACAAUAGCAAAAUGAGUAGAUCGAGGAGCAGAUAGAAAUUGACUAACCAUAUGAAUAGCAUUGGCAAUAUCUAGACAAGUAACUAUCAAGUAUAUGAGACUACCUACCAAAGUUCAAUACAAAUAAGGGUUUGGAAGUGGAGUACCAUUAGAAAGAGAAAGCUUCAAAUUCUGUUUCAAAGUGGUUGAUGAUACAAUCUUGCUAUUAGUUAAACUUGCUCUAGCAAUAAGAUCAGACGCAUACUUUGUUUGAGACAAAUAUAAACUCAAUAGAAUCAUUUUUAUUAAAAAGUAAAGCACUCUACUUUCCAAGUUGACAAGACAAACAAUAAAAAAUAUUACCUAAGACACCAGUGGAAGCAAGUGAUUUUAUUUGAGAAAUAGAUGCAUAACCUAGCCUAGAAUGCCAUAAAUCUAAAAAAACUGAAGUUUAUUUGAGAUGUAACAACAGUAAGUAAAUGUUCUUAAACUAAAGAAAUGUUUAUGGGAAUUGAAGUUGGCACUGAAAGUACCCACAACAUUCUAUUUUUUUUUUUUUAUAGAAACAACCAUUCUAUUAAUAAUUAUCUUAGUUUUCUUAAUUUGAAGGUUACGAUAUAUUCCCAAACUUCAAUAAUAGCAUUGUAAUCCAAAAAUUUUUUAAUUCAUAGUUACAAUUAUCUUUCUUACAAAAUAUUAAAAUAUAUAAAGAAAAUAAAGAUUCAAUUAUAUUAAUAUAAGUAUUAUUCUUUUUACCCUUAAUUUGUUCCAAUGUAACAUUUCAUGUUUAUUGGUAUUAUAAUAUAUACAUAUACAUAUAUAUAUAUAUAUAUAAAUGUGCCUCCAUUAAAUGUUCUUAUAUAUUCUUAUGCAAAGUUUUAAAAAUUAGAAAGAUUUAAUGCACAAAAUUCUCAAAAAUCAAAUAGCCUGAUUUAAUUAUAUGUUAUCAUUAAACAAAUUUAAUAGCCUAAUUUAAUGAAAAAUAUUUUAUUUUCUAAUUAAAUCAUGAAAAAGUAAAAAGAAUAAGAGACAGAAAGCAAUAAGAAUAAACUAGAUUAGUCAAAUUAAUGAGAAACUUAAAAAAAAAAAAAAGGUCUUGGGAGAAGUUGAUGUAGGAAUUACUAGUAUUUGCAAUUUUCUACUAGUUUAUUCCAUUAAUAUAUUUAGUUUGCUGCCCAAUUUAAUUGGUAAUUAUACCACAACCCACACAGAAAAACACAUUAGACAAUUACAAGUAGAGAUAAUCAUAUGAUUAUGUUUUUUCUAAAUAAAAAUUAUGGGAUCAAAUAAUAAUUAAAUUAAAUCAAAUUAAAGAUGGUUUCUUGUCACAAUCACGCAAGUAUUUUUCUCAGCAAAAGAUGCCUUUUGGGGCUAAUAAGGCUUUUGGCACCCAUCCUUCCGGCAUUUUAUAUUGGCCAAAGGAAGUGAGGAGAAAGGUGCACAAUAAAGCAAAGCUUUAUACUUUCAUUGAUAAAUAUUUUGGCAUCAACUAAUAAAUAAUUAGCUUAAAAAUUUGAUAAUGUGUGGUCGACUUUUCUGUUGUGGUCCAAUUUGACGUGCAAAUCUACGACUAAUUAAAUCAAAUCACUUUCCCAUUUGAACAUUGGUUAAAACUUUUUCUUUUUUCAAUGGACCUAAGGAAGACUAAUUAGACGUCAACUGCAAUAUCUUAUAUAGAAAAAUAAUCAGUCAUUUUUAAGAAGAUAAAUAGUAAGAAUAAGCUUUUUAAAUUUUAACUUUCAAAUUUAAGUCUUUUUGCAUUUGAAUUUUGUUUAAUUUUAUUUUGAUUUAUUUAAUUAAUUAAUUUAUUAAUUUUUUUAUAAAUGUAUCAAAUAUGUUAUUUUUUAAAUUAUUUGAUUAUAAUGAAAAAUUUUAAUUGUUAUUACAUUCAAUAAAAAAAUGUGUUCCUCUGAAUUCUAAAUUCAUCAAACCUAUGUUAUGAAAACUUUGUUUUGAUCAUCGAAUUUAAGCAUAGCAAUGGCGUUUUGAUCCAUGUGCACAUGAUUAUUCUGUCACAAAGAAAUAAAAUUAGUCCAAUAAUCCUUUGAUUUGGGAAAAAGCUUCCACAAAUUCUACGUUUCUUGUAUGAAGGAAAGGAAUUCAACGUAGAAGAGGUUUCGAGGUCUUUGCCAUGAAUUGGAUGUUGAGGCUGCCAUUGAAGCAUCUCUCAAAAUCUUCAUUUUGUAGUUUCCAAACAUACAUUAUAUGUGUAAAAGGUGCAAAUGAAAUUAAAUUUGGCAUACAACUAAGUCACUUUUAGAUAUGUUUGAUGUAUAAGAUUAUUAAUAAGAUAGGACAAUAAUCAUCUUAUAAUUUGUUUGAUUUGUAUCUAAAAAAGAUUAUAGAGAUUGCAAAAAGGAUUGAUAUCCUAUUGGUAUAGGAUUAUUCAAUUGUCUCCAAGUAGAGAGAAUUAUUUUUAAUCCAUAAGAUUAUACUUACAUGUCUUAUUAUACUCUUAAAAAUUAUAUAAACUUUAAGAAAGAAUAAUUUUGAUAAAUCAAUAAAUUAUACUAUAAAAUGAUAUUAUUUAAUUUAAUUCUAUUCAUAAUAUCAUUUUAUUUUAUCUUAUCAUAAUCAUGUAUAUCAAAUAUAAUUUUAAUUUCCUAUAACAAAAUUAUUUAAAAAAAAUUUUUGAGAAGACUAAUUAGAUGACAAUUACAAUAUUUUUUAUAGAAAAAUGGUCAGUCAUCCUCUGGCCAAUCAAACCUUAUCUCAAUACUAAGGCUCUGUUUGAAAUCAAAUAGGGGUCUAGUUGAGAUACUUUUUGUCUGAAAAAUUGUGCCAACCGCAUCAUGUAUGCAUUUGUCAAAUAAUACUAGUGCAAUUGGCGUUGAGUUUCAACUAUUCCCUUUUUUUCACUGGCCACUCGCCCCUCCAAUAAAAAACUCUCCUCCCCACCGCAACAUUAUUUCUUAUAAUGCAUUUACUUUCUUCUCUUUUUAUCUUUUUUACCCCUUAAACAACAGUGAAGGAACAAAAAUGUCCCUUGGCUUUUAGCUCCGUAUUUUUAUUAUUUUUAUUAUUUGUCAUUUUGUACAAAAAUAAUAUAUACAAAAAAAUAAUUUUAAAUAUAUAAUAAAUUAUUAUUUGAUAUAAAAAUAAUUUUAAUAUUUUUCGGUUUAUUAAUAAAAAUAUUAUUUGAUAUAAAAUAGUUUUAAUAAUUUUUAAUAAUUUAUUAAUAUCACAAAUAUCAAAUAUAUUUUAUAAAUUUUAUUAUAUGUAAAUUUUAAUUUAAUAUCUUUAAUGAUCAUUUUAUCUUUUUAUUAUAAUUUACCUCACUGCUAGCGUUGCAUUUGCGUCCAAAUAUAUAUUAUAUCACUAAUUUUAAUCUUACCAUUGCAGUAAUCAAUCUUACUGUUAUAGCAACAAAUCUCAUAUUCACCACUAUUGUCGAUCUCAUCGGAAUCUAUCUCAUCGUUCAUCUAAAUGGACCCUAAGAAUGAGCUUUUAAAAUCUUUAAGUUUCAAAUUUAAGUUUUAUUACAGGUGAAUUUAAAUUAAUUUUGUAUUGAUUUAUUUAAUUAAUUUGUUUUUUUAAAUAAAUGUAUCUGUGUAAUAUGUGAUAUAUAAAAUUAUUUCAUUACGAUAAAUUUUUAAUUGUAAUUACAAUAAAUAAAAAAAGAUUAUUCUAAUAAAUUCAUCAACUAUGUCAUAACGUCUAGAUCCGGGGAUCUAUCGCUAGACAUUGACUUUUUGGGAGUCGCUACCAAUCUUUUUUGUCUAGGUGCAAUUGGCCACCUAUGGAAUCUGUCCUUUUAGGGAACACAUAAGUUUAAGGGUCCCUAGAAGAAUAGGUUCAGGUCUAUAAACCAGAACAUGGUUCAGGAGUUCGGUUAUGUGUGAGGAAGGUUAUAGCACCCUCACAACGCCCAUCAAAAGAUGGUACCAGCUUAAAUUUGUGUUAUCCAAAAGCCUUAAAAUUUUACCAAGUAAUUAAUUAUUGAAAAUUUUCUCAAUUGACUCUAAUACUUUUAGCAGAAAAUUGAGAAAAUUUCCUCACCUCAAGAGUAUGCAAGAAAAAAUACUGUUUCACUUGCAGAGGCUCCGUCGUCGGAUUAAUUAAGGAAAAAUCAAAAUCAAAAUCAAAACAGAAAGGAAGGAAAUGAUGAUUGUUCUUGUGUAGGGAAAAUUGAUACUUUCAACUUUUCCCCAAAAAUUAUUUUUUUUGAAAAUUUACUUUUAAGGAAAAUUGAUACUUUCAACUUUUCCCUAAAAAUAUUUUUUUUGAAAUUUAUUUUUAAGGAAAAUUGAUACUUUCAACUUUUUCCAAAAAUAUUUUUUGAAAAUUUAUUUCUAAGGAAAAUUGAUACUUUCAACUUUUCCUCAAAAAUAUUUUUUUUUUGAAACUUUGAUUUCCAAGAAAAAUUGAUACUUUCAACUUUUUCUCAAAAAUCCCUUUUUUAAAAAUUUAUUUUUAAGAAAAAUUGAUACUUUCAACUUUUCCUAAAAAAUCCUUUUUUGAAAUUUUGCUUUCCAAGGAAAAUUGAUACUUUCAACUUUCCCUCAAAAACCGUUUUUGAAAUUUAUUUUUAAGGAAAAUUGAUACUUUCAACUUUUCCCUAAAAAUAAAUUUUUUUUGGAAUUUUUUAUUUUUAUUUAAAGAAAAAUAGAAUAAUAAAAAAGUGAAAAUAAAUAAAAAUAAAAAAAUUAAAGAAAAGUAAAACAAAAUAAAAAUAAGAUAAAGAAAAAAUAUUAAAUAAAUCUAAUCUAAUAAAUAAAAAUAAAUAAAGAUAAAACAAAUGAAUAAAAAAUUCAAAAAAAAAAAAAAACCUUGAGCGGCUCGGAUCGCGGCUCGGCUCAAGGAAGAGAAACGGCUCGGGGGAGCGGCUUGGGAAGCUCGGCUCGGCUCGGCUUGGCUCGGAGGGGGACUGGCACGCGCGAGUCAGGAAGCGGGUCGACGCCCGGGUCGGGUCGGUUUCGACAAAACGCGCGGAUCCUCUGGGUACUUAAGGCCAAAACGACGUCAUUUUAAGCGGGUAUAAAAGGCACUUCCAUCUGUUUUUCGGCAGAACUCUUCUCCUCUCUCUCUCUCUCCUUCCUUUUUCCUCUCCCUUCUCUCUAAAAAUUGAAGAACACCGGUGGAAUUUUCUCCGGAUUCUGGAAAAAGUCACUGGAAUUUGGAAAUUUUUACCGGAAGUUGGCCGGAAGAUCACCGGUUUCUGGGAUUCUUCGUCGGAAACUGGGUUGGUCGUCGGAAACUUCAAGUUGACCGGAAUUUUCACCGAAAAAUUCAAGUUUCGCCAGAAAAUUCAACCGGAAACUGGAAUUUUCCAAAAAUUCCUAGAAAAAAAAAAUUCGAAAAAAUUCCAAAAAAUUUCUAAUGAUUCCUGGAACUCUCCUAACCCUUUUCUUAGCCUUCUAUACUCUUCUCUACGCCUUUUUCUCUCAAAUCAGUAGCUUUGGCUUCUGUUUUCUGUGUGUUUAUUCUGUUCCAAGAGGUGCCUUUUAUGGGGAUUGAUCAGGAGUUCUUGAUCAAUCCCAAUUCCUCCUUGGACGGGAAUUCAAUUUUUGAGUCCAAUCUGGACUCUUCUGAUUGAAUUCCCAUUCACAAUGGGAUUCUUCAAUUUUCAAUCCCAACCCUCCAAAAAUAAAAAAAUAAAAAAUAAUAGAUAAUUAGAAAAGAAAAAAAUAAUAAUAAUCAGAUAAUAAAAAAGAAUCAGAUAAAAUUAACAGAUAAUUUAAAAAAUAAAAUAAGAUAAACCCAAAAAUAUAUUACAAAUAAUAAUAAUAAUAAUAUAAUAAUAAUAAUAAUAAUAAUAAUAAUAAUAAUAAAUAUAUACAUAUAAAUCUAUUCUAAAUAAAUACAAAUAUACAAAAAAAAAUACAGGAUAAAAAUUCAAUUGGGCCUUACUCAUUUGGGCCAGGCCCAAUUGAUCUGGGCCUGGACCCAAUUGGGUGUCUACAAACUAUAUGAAAAUUUUGUUUUGAUCAGGUUAUUUGUUUUUUUUUAAAUAUAAAAGAUAAUGAAAACAAUACCAAUCAAUUUACUUAGAGUAUAUCUAUAUCAUAUUUUUAUCAUGUUAGACAUAUGUAUAACAUAAGACAUUAUAAUAUCAAAUUCGUAUCAACACACAACACAAUACGUUUUUUCUUUUUAUCAAAUCUAUGUAUAAUUUUUACCAAAAUUUUAAAUUGUUUUGCUUUUAUAUUUUUUUCGUAUCAUUUUUAUUUUGUGUUUAAAAUUGUCAAAUCUAAAUUUAAGCUUAGCAACAAUUUUGUGAUCGGUUUGCACAUGAUUAAGCUCUCACAAAGAGAUGCCAUUGAAAAGUAGAGCAGGCAAACACAUAAACAUUUCUAUUUUCUAAAAUUGAGAAUUAACUCAAAUGAUUCACUCUCCUUAAGCAAGACAAGAUCAUAAGGUAAAAAUAUUAAAGUUAUUAUAUCAUGAUUAAAAUAAAAUUUCAGACAAAAUAAAGUUAUUCUUAUGAAUUAUGAAAGAAAUAAAACCAAAUCUAAGUUAUCUAAAGGUUCGGGAAUAUGAAGCAAUAGUAAAAGUUUUCAAAACCAAGAAACUAAAGAUGAAUUAAGUGCAUUGGUAUGCAUAAUUACAUACAAUAAAGUAUGUAGAUUCAUAUCAUAUUGAAAGAAUAUAUAUUCGAGGUAAUUCAUCAAGUUAAAGAAAUUACUAAAAAAAAUUCAUAUGAAGUUGAAACAAAAUUCUUCCAAAUUGAGGAAUAUAAAAAUCUUGUACAUUUUAAAAUAAAGAGUUAAAAAAGUAAAAUUAUGAUUUAAGUUUUUUAUUUAAAGAGUAAGAAUCAUAUGACUCAUAUUUCUUAAUGAUAAUUGUUUAAAGAAAAAGUUGCAUAUAAACCUAUAUAAUGUUUGUUAUGAAAUCCAAUUCCAUAACAAAUGAAAUUCAAGGAAUAGCAUUCUCAAAAAAAAAUUAUAAAUGAUUAAUUGUUUUAGAAUCAUGGUUAAUAAUAUAAUUUAUAUAUGUGUGUGUGUGUUAAUGACUUUAUCUUUUUGUUGCAAACCAAUAAGUUGCUAUUGAAACUUAAUAGAAAAUAAAAAGUUGAUAUAAUUCUAGACAAACACUGAAGCCAAAUAUUGUUAAGAGAAAUUACACAAAUAUAGAAUGAUUAUUUUGAUAUAUAUACAUCGUAAAAAAAUUAAUUAUUACAAAAAGAAAAAAAUACUUAUUGCAUUGAUGUUAAUUCACCAAAAGAAAUAAAAUUCACAUAUUUCUAAAAUGAUGAAUUAGACAAAAGGAUGUGUAUGAAAUAACAUUUUUCAAGAAAAGAUUAUAAAAGCAUGUAAAUUAGUUAAGUUUUUAAUUAAAUUUAAUAAACUCUUAAAAAAAGACAUUAAAAUUUGAUGAGUUAAUUUUGACUUAUAAUAUCAUAUAAUAAAAUAUACAAUUAAAUGUAUUUAUAAUAAGUUCAAAAAUUUUUCAUCAUUUGAAUAUACAAAGAUGAUAUGUUUGGUAUGGAUUAAGAGUAAACAAAAAAAAUAAAAUUCUUGUUUAGUCAUUUUUUGCUAUGAAAAAUAAAAUAUUGCAAAAGUAAUUCGAAAAAUAAAAGUAUUUAAAAAUGGCAAGUAAAUUUUUUCAAUUUUACUUUAUUAGAAAAAUUCUAAAAGAAAUCUAUAAUUAUAUAACGAUACAAUAUUAUCUGAUAAAGAAAUAUUGAUUGCACAGUAAAAUAUAUAAAAACAAAUGAUUGUGAGAUGUAUAUUAAGACAUACAUAAAAUGAAACAUUAUUUUUGUGAUAAACAAAAGUUAGUAGAUAUAUGAAACGAAAUAAAUUGCAUUGAGAUAUGUUAUGCACAACUGGUCAUUUGGGCAACAUGGGCAUCAAUUGGUCAAUAACAAGCUUAAAAAUAAGUAAUUUUGCGGGGUCAGCUUUUCUGUUGUGUGGAAGAAGCGCAACAUUGGUCCAAUUUGGGGUCACUGCUAGUUUGCUACAGCAACAUUGUUUAAAUAUUAUUUUUUAGGAAGAUUAAUUAGACGUCAAUUGUAAUAUUUUAUGUAGGAAAAUGGUCAGCCAAUCUCCAGCCAAUCAAACCUUAUCGCUUUCAAAAUCUUUAAGUUUCAAAUGUUAGGCUUGGUGAAUGUGAAUUUAUUUAUUUAAUUAACGUGUAUUAAUUUUUUUUAAUAAAUUUAUGUAUGCAAUAUGUGAUAUAUAAGUGUUCAAUUAGAAUAAUAAUUUUUAAUUUUAAUUACAAUCAAUAAAAAAUAAUUUCUCCAACUACUCGAUUCGUCGAUCACAUCAAAAUUUUGUUUUGUUCGAAUUAUUUUUUUAAAAAUAAAAGAUAUUAAAAAUAGAUAUAAUGAAUUUAAGCAAAGGUAUUUGAUUGUUUACAUACCUUCACUUUGGUGGAAAAAUUAUGUUGAAAGAGAUAUAGUCAAAAGUCUUACGCUAAUGGGAACUUAGUGGUGAACUAAUCUAUGCUCACGAAAACGCUAAUUUAAGCUAAAACAGAAAUUUAAACACUAACCUCUAAGUGGGUAGAGUUGAAGCACACUGAACUAAAGGUGCUUGAGCCGUUGCUGGAGGGAGGUGACUUCGUCGAUGCCGCCUGACUCGCCGGUGGUUGCAAGUUUCAUGGUGGUCGAAGAUGCAUGCAAGGAGAGAGCUGUCUUUUCUGGUUGUUAGAGAGAGUGAUUUCGCUCUCUUUCCUUUCUUGAACUGAAAUUAGUUUUCUGAAUAGGCAAUGUAAGUAUUUAUACAAGGAUGAGAGCAGGGAGCCUCUUGCUGGCAAAUAUCACCCUAUCCAACUAUGAGUAUAUCCAUUAUGAUAUAUACAAAAAUAACAUAGGUCACGUAAUACCCAUUAAAAAAAAGGACUAUUUUAAGUAUUUUUAUAAAUGAGGGACUCUUUAAUAAAGAAUGAAAAAUGCAUAUGACCUAUUGAUAAAUAAUCCGACUUUUAAUAGAGUUAACAUCUACCAUUUGUUUGGCUAACAAUUGAUCCAAAAAAAAAGAAAAAAGGCUUAUUCUCCUCUCUUUCUUAUACAAAGACAAAUUGAAGGAUUCCAAGUGAAGGGCGACAACAAAAUUUACAAUGAGAAUUAUUUGUCAAAAGUGAGUAAAUAAUUUCCUUUAAUUUUGGAGAAAUAAUGUUAAUUAUUAAGUUUUAAGAUGUAAUUUAUAAUCAAAAAACCCCAAAAUUUUAGAAAAUCCAUUAUCUCUCUUUAAGAUUAGUUUGGUUAAAUCAUUUAGACUUUAAUUAGGAUCUAGUUGAGAAAGUUUAGAAAUGUGAUUUUAUUGCUAUAAAAAUAGAAAAUAGAAAAUUGAUGGGAUUAGAAAGAAAAUUUUAUGUUCCGUAUGAACCUUGGUGUUUGCAGUGUUAGGUUAAAGUAAUAUUUUCUAUUAAGGGAUUAAAUACUAUUAUGAUUAUUAUAUAUCAUUGGAAAGCUUUUUGUUUACUUUUCAAUGAAAUAAACUAAAGUCAAUUCCGAGUUUUCAAUGAAGAGUAGUUUAAUUUUUACUUAAGGAUGUGCAAGCUGCCUAGUAGUAACAGCAGGGAGAAAUUUCAAAAUUCUUCUUAAUUUUUAUAUAAAGAAUUUUGUUUUGAGCCAUACAUGUUUGAAAAGUUCACUAAGUGUACUUUCCAACAAAACAAACAUAACUAAAUUCCGAGUCUCCUAUGAAUAAAUACAUAAUUUUUAUUAGAAGGUAUACAUACUAUCUGGCAGCAGCAUAUGAUGUGGAUUGCAAAAUUUAUUAUAAUUAAUCUACAAGGAAUCAUGAGAUCGACCUUAGAAAGCUUAUCGAGUCUAGUUUCUAACACAUUAAAAAGAUCUUAAUUUUGAGUUGGAUAUCUUAAGAUAUGGUUAUUUUAGUAAAAGGAGCUCUGGCUGUCAAUAUUAAUUAGUUGAGUUAACCCUUAUUUAACUUAAUUGUUUUUGGUAUAAUUGGUCUCAAAAUGGCUUAAUUGAUUACUGUUAUAUUGAAAUUAUCUUGAAUAGACCAUUAAUUAUUUAGGGGAAAAAAAUUAAGUGGUAGAAUUAGAAGGAGAUAAGUAGAAUCUCACACACUUUGCUUGUUUUCGAACCUAUGUAUACGUGUUUGUUUCUAAAUGAAUGAAUGUUUUAUUUCAUUAUUUUUGAUGAAUGAAAAUAGGAUCAAACAUAUGAUUAUUUUGCGUUUCUCUAUAUAAACGAUGGAUCAUGCUUAUGAAUGAAAUGAGAAAAUGAUUUAUGUUUAAAGAACGAUUUUAUGAUAGCUAUGAUUUUACAUCCUUGGAAAGUGGAAUCAUUGACACCAGAACUAGUCUACAACCCGGCUAACGGGUAAUAGUAGUUAGCAUAGAUAUAAUCAUAUGGCCCUACUAACGGAUUAUAGUAGUUAACGUAAGGGCUUGGUUAGCAGGUUAUAAUAGUUAGCAAUGAUCAUGAGGUUGAAAUUGUCGAUACAGCUAAUGUCACGGGUUAUAGCAGUGAUCAUAGCUAACGAUAAACAAAUGAUAAUGAUGAUUUAUGAUGAUUUUUACAAAUUGAUCCAUGAUUUGGUGACAUGUUUUGAUAUUGAUUUAUGAUCUACGAAAUGCUUGAUAGAAUGCUAAUUUUUGAAUUAUUUUUGACAUUAUGAGUUGAUGAAUGUUUUUGGAUUGAUCUAUAUAGUACGUAUGAAAACGAUGUUUGAUUCGAUAAGGUGAAUGGUGUGUAAGCCUAUACUUGCUGAGUUGUGGUUUGCUCAUUUCCCAUUUUUUUUUAUAGAUGAUAUGAUGCUAAGUAUGAUUAGUCGUAUGAGAAGCGAAAAGAAUUUGAGCAUUGGAGAACUAUUUAAAGAAUAGGAUUUUAUGAAGUAUUAUUUCUUUUAGUUGUAAUACUUAACAUUGAACCUUUGGAGACUUGUUAUUUAGUUAUUUUACAUAUAUUAAAACUUAUUGAGAACCUUAUUUUAUUUGAGGAUUUUUCAAUAGUUAUGGAUUAGGCUUUGUAUUGCUUUGAGAUUUUACUUUAAAGUAAUAUGGUCGUGUUAUGUCUCGAUCUUAGGGCAUGAUAUAAAGUGGCAUUAGAGCCAGGGUUUAAGACUCAGGAAAGGAAAGACCCAAUUAUAGUUAGUGUAGAACUUAAGUAUUUUUAGCAUUUAUGCUAAUAAGAUUCAUUUAUUUCAUUUUAAUCGCUUACGAAUUAUUUUUGUUAGUACUAAUUUAGGUGAGAAUAAGUGGUAGAAAUGAAACAUUGGUAGACCUUGCUGGUCGAAGGAAAAGAACUAAUAGGAAAAAUGAUGAAUCUAAAACCACCAAUGUUCGAGAUGAGCAAAUUAAUAUUGAAAAUAUUCCUAAUGCUUUUGUGACAUAAAAUGAUUUAGUUGGAGUGUGUUAGGUGGUGCAAACACAAGAAAAUCUAUAACAAUGUGAGACCACUUAUGAGCGAUUUUGGAGGGUUAAUCCACCUUAAUUUAAAGGUCUUCCUGAUCCUUUCGCUGCAAAAACUUGGGUUAAAAAGUUGGAAAAACUCUUUAAGGUGAUGUGAAUUUCUAAUAAUUUGAAGUUGAGCUUGAUUUUCAUUUAACUAAAAGAAAAAUCUAAGUACUAGUGUGAUACUAUAAAUCCCACAUUUGAAGAUUCAGCCAAGCCUUUGACUUAGGGAAAGUUUAAAGAAAUUUUCUUUAAUCAAUAUUUUCCAGAGUUAGUGAAAGUAGAAAAGAAGAAUGAGUUUUUGCAAUUAUAGCAAAAGCAUGAUAUGUCUGUGCUAGUGUAUGCCAAUAAGUUUAACGAGUUGGGAUGUUUCUACACUCACAUUAGUAAUUUAGAUAAGAAUAAGAUGAUAUGAUUUGAGCAUUAGUUAAAGCCAAGUAUUUGAUCUUGUUUGUCUUAUCACAUAAUUGAUAGCUACAAAGAUGUAUUACAGUGAGCAUUGAAGAUUGAGUCAGACAUGAAAAGAUAUGAGCAAUAGAAGAGUGAUAAGAAACCCUUAAGAUUUUAGGGAGAUCAGAGUAAUCACUAGAAAAAUGUGAGAGGAAACGUAGGUAAGAAAUGAAAGAUGAAAUUUGGUACUAAGCUCGAGAAAUGCAAUUUUUACGAUCAAUUUCAUUUUGGACCAUGUCUUAGGAAAGUAGCUGUUUGCUUUGAUAUGGAAAAUAUAGGCAUAUUGCUUGGGACUACCCAAACAAGAAGAAUGAUGUUAAUAAAGAUUCAAACUAACUGGUAAUCUUAGUACCACUUGAAUGAAACUCAUCUUCACAACUGAAGAGAAGAUCUCAUCAAAACCAAUGCCAAGUUUUUGAAAAAAAUCUUUCAUUGCCAAUCAAGCUUUGUACCUUACUAGUUUGUCACCAUCUUUUUUCAACUUGAACACCCAUUUAUUUUUUAAUGACUUCCUCCCUUUUAAAAGUUUAACAAGAUCAUACGUAUCAUUUUUUCACAAUGACUUCAUCUCUUCUUUCAUUACUUUUAACCAGUACUAUUUAUUUAGAAUAGUCUACAUAUCUUGAAAGCUAUCUGGCUCCCCCUUACUAAUAACUAAAAUAAAAUUUAAACUUAGAUACCUAAUGGAUGGCUUGUGCUCUCUGAUAGAUCUUCUAAGCUAAAACUCUAUACUACCUGAUUUUGAAAGUAGCACCCCCUGCUCAACACUCUCUAGUGGAGAGAAUUGCUCACCUUGUUUAACACUUUUAGGUAGAUAGCAUUACUUCCCUUGCUCAAAAUUGAUUGCAUCUAAUACUGUGGCUGGCUCAUUCAUAUCCCCAAGUUCUGUUUCUUGCUCAUUUUCAUUAUCUGUAGCUUUUUUCAAUAGAACCUUUAUAGGUGUUGAAAUAUCACACUUAAUAGUAACCUGUGUAGUAUUCUUAUUUUUCUCAAAGUCUGCUAUGGUUUCUUUUUUCAUGGAAAACCACAUCUCUGUCUCUUAUUGUCUUUUUUUUUUAAAUGAUCUCAUACCUUGUAGUCAAAUUCUUCGUCAUCACAUCCUAUAAACACACUACGUCGCUUUAUUGUCAAGCUUUGUCCUUUGCUUUUUUGGCACAUGCAUGAAUACUUUAUACUCGAAAACUUUCAAGUGAGAGUGUAGACACCCAAUUUGGUCCAGGCCCAGAUCAGUUGGGCCUGGUCCAAAUGGGUAGGUCCACCUUGUUUUUUUUUUUAUUAUUAUUAUUUUGUAUUUUAUAUUUUAUAUUUUAUUUUUAUUUUAUAUAUAUUUUAUAUUUUAUGUAUUUAUUAUUCAUUUAUUUAUUAUUACUAUUUAUUAAUAUAUAUUUAUUUUAUUAUUUUUAUUAUUUAUCUGUUGAUAUAUAUAUUAUUUAUCUAUUAAUUAAUAUAUUAUCUUUGUUAUUAUCUUUUUUUUUAUCAUUUUUUUCUAUUCUUUUCUUCUUUCCUUUACCCGAUUGGAGCUAGAUUAGGAUAGAAAUUUGAGUGCGGAAUUCAAUCAAAAUCCAGAUUAGAUUCAAAGACUAAAUCCCAAUCCAAAAGGAAUUAGGGAUUGAUCAGAAACUCUUCUGAUCAAUCCUUAUAAAUAGAUCCAUGGAUCAAAGGUUUGGGACAGGGAGAAAUAGUUACUGGCUGAGAGAAAAAGGCAGACAAAAGAGAUUUGAAAGCUGAAAAAGAGUUUAGAGGCGUUAGAAUAGCUUUAGGAAUCAGUGGGAAAUUUUUAGAGAUUUUUUUAUGAAUUUUUUCUGGAAAUUUUUGGAAAAUUUCUAGAUUUCGGAUGAAUUUUCCAGCGAUGGUUGAAUUUUUCGAUGACAAUUUCGAUCAAGUUUGAAGUUUUCAGCCAACUACCCAGUUUUCGAUAAGAAUUUCCAGAAAUCGACUAACUUUCGGGCGAACUUUCGACGAAAAACUCAGAUUCUGACGAAAUUUCUAAAAUUCGGUGAAUAUUCAACCGGAGUUCUUCGGGAAUUUUAAAGAGAAAGGAGAGAAAAGGAAGAAAGAGAGAGAAGGGAGGCUUGGUCUGCUGAAAAAAUGAAGGAAUCAGCCUUAUAUACCUUCCCAAAAUGACACCGCUUUUACGUUAAGUAACCCAGAGGAUCCGCGCAUUUUACCAAGAUCCGACCCGACCCGAGCAUCGACCCACUUUCAACCCGUGCGUGACCCGUCUCUCCAAGCCGCUAGUCGAGUCGAGCUGACACCCCGAGCCGCGUCUCCGAGCCAUUUUUUUUUCUUGAGCCGAGCCGAGCCGAGCCGUUCUCAGGUUUUUUUUUUUAUUAUUAUUAUUUUUUUCUUUAUUUAUUUAUUAUUAUUAUUAUAUUAGGAUUGUUUAAUUCUUUUUAUUUAUUUUCAUUUUUAUUUUAUUUAUUUAUUUUCUUUUCUUUAAAUAAAAUUCAAAAAAAAUAAAAAAAAACAUUUUUGAGGAAAAGUUGAAAGUAUCAAUUUUUUUCGAAAUUAAAAAUUCCAAAAAAUAUUUUUAGGGAAAAGUUGAAAGUAUCAAUUUUCCUUAAGAAUAAAUUUUCAAAAAAGGUUUUUUUUUAGGAAAAGUUAAAAGUAUCAAUUUUUCUCGAAAUUUAAGUUUUCAAAAAAAAUAUUUUUGGGAAAAAGUUGAAAGUAUCAAUUUUCCCUUGUACAAAAGUAAUCAUUUUUUUCUUUUUUUUUUUAUUUUCUUUAAUGAUAAAUAAUCCGACGAUGGAGCCUCUGUAAGUUAAACAAUAGUUUUCUUGCAUGCUCUUGAGGUGAGGGGAUUUUCUCAAUUUUCUACUAAAAAUUUUAGAGUCAAUUGAGAAUAAUUUUCAAUAAUUAAUUACUUGGUAAAUUUUUAAGGUUUAUUGGAUAACACAAAAUUAAGCUGGGACCAUCUUUUGAUGGGCGUUGUGAGGGUGCUAUAACCUUUCUCACAUGUAAUCAAACUCCCGAACCCUGUUCUGGUUAGUAGACCCAAACUUAUUCUUUUAGGGACCCUUAAACUCAGGUGUUCCCUGAAAGGAUAGAUUCCUUAGGUGGCCAAUCGCACUUAGAUAAAAAAAGAUUGGUGGCGACUCCCUUAAGUCAAUGUCUAGCGAUAGAUCCCCAUAUCUAGACGUUAUGACAGCUUGGCGACUCCACUGGGGACCUCUGAGAGUCAGGCCAGCAAAUAAAUUUUUGUUAUCUAAAAGCCUAAUAAAAUUGAACCUUUUGUAUAGAUUUUUUAUUCAUUCAUGUUAUUUACUUUAUUAAUUAUGUCAUUCAUAUGCAUAUGUAUAACAUGAACUCUAUACCCAAGCUCCGUCCCUCUAUGAGGGAGUAAAGUACCUAUUGCUUUCGUAAGGUUUAAUGCCUCCGCAGUGGCUAAUGAAAUACUCCCAUUCAAAUUGAACCUUUUUCGCUUGUAGCCUGUAAUGGGUGAGGAUUAGGGUGCCUUACUAGUCUGUGAUGGACAAUGAUGUAAGAAGCAAUUUGGAAACUUUUAGACUUUAACCUUGAACCACAUAUAGUGAACCUUAGAAGUGCCUAACCCUAAGAUAGAGCCUUUUCUACCCAAUGAUAGAUAGACCCUAAAACUAGGACACAAAAAGGGUGUUUAUCUAAUUAUUUUGAUUGUCUGACUUUGUGCAUCAUUUUCAUUAUCAUAUGUAACAUUAUACAUCGGCAUCACUUUCAGUUCAUCUGUAAAACUAACUAUGUUGCUUGUCAAAUUUUGUGCAUCUGUAUAAUUUUCAUGAUCAUAUUUUAACACAAUCAUUUGCAUCCAUUUCAUAUUAGAUUUCAUCCAUAAAAGUGUGCAUUUCAUUCGUGCAUCAACGCAUCAUAUAUAAAGCAUAGCAUAGCAUUUCUAAUCAUAAUUGUGGUGCUAGAGGUUCAAGGAUAGCUCCACCAAACAACCCCACUUACUAAUACAAUACAAGAGCUCAAGCCAAGACUAAUGGAACAAGAAAAUUUCAAUCAUCUCGAGCGAAUAGAGAAAGCUCAGGAGAAGUUAGAAGGGGAGUUUAAUAAGAUUUUGGAGGCUUUGAACAAGCUAAACAAGGGGAAGGUAAUAAAGGAGAAUGCUAGCCAACAAGAGGAGGAUGACUCACUAUACCUUCCUCGUUUUGAGCUACAUCAAGUCCAAUUUGCACAACGUCCACCAUCAUAGCAGUUCACUUAUCUUGUAGGAUACACAUAUCCCAGAAUGCUAUGAGAUUUAAAUCAAGGAUAGUACCAAAGUUAUAUAAAUUCUAUCUUUACUGAAAAGGUAAUAGAACCAAAACAAUCCCUAAUUUGGAUGAUCUAAAAGAAUAAAAAAUUAAGGCCCAAAGAAAAAGAGCUUUUAAAAGCCUUAAAAGCUGAACAAAAGAUAAACUUGUUAGAGGAAAGGCUACGAGUAGUGGAAAGAGUGGGUUUUGAUGGUUCUACCGAUGUUGAUGGACUCUGUUUAGUCCCGGAUGUAAUUAUUUCUUUGAAGUUUAAAGUGCCAGAGUUCGAGAAAUAUGAUGGUACAAGGUGUCUGAAAACUCAUAUUACUAUGUACUGUCAAAAAAUAGCUGCCCAUGCCAAUAAUGAAAAGUUCUUGAUGCACGUCUUUCAAGAUAGCCUAACAAGCUCUGUCAUUAGAUGAUAUGUCCAGUUGGACAGGACACGCUUUUGUUCUUGAAGCGAUAUGGCUCAUGCUUUCAUUAGUCAAUACCGGUAUGUAAUAGACUUGGCUCCUGAUCGUCUUCCUUUACAGAAUAUGGAGAAGAAAGCAACUGAAUCAUUCAAAAAAUAUACCCAGAGGUGGAAAAACAUGGCUACUCAGGUACAACCUUCUUUGACUAAAAAAAAACCACUGUAUUGUUUGUUAGCACUUUGAAAUCUCCCUAUUAUGAAAAAAUGAUAGAGAAUGUCACAAAGAAUUUCGCUGACAUGGUGAUUUUAGGCAAAAUCAUUGAGAAUGCCAUUAAAAAUGGCAAGCUAAAAAGGAGGAGAAACCAAGAAGGCACCCAAGAAGAAAGAGACUGAAGCUCAAGUUAUAGGCUUUGACAGAUAGUUCAAGGGAUAUCAACCCUAUCCACCCUUAGAUUACUCUCCAUAUUAUCCUACUGUGAACAAUACUUCAUCUUAUCCAUACCAACCAGCCCCACAACCACCUAAUUCAUCCAUAUACCAGCCCAUUUUUAUCCCCCAAGCUCCCAUAUACAACUUUAACAGUCAAACUCCUGCAAGAACCCAAAUUCGCCCUACUAACCCAGUAAGUGGUUCACGAGAACAACGAAUUACUCGAGAAAAACUUGUAUUUGAUCCAAUCCCCAUGACUUAUACCGAGUUAUAUCGAGAACUUUAUAAUAACCAUUUGAUUGCCCCCAACCAUGUGGAGCCACUUAAGCCACCCUAUCCUAAGUGGUAUGAUCCUACAGCCCACUACGACUACCACUAUAGAAUUACUAACCAUUCUACUAAAAAUUGCACUGCUUUAAAGCAUAAGGUGUAACGGUUGAUCAAUGAUGGAAUGGUAAUUUUUUAUCAAGGAAAAGAAACAACACCCGAUGUUAGUGCUCUGAGUGACAAUCAAGAAUACAUUGAUCAGAAAGGGUCCAGAGAGUCACAAUGAAUUGAGGGGCAAGAUGUCAAUAGAGAUUCUUCACCUGAUCGUAUAGGGGGACAAUUUUGGAGAAUAGAGAUAAGGCUGGUUGAAAGUUUUUUUUAUCAUUUUAGGAUUUCUUUUAGAGUAAUGUCAGGUUUCUUUUUUGCAAUAUGAUUUCACUUGUUAUCAUUUUAAUAAAGGCAAGUUAAUACAUUUCAUUACAUUUUCUCUUUCACUCGACCAUUACUCCAUGCUCUGUCAUCUUUCAUAAAUUCACAUUCCUAUUUUCAAAUUUCAGAUGAUGAAUAUUUAGACAAUGAUAACAAUAAUUCUAGGAUUUAAUUUUGAGAACUCAUCCACGUUAAUACGAGAAGAUAAUUUAAGCAAAAAAGUAAGCUGUUACCAAAGGUGAAAUAGAUAUGUCUUGAAGAUGUGUAAUCUUUUAUAUAGGUUUAUGAGCUUUGUUCAAUAGACAAUGUUCAAGAAAGGUAUUCACAAUUGAGAUGAAAAAUAGCCAUCUUUCUUUUACCAUUCGAAAAACCAUUUAUUGUUACCCCUUUGAGCCUAUUAUGAUUUCUUUUUCUAAAGAACCCCAACCAAGGAUCACCCUCUACACUGAGAGGUAAUUUUUGAAAAAAUGUCACGAAAGGUCUCCAAAAUGAAAAAAAAAAAGAAAAAAUAAAUGUCACACAUGACUUGGGGUAAAGUAAUGAGAAUCUUCUGUGUGAGGAAAGAAAAAAGUAGUGAAAUGAUGUGGGGGCAAAAUGCCAAGUUGCAUCAAAUGAUCCUUUGGUCUUGAACCUUUUUAAUACAUGUUUUGAGCCUAUUAUAUCCAUUUCUUUUAUGACCCUUCACCUUGACCUACAUUACAACCUUGAAAAGUCCAUUUGAAUCAAGUGUGAAUGCUCAAAUUGAAUGAUCAUAUAUUGGGUAAAGACAUGCUCAUGAUGAAACAAUGGAAUCAUGCUACAUUGCUCUAAAGCUUGAUGUGUGAAAGAUAUCAACAAUGGAUGAAAAAAAGAUGAAGAAAAAAAAAUAAAAAAAAAGAAAGAAGAAAAAAUGAGAAAAUGAAAAAAAAGAUUCAAAUUGAAAACCUGAAAGGGUGAUUUUGGUAGAAAAAGAUCCAGGUCAAAUGGUUCACAUGGAUGAAGAUCAAAACAUCUGAAGAUCCUCAAGACUGGGGCAAAGUUCACCAAGCUCAAGAUGACUUCAACAGUAAAUGGAAUGAGUUUUUGAAAAAGAAUCCUAGAUUAAUGUUAAAAAUUGUCUGAAUGUUCAUCAUUUGGAUAUACCAUUCAUCCCAAUGACAUGUAUCCAAUUUAUUUCAUUUCCUAUUUGUUUUGUACCAAAAUAGAUCUUCAUUGAUUAUCUUUACCAUAAUUCACCUUAUGUUCUCUUAUUGUUACACCUCUAAAGUGAAUUGAGAAAAUGCUUGAUUGCAUUGUAUUUGUCAAGAUUUGAAAUGAUAAUGAAUGAACGAAUAUGUGCUUAAAAGAGUCUUGCAUUCAUUUGAAAAGAAAUCUAAGAUGAUGGUGGUAACAAAAUGAAAAAAUAAUUUGAAAGGACAUAUGAUGUGACCAAAUAAAGAAUAUGACGAUGGAUUAGACAAUAAAAUGAAGAUGAGGCAAAUCUUAAAAAGUGGUAUAAUCAAAUGAUGAAUAUGGGGAUGUAUUGGUUGAUAUAACCUAUGAGUUAUGGUUAAGUGAUGAAAAUGAUAUGGAGCAAUAAACGAAACUGGUGCUGAAAAGCUUGUGAAUGAUGACCAAGGGAUGAGUACAAUGAUGAAUUAGUCAACAUGACUUGCAAGUUAUGAUUGAAUGAUGAAAAUAAUCAGUGGACAAAGUUUGUUUUGGAAUGGUUAAUGCUGAGACACCUAUGAGUAAUGACCCAGUGAUGGUGGAUGAAACUUGUUCUGAAAUUUGUUAUUGCUAAAAAAUCCAUGAAUGGUGGUCAAGUGAUGAUCGAUUGAUGAAACUUGUUCCAAAGUAUUGAGAAACUAAACAAAUGGUGGAGUUUUAAGAGCCAUAUUACCAUAAUUAUUUAGAAUUUUGUGACAUAGACAUCAGCAUUACAUGCAUCAUGGUAGCAUCAUUGCUUGAAUAGUACAUGCACAUAAUUUGAUGAAUUAAACUUUGUUUGGACAUGCAUAGCACUAUGAGAAUGUAGGUUACAGUAUUUACAUAAUUAAGAAGGCAUUUGCAUCUUUGAUCAUAACAUUCAUUCAUGCAAAUUUUUUAGUCACUUGAAAAAAUAUGAAUAUCUUGAUGAGAAUUUUUUAGAACUCAAAUGAGAAUCUUUGAGUUUCAAAAUGAGAAUCUUUGAGGAGUGAAACCCUAAAGUUCAUCAAAUGUGAAUCUUCGAACAAAUGAAAAGUUUUGGACUUUUGGAUGUGAAUCUCCAAAAUACAAAGCUUCAACCUUUUGGAUAUGAACUUCUAAUGUUUAAAUGAGAGCCUUUGAGCUUAGAUGUGAAACUCUAAGUUUUAUUGCAUGUGAGCCUUUGAACUCAAAUGAAAAGCUUUGAAUUUUUGGAUGUGAAUUUCUAAAAUUCAAAUAAAAAGCUUUAGAUUUUUGGAUAUGAAUUCUAAGUUUGCCAAAUGAGAACCUUUGAAAAGUCUUGAACUUUUGGAUGCGAGCCUCCAAAGUUCAAAUGAGGAUCUUUGAUGUGAGUCUUGCAAGUUGCAAAUGCAAAUCUUGAGAUCUUGUAAAUUUGAAUGAAACUGAAAUUUCAAGAAUCAAAUUUUAGUAAAUUCUUACGAAGUUGAAAGGUUUUUGCGAAUUUGAACCUCUGAAUAUUGAACUCAAAUUGUGAAUCCUUGAGUUCCCAUUACAAAAUUCCUUCAAUCAUGAUCUAUAACUCUUUUGGACAUGACUGUCAAUGAGCAAUUUAUUUUUUCCAAAGUUUCGUUGCCUCUGUUUAGAGGAGCAAUUUACUUUCAAAGUUGUUGUGCCUCUGUUUAGAGGAGUAAUUUACUUUCCAAAAGUUGAGGUACCUCUGUUUAAAGGAGCAAUUUACUUUUCAAAGUUGUGCUGCCUCUGUUUAGAGGAGCAAUUUACUUUCCAAAAGUUAUGGAGCCUCUGAUUAGAGGAGCCAUUUAUUCAUUUUCAAAGUCGUUGAACCUCUAUUUAGAGGAGCUAUUUAUUUUUCAAAAUCGUUGAGCCUCUGCUUAGAGGAGCUUUGAUCAAAUUAAAAAAAAAAACAAAAAAAAACAAAAAACAAAAAAAUAAAAAAAUAAAAAAAUUUGCCUCUGUUUAGGGGAGCUUUGUUUAUUUUUGAAAGUCGUUGAGCCUCUAAUUAGAGGAGCUUUAUUUAUUUUCCAAAGUCGUUGAGCCUCUGAUUAGAGGAGCUUUAUUUAUUUUUCAAAGUCGUUAGGCCUCUGAUUAGAAAAGCUUUAUUUAUUCUUCAAAGUCGUUGAGCCUUUGAUUAGAGGAGCUUUAUUUAUUCUUCAAAGUCAUUAAGCCUCUGAUUAAAGGAGCUUUAUUCAUCUUUAAAGUUGUUGAGCCUCUGAUUAGAAGAGCAUUGUUUAUGUUUUUCAAAGUCUUUGAGCCUCUGCUUAGAGGAGUUUUGAUCAAAUCUUAAAUACACAAAAAAAAAUGAAAAUGAAAAUGAAAAAAGAAGGUCGAGUUGAGUCAUGAAUGGGUGUCUACGUCUUUGCGCAAUUUCUGUUUCACAGAAAAUAUGCAAAGAGGGGCAGCUGUAAACACCCAAUUUGGUCCAAGCCCAGAUCAGUUGGGCCUGGUCCAAAUGGGUAGGUCCACCUUGUUUUUUUUUAUUUUUUAUUAUUAUUUUGUAUUUUAUAUUUUUUUAUUUUAUUUUUAUUUUAUAUAUAUUAUAUUUUAUGUAUUUAUUAUUCAUUUAUUUAUUAUUACUAUUUAUUAAUCUAUAUUUAUUUUAUUUUAUUAUUUUUAUUAUUUAUCUAUUGAUAUAUAUAUGUAUUAUUAGUUAUCUAUUUAUAUAUAUUAUUAUUUAUCUAUUAAUUAAUAUAUUAUCUUUGUUAUUAUCUUUUUUUUAUUAUUAUUUUAUUUUUAUUUUAUCAUUUUUUUCUUUUCUUUUCUUCUUUUCUUUACCUGAUUGAAGCUAGAUUAGGAUAGAAAUUUGAGUGCAGGAUUCAAUCAGAAUCUAGAUUGGAUUCAAAGACUGAAUCCUAAUCCAAAAGGGAAUAGGGAUUGACCAGAAACUCUUCUGAUCAAUCCCUAUCAAUAGAUCUACGGAUCAAAAGAUUGGGACAGGGAGAAAGAGUUACUGGCUGAGAGAAAAAGACAGACAAAAAAUAUUUGAAAGCUGAAAAAGGGUUUAGAGGCGUUAGAAUAGCUUUAGGAAUCGGUGGAAAAUUUUUGGAGAUUUUUCUGUGAAUUUUUUCAAGAAAAUUUCUAGAUUUUUGAUGAAAUUUUUUACGACAGUUGAAUUUUUCGACGACAAUUCCAGCCAAGUUUGAAGUUUCCAACCAGCUGCCCAGUUUUCGAUAAGAAUUUCUAGAAACCAACCAAUUUUUUUACGAACUUUCGACGAAAAACCAGAUUUCGACAAAUUUUCUAGAAUCUGGUGAAUAUUCAAUCGAAAUUUUUUGAGAAUUUUAGAGAGAAGAGAGAGAAAAAGAAGGAAGAGAGAGAGAGGGAAGGCUUGGCCUGCUGAAAAAAUGAAAGAAUUAGCCUUAUAUACCCUCUCAAAACGAUGUCGUUUCUGCGUUAAGUAACCUAGAGGAUCCGCGCGUUUCGUCAAAAUUCGACCUGACCCGAGCGUCGACCCGCACGUGACCCAUCUUUCCGAGCCGUUAGCCGAGCUGAACUGACACCCCGAGCCGCAUCUCCGAGCCAUUUUUCUUCUUUAAGCCGAGUUGAGCCAAGCCGUAAGCCAAGCCGUUCCUAGGUUUUUUUUUCAUUUUUUAUUAUUUUUAUUUAUUUAUUUAUUAUUAUUAUAUUAGGAUUGUUUAAUUUUUUCUUUUUUAUUUAUUUUCAUUUAUUUAUUUUUUAUUUUACUUUCUUUAAAUAAAAUUUUAAAAAACAAAAAAAUUUAUUUUUGAGGAAAAGUUGAAAGUAUCAAUUUUUCUAGAAAUUAAAAAUUUCAAAAAAUAUUUUUAGGGAAAAGUUGAAAGUAUCAAUUUUCCUUAAGAAUAAAUUUUCAAAAAAGGUUUUUUUUGAAGAAAAGUUGAAAGUAUCAAUUUUCCUCGAAAUUAAAGUUUCCAAAAAAGUAUUUUUGAGGAAAAGUCGAAAGUAUCAAUUUUCCUUAAAAAUAAAUUUUCAAAAAAAAUUUUUUUUUUGAGGAAAAGUUGAAAGUAUCAAUUUUUCUCAAAAUAUAAGUUUCCAAAAAAAAUAUUUUGGGGAAAAGUUAAAAGUAUCAAUUUUCCAUUGUACAAAAGCAAUCAUUUUUUUCUUUUUUUAUUUUUUAAAAAUUUUUUUUAAUGAUAAAUAAUCCGACAAUGGAGCCUCUACAAGUUAAACAGUAGUUUUCUUGCAUACUCUUGAGGUGAGGGGAUUUUCUCAAUUUUCUGCUAAAAGUAUUAGAGUCAAUUGAGAAUGAUUUUCAAUAAUUAAUUACUUGGUAAAUUUUUAAGGCUUAUUGGAUAACACAAAAUUAAGCUGGUACCAUCUUUUGAUGGGCGUUGUAAGGGUGCUAUAACCUUCUUCACACGUAAUCGAACUCCCGAACCCUGUUUUGAUUAGUAGACCCGAACUUAUUCUUUUAGGGACCCUUAAACUCAAGUGUUCCCUGGAAAGAUAGAUUCUUUAGGUGGCCAAUCGCACCUAGAUAAAAAAGAUUGGUGACGACUCCCUUAAGUCAAUGUCUAGCGAUAGAUCCCCGGAUCUAGACGUUAUGACAGAGAGUAUGAAGCAUCUUUCCCUAUCCACAAUCUUUUUGAAAUGUUAAAGCCAAAAGAAACUGAUGGUGAUCUAUUAAACAAAUAACAAGUUGUGUUGACUAAUUCAUCCUAUAAUGGCUUUGGUAAUUUUGCCAUCCUCAACACAUAUUUGAGUUUUUCUAUAAUGGUGCAGUUCAUCCUUUCAACUAUACCAUUAUGCUUUAAUAUUUUAGGUUCUGUUAUCUCAUGCUUUAAGUAAUAUUCUCCAAAGUCUUUGGAUGUGUAUUCUCUACCAUUAUCAAUCCGAAUACACUUUAAGGGCAACCUUGUCAUCUUUUUCACCAUAGUAUAAAAUUUUUGAAAAUACCGCAAUACCUGGCUUUUGUUUUUUAAUAUAUACACUCAAGUCUUACAUGAAACAUCAUCAAUAAAAAUAAUCAAAUACCUAUUACCACCCAAUGACUUAAUCUCAAUGAGACCAUAUACGUCAGAAUGAAUCAAUUUCAAUUUAUUUUCUUUUCUCUAAGAACUCUUAUGAAAAGAAAUUCUACGAUUUUUGCCAAACAAACAAUGAUCACAUGAACAGAGAGACAUACUUUUGUUCAAAAUAAUGAGAGAUUGUCUUGCCAAAACUUGUAACCCUUUCUCACUCAUGCGUGCCAGCCUUUUGUGCCACAAGUUUGCUGAAGCAUCAUCUUCAAUGGCAUUUAUCUAAUUGCCAUUUAAUUACAUCCAUGUCUUGUACAUUGUGCAACAUAAUUUUUCUCUUGCAAUUACUAUAGAUCUUUUGAGAAGCUUUCAUUGCUUAUUCUUUUGUCGACUUUGAUAUUCUUCUUUAUUAAGGACAUUAAUCGCAAGCAAGUUCAUUUCAUAUUUGAAAUAUGUCUAAUAUCCCUUAAAGUCAACAUGCAACCCAUACUAGUUUGUAUAAUGAUAUCACCAAUCCUAAUAAUCUGUGACACAUUCUUGUUUUUCAUCUUAGUGUAACCAAAAUUUUCUACUUUGUAAGUUAUAAACAAUUCUCUCUUAGGAAUAUAAUGAUAUACCACUCUUAUGUCAACUAUCCACUCAAUGUCGAGAUCACCAAUAUGAUUACAAUAACUAUGUGUACAAAUCAAAGUAAUUGAAUCACUAUCUGAAUUCACUGCUGCAACAUUGCCAUCAUCUGAACUUGUGUCUUUCUUAUCUUCUGCUCUUGCUUUAAAAUUUUGCAGUAUCAUUUUAUAUGGCAUGGUUUAUCAUAAUAGAAGUACUUCACUUUAUCUUUGGACUAAGAUCUAUGGUUAGACUUACUAUAACUUUUUGAGUUUUGACCUCUAUCGAUGUUUCUAUCCCUAUUAUCUAUGAUAAGAGCCUGAUUCUUAGGGUUUAAAUAUUUUCACCUUGCUUCUUUAUUAAACAUACUGUCCUUUAUCAUCUCCAAUAUCACUUUGUAAUUAUGAGCUAAAUUAAGAAUAAUCACAGCUAGAGUAUUUUAAUUGUCUGGCAAUAAACCUUAAAAAAAGAACGCCUUCAUUUUAUCAUCCAUCUUAAGCUCCAUAGUAGUCAUUUGAUUAAAUAUAUCUUGAAAAUCACUCAAGUACUCUGCAAUCAAUCAUCUAUCCUUGUACUGUAAAGUUACAAGUUUUUUAAUAAGCAUAACUUGAUUCAAGCCUAUUUUCUUCUCAAACAAUGCUGUUAAUUUUUUUCAAAUAAUCUGGGUGCCUGUCUCCUACGCUACAUGAUGAAAUACACUAAUAUCAAUCCAUUUUUUUAUUGUAGCCAAUGUUUUUCUACCUAACUUUUUUUCAACUUUUAUCUUUCGUAUAUGUUGGUUUAACUGAAUCCUCGAAUAUUGACUCAUACAAAUCUUUAUAGUAUAAAUGAUCUUUCAUUAUAGGCUUCCAAAUUGAAUAAUGUGAUGCUAUCAAUUUUGUCAUGGAGUAUAUAUCAUUCUCCAUAAUCUCAAAUAGAAUUUACUUCAAUCUUGGGUUGCUUGUGUGUCAAUGUCUCAAAAUAACUCUUGCUUUGAUACCACUUAUUGGCCUAAAGUAAUAAAUACAAUAACGUAGAAGUAAUAUAUUGCAAUAAAUCAAUAGCAAUAGACAACAAUCAAUAAUCCAACAAUACAUAAAAAAUAAAGCACACCAAAAUUUACGUGAAAAACCUUUAAGUGUAGAAGGAAAAAACUACAAACCACCAGAUUGUUUAAAUAAUUGAUAAACAAAGUUUUUCUCUAACUAAAACUAGUGCUAAUCAAUAACUAGAGAGACAAUUGGAGAAAUAUCACCAAAUGGAUGACUCAACAAAUACAUUGUAGAUUUGUUCCUAGAUAGUUUCAAACCUUAAUCUUUACCGUUCAAAAUAUAGAAUUAUGAAUUAGUAACUUGCUGACAAAAUUUCUACCAAUCUAACCAUAAAUCAACUUCCAUUUAACCAACUCUCCCUUUUCCCUUUUCUCUCUAUUUUCCUAGUUUCUUUUCUUUUUAUUUGACGCCACACUCUGUCAUUCCAUGCCAACAACAUAGCCCCCUCUUUUAUUGUUUAAGGCUUUAUUUUAGGUUAAAAGUUAAAAGCCCAUGACCUUUGAUUAGCUAAAACAAUUACAUGGGGCUGAACCCCAUAUAUUCCUAACAGAUUUGAGUCAUAAGAGUAGUUUUGCCAAUGCCUCCCAUUCCUUAUAAAUCGAUGAUUAUUGUUUGAUCUUCAUUGAGGUAGUUCCAAAUAGUAGUAAACAUAGACUUCAUGCGUACAGUUUGUUCACAAGACUUUAUAUCCCCUGGUGCUGGAGGUAGUGUUUCAGCCACCUUUUCAAAUUGGCCUUUCUUUAUAUGUCUUCUCACCUUUUUUAACGUCUUGGUAGCAUUUUUCCUAACUUGUAACUAGAACAACAAUUUUAGGGGCAACAAUAUCUAAGACAUUUUUUUUUCAUGAUCAAUUUUCUUUAUCAGAUAUCAACUUAUUCUUCCAACACCUCAACCCUUGAAAGCCACCAUUCAACUUGGUCAAGCUGCUUCAUAUGAUGCUUUUUUAUUCACAUCAUUUCUUAAUGCUUUUAGUUCUUCCAUUUUGGUUUCAAGAACACCCAUAUUUUUCCCUACUUUGUAGGCAUAACCUGUGUACUUUGCUAUGUGAUUGUAAAAAAGAGAUGGUAGUCUCAUUUGAAAUCAAGACAAAGCACAACCCUCUUUAGUACACAAAAAAAAUUGCCUAAAGGGUGAAAGAAACAGAUUUACCAAUCAACUUGUGUUGAAAAAAGAAUGAGAAAAUAAAAAAGAUUGAAGUUUGAAAAUGCUAAUUAGCAAUCCAGAAUGUUUGACUAUAAUUUGGCAUAGCAACACAAUGAGAAUUAUGAUUCAAUAUUUUUUGAAUAAAGUAUUGAUUUCGUCACUACUUCCAAGAUCCAGCCACUUUGAAAUGGAAAAGUGAAGAUAAACGUCAAAGUGGUUUUCAUAUUUCACAUUGAUGAAACGAAACAAGACAUAUAUAUAUAUAUAUAAAAUAAAAUUGAGUUAGAUUAAUAUUUUAUAAAGUUAAUUAAUGUGACUACCUCAAUGAAUUAAGCAAAAUAUAUUAAUUUUCUAUAUUUUCAAUUUGGUGGGUAGUUGAGUCAUACUAAAACAAGCAGUUUCAAUUUUUUUUUCUUCCUUCUAAUCCUCUUUCUGACUUUUCAAAGGGCCAAAUAUGUAAGAAUAAUAUCUUGUUGUUAAAUGAACUAGUUUCAAGAUUAACUUAUCUCCAAAGAGUUUUAGGAAGGAUUCUAUUUUAUACAUCUGCCAGUAAAAUGGUAUCAUUUUAUAUUUGUUAAGUAUUAAAUUUUUUGUGAUUUUAUAUUUAAGUUGAAUCUUUUCAUUUAUUAUAAAUUAAUUUUAGAUUUGAUGGUUGACAUUAUAUUAUAGUUCAAAUUUGUUGUUGCUUGUUAUCCAAGUUUUUUGCUUGGUAGACUAUUAUCUCCCUAUAUAUCUAAUGAGAUAAUGUUCCAUAUCGACUGCUUCUACGUUGAAUGUCUUGUUAUUUAUAAAAAUUUCAUUGAUCUUGUCACAAUGCUUAUCCUGAUAUUGAUUAAAAAUAUAUUUUUUAUUUUUUCCUUUAUUUUUUAAUUAAAUAAUUUUCUAAAAAAAGACAUUAAUUUAAUAAAAAUAUUACAUUUAUAUAUAAUUAAGAUGUUAUUUAUGUUAAAAAUUAUAUUUUUAUGAAAAUAAUACUAAAUUAAAAUUAUUGACUUAGUUUUGGGUCAAGUCAGGUCAGAUACAUGUUGCGCAUAUAUAUAUAUAUAUGGGGUCAGUGUCAGGUACAAAAAAUCUGAUGUCGAGUCAGAGUGAAGUUGGAUAGAAUUAUUAAAUAGUCGGAUCGAUCUCGAGAUGAGUUUAAACCCAUUUUGGCCCAAUCCAUUGUCAUCUCUAAUUGUAGUUGUUUACAUGGCAUUUCAAUUUGGCUUUUUUUUUUCCUCUUUUCCUCUUUUCCUAAUUUUUUUAGUUAUUUUAUUUUAUUUUUUAAUUAAAAUAAAUUUAACAAUGAUAAUUAAUUUGAUGAAUUUCAAUACUUUUAAACAAAUAUUACGCAAUAUGAUAACCUUAAAAUUUUUGAUGUAAUCAUGAUCAUUCUUCAACUUAUAUAAUAAAGAAAAUAAAAGGGGUAUAAAAUGUUUCUCCUAAUAAAAAAGUUGUGAUGCCUCAAUCCUAUAUCAAGAUAAUUGAAAGUUUUGCUAUGAUAAAUAUGUAAAGAUAUAAUCCCAAAUCUAUGAGGUACUUUUUAUAAGAUAAAACUAUGAGACCUUCGCGUCAAAGUAGAAAAUACUUUGUAGGUUGGGUGUGAAUCUUCAUCAAUGGUAUCAAAACAGUCACUAAUCAAAUGAAAGCUAAAUACUAUGCUGUAGGAGCCACCUCUAGAAUUCUACACGAGCUAAGUACUACACGGUGGGAACCAUCUCUAGAAUCCCAACAUCUGGUGUGAUCUAUGUGUGUUUUGUGUUAGGUUUACCCAAUGUUUGGUGUGAUUCAAUAGAUCUAUAUACUUUGUGUUGGGUUUAACGAGGAUGUCAAACUUUAACUGGGAGAGUUUGUGACGUUCUAAUUUUAUAUCAAGAUAAUUUGAAGUAUUACUAUAAUAUAUAUGUAAAGAUUUAGACUCAAACUUGUGCGAUGCCUUUUAUGGGACAAAACUAUGAAACAUUCAAGUCAAAGUAAACGAUACCUCGCAGGUUGGGUGCGAGUCUCGACAAAAGUUUUAUAUUGAUCCUAAAAAAUUUUGAAACCAUUAAAUUUGCAUAUUCUUCAUGAAAGCAUCAUAUAGCAUUAAUUUUAUGUUAUAUAAAGAAGAUAGAACUAUACAUAACGAUUCAAUCUUUCGUCUCAUUUUUUUUUCUCUGGAUAAUCUUCUAUUGGCAUUUUCAUCAAUUGAAUAUAAUUCUACAUUCUAACAAUUGAAAACUUAAUUUUUCUUUUAUUUAAAAAUUUUAUUAUAUAUAAAUUUUUAUUAUAUAAAAAUAUUACAAUAUAUAUAAUUUUAAAAAUUACAAUUAAAUAAAAAAUUUAAUUAAUUUCUCUUUUGAAUUAUUUCAAGGAAUUAAAAGGAUUUAAUUAUGUUAUCAAUUAUCAAAUGAUUAACUCAUAAUACAUACAAACAAUAAAAUCAUUAACAUACAUAUAUAUAGUUAGCAAAUCAAUUAAAACAAAAACUUGAAAGGAAAAAAAAAUUAAAGAAAAAGCAAAUAUACUUUAAUGAUUUAAUUAUAAAAAAUGAGUUUAAUAAUAAAAAAUUAAUUUAAAUUAAAAUUUAUAAAAAAAAAUUACUAUGGUACUUUAAUCAGCAUUUUUAAUAUUUUAGGAAUUAAAAAUUUAGUUAGUGUAUUUUAAUUAAUUACUUUUAGCACUUUUUUAGUAUUAUUAUAAAAAAUUUUAAUUAUAAAAAAUUAAUUAAAAUUUAUAAAAAAUUAACUAAGAAUAUUUUAGCAAAUCACUUUUAAUACUUUUAGAAUUAAAAUUCUAAAAUUUUAAGUAGUUUAAUUUCACAAAAAUUCUAUUUUAAAUUUUAGGUAAUUUAAAUUAAAUUUAAAUAUAUUAAUAAAAAUUAUAUAUAUUUAAAACUAAAUUUAUCAGUUUAAAAAUUUUAUUUAAGUCAAUCAUUUUUCAUAUUUUUGAAGUUCAAUAAAUAAUAAUUUAUAAUUAAAGAAACACAAAAAGAAUAUAAAUAGUUACGACUUACCACAGGCAUAGAGAAUGGAAUAGGCAAGGAUUACACAGGUUUAAAUCAAAAAAAAGUUGGUAGCAUAAAUAAAAUAAAACAAAUUGGGAUAUUUAGGUUGAAGCUAAAAUUAUUUACUCAGCAUUAAAAUGCAGCCUAUAUGUAAAUCCAUAUAAGCAAAAGAUUCACCAAUUUUAAUGUACAUGAUGCAAAUGAGAAAAUCAUCCACGAUUCUAGAACACAUUGCAACAGGUUCAAACACAAGAAUUAUAACAGAGACUAAAGGUAAAAGUAAUAUGUUUACUCUGCAAUUUCAGUCAAGAGACGUAAAACAGGGAAGAAAAUCGUUUAGAGCACAUUCAUCCUCCCAUUGAAGCUUUUUCCACCAUUCUUUCUUACCUCUAAUGCUGAUUUUGUUUUCCUUUGCACUGUUGGAGUUGAGUGGAAGUCUUUUCAGCUUUGGGCACCGAUGAACAUAAAUUUCUUUCAAACAUGAGAAGGGAAGUGUAUCCCAGUAAAUGCUCUUCAACUCUGGCAAAAUCCGUAAAUAAAGAUACUCGAGUUUUCCAAACAGGCUUAAAGUUUCUACCAGCUCAGCCACUUGACUCAGUUUUCUCUCAUUGAUUAUUUCUUCCAUGUUGCUGCAGCCUAUCACACGAACAUUUCUCAGGUUUGGAGCGACAAUUAGCCAUGUUAUAUCCUUCAAUUGUGAACAUUGCAUUAUAGAUACAUAGCGAAGGCUUUGGUAGCAAUGUUUGCUUACAAUCACAAAGGCUUCAAUGUGACUCUGUGCUUUUAUCAUUCUGCCUCCCCACUCCAUCUCCACUUCUUCCAAACUUUCACACUUCCUAAGGUCUAGAUAUACUAGACUCUUCAUAUUCGCUAAAGAUAAAAUAUUCAAUCGCUUCGAGUCCUUUAACAAUUGAAGCUGAAUAUAUAAAGUAAAGCUGCAUAACCUUUCAGUACUCAAAAGUCUAUCGAGACCGAAAGCACUUCUAAUAGUGACAGUCAACACAUUCAAAUGGUUCAAGCACUUCAAUUCUUCCACCAAACAUUCACUAUUAUCUUCCACUUCCUGGCCCAAAGAAUAAUCACAGCCAAACAUUCUCAAUACUUGCAGCUUUGAAAAAGCAGAUAUCAACUGUCUUGGAAUUCUUACGCCUGGACUAAGGCAUUCCAAGUUCACGCAUUUAAGCUUUUCUAAGGCCUUCAAUUCAGUUGGUAGCUGUCUUAUCCCUGUAUAGGAGAGAUCGAGACUUUCGAGAGACACCAAUUUCGAAAUUCCCACUGGCAAUUCUUCUAUACCUGUAUUGCUUGACAAGUUUAGAACUUUUAAGCCGCACAUAAAUUGGAAGAAGUCAUUAUUGAUCACCUUCAACUGAUUAUCGUUCAGAAACAAAGUUUGGAGAUCAGGACAGUUAGGUGCUUCUACUAGAUUUUCAAUCCUGUUCUUCAUCAAUGACAUCCUGCGUAUGCUUCCCCAAUUCUGAACUUCUGGUAACUUAGUUAAUUGAUAACCUGCCUCCACAAAAAACCCCCACUUUUCUUCUUCACACUUACAUGUUAACCACAAACUCAUGUCACGAAUCACAUCAUGCAUCUUUAUGCGAAAUUCAUCUAUUUCUUGCAAUAAACAUGCAUGAAGAAGAGAACCAAUGAUGUGGUGGCCUUGGUUUCGAGCUAAACUUGUAUCGCCAUGUCCAUCCAAAAACCCCUCCCCUAUCCAGAAAUCUACAAGCUUAUCUUUUAUAAUUUGGUAAUCCUCCGAGAACAAACUACAGUAUAAGAGGCAAGUUCGAGUCAUGUCAUUGGGAAGAGAAUCAUAACUGAAUUUUAGAAGUGGAUAUACCUCUUCAUCCAUGUCUGGAAAAACAGAGGUAGAUGAUCUCCGACACACUUCAAUUGCAUAUUUCCAUUCUUCAACCGUGUUCUUCCAAGCCAUGGCACGAGCAAUGGUGACAAGUGCGAGAGGCAGUCCUCCACACUCUUUGGCCAAUUCAUGAGCCAACUCACGAAUACAUGGAUUACCAUCAAGUGUUUCUUCACCAACUUUCUCUUGAAAUAACUCCCAAGCUUUUUCUUCUGGCAAACAUCGCACUUCAAUCUUCUUAUGAGCUUCCAUUUGGCCACACACCUUGAUAGAACGAGUUGUGAAAACUAGUUUGGAACCAUUUUCUUGAGUGGGGAGAGGUAUCCCAACCUUAGAUAGAUCAACUCGAUCCCAUAUAUCAUCUAACAAUAUAACAAAUUUCUUUACCUUUAAAAACCUGAAGAUGUUCAGAGCUUUUUCCUCUGGAGUUUUGUUCUGCCAUGUUCCACCAGCUAUUCCCACCCUUUCAGCAAUGUCAUCUUGGACCUUUCCGAUAUAAAACCCCUUAGAUACUACAAUCCAAAUAACUACAUCAAAUCGAUUUGGGGAUUCACAAAACUUGUUGUGGAUUUUGCUCAGGAGGGUUGUCUUGCCAACCCCUCCCAUGCCAUACAAGCCAACAAUUCCCACUUGUUCAGCUUCAAGGAUGUUCCAAGCCUUAUCGAAUGUGGAUUCCAAACCAACAGUAUGCUCAGUAGGUCGUUCAGUCACCAGAGGUGUUGGUUCCUCCUCAGCCACCUUGUCAAAAACUCCUUUGCUCUUAUGAUCCACAACACCUCGGAGCAUUUUGGCAAUUUGCUUCCCAGACUUUAGGUUGGACUUGGGACUCAUAGAACAACAACCUCCCAUACAUAAUUUCUUAAUUUCCUGAGGGCUUUGCACCGUCAACAAAUCAGCCUCAUUUAUCAGAGUUUCUGCCCUCGAAAGCCAGCCUUGAACUUGGUCUAGCCGUAUCAGCCGCUGCUGAUCUUCAGCUAUUUUCACUCUUCUGAUCACAUCAUUCCUUAGAUCCGUCAAUUCUGCUAUUGCAGUUUUUAAAGCUUCUACGUUUUCUUCAAGCUUGCAUACAAAAUGUGCUUGUCUGGCAACACAAUCACAGCAACGGGUAAUGACAGUGUCGCAUGAAGCAGAGAUUGAGAAGAUGUUACCCAUACUUGGCUUUGAUUUCAAAUAGGGAGUUGAACAAUUUCUGAAAAGGAGAAAAAUGAAUGAAAUCAAAGAUGCUUUUUGGAUUAUCAACCAAAGGGUGAAAAAAUGAAAGAAAGAUAUGCAGAAGUGCAGAGAAGGCAGAGAAUAUCUCCUGGAAGUUUUAUUUUUGCACGCUAAUUCUAACUUAACCAAGGGUGUUGGGAGUAGUUGUGGGAUUACUACUAUUUGGCACUUUCUACGUGUUUACUCCAUUAAAAAUUCUGUUUGCUAACCGAUUUAACAGGUAAUUAUACCACAACCUACAGAGAGAAACACAUCAGACAAUUUACAUGUAAUGAUUUGAUUUUUUUAAAUUUUUUGUAGGAUCAAAUAAUAAUUAUGUUAAAUUGGUUCUUGUAACAAUCAUGCAUGUAUUUUUGUCAAGCAAAAGAUGCCUUAGAUGUCAAUUUGCAAUAUCAUAUUCUUAUGCAAAUACAAGUUUUAAAAAUUACAAAUAUUUAAUACACAAAAUUUUCAUAAAUCAAAUAGCCUAAUUUAAUUAUAAGUUAUCAUUAAACAAAUUUAAUAGCCUAAUUUAAUGAAAAAUAUUUUAUUUUUUAAUUAAAUUAUGAAAAAGUAAAAAAAAAAAAAAGAGAGAAAAAAUAAGAAUAAACUAGAAUAAUUAAACUAAUGAGAAACUUAAAAAAAAAAAAAAAAAAGGUCUUGGGAGAAGUUGAUGUGGGAUUACUAGUAUUUGCAAUUUUCUACUAGUUUAUUCCAUUAAAAAUAUUUGGUUUGCUACCCAAUUUAACUGGUAAUUAUACCACAACCCACACAGAAAAACACAUUAGACAAUUACAAGUAGAUAUAAUCAUAUGAUUAUGUUUUUUCUAAAUAAAAAUCAUAGGAUCAAAUAAUAAUUAUAUUAAAUUAAAUUAAAGUUGGUUUAUUGUCACGCAUGUAUUUUUCUCAGCAAAAGAUGCCUUUUGGGGCCGAGAAGGCUUUUGGCACCUAUCCUUGCGGUAUUUUACGUUGGCCAGAGAAAAUAAAGAGGAAAGUGCACAAUAAAACAAAGCCUCAUACUUUGAUUGACAAGUAUUUUGGCAUCAACUAAUCAAUAAUGAGCUUACAAAGUUAAUAAUGUGGGGUUGGCUUUUCUGUUGUGGUCCAAUUUGGCGUGCACAUCCAUGACUAAUUGAACCAAGUCACUUUCCAACAAGAAUAUUGAUUAAAACUUUUUCUUUUUUCAAUGGACCUAAGGAAGACUCUUUAGUUGUCAAUUGCAAUAUCUUACAUCGAAAAAUAGUCAGCCAUUUUUAAGAAGAAAAAUAGUAAGAAUAAGCUUUUUAAAUUUUAACUUUUAAAUUUAAGUCUUUCUGCAUUUGAAUUUAGUUUAAUUUUAUUUUGAUUUAUUUAAUUUAUUUAUUUAUAAAUGUAUGAAAUAUGUUAACUUUUUUAAAUUAUUUGAUUGUAAUGAAAAAUUUUAAUUGUGAUUACAUUUAAUAAAAAAAAUCGUUUCUCUAAAUUCUAAAUUCAUCAAACCUUUGUUAUGAAAACUUUGCUUUGAUCAUUGAAUUUAAGCAUAGCAAUGGUGUUUUGAUCUAUGUGCACAUGAUUAUUCUCUCGCGGAGAUAUAAAAUUAGUCCAAUAAUCAAUUCAUUUGGGAAAAAAAUUUCACAUAUUCUACGUUUCUUGUAUGAAGGAAAAGAAUUUAACGUGAGAAGAGGUUUCGAGAUCUUUGCCAUGAAUUGGAUGUUGAGGCUGCCCUCAAAAUCUUCAUUUUGUAACUUCAAAACAUACAUUAUAUGUGUAAAAGGUGCGAAUGAAAUUAAAUUUGGCAUGCACAUCUACAAUUAAGUCAUUUUUAAAUCAUAUUUGAUGCAUAAAAUUAUUGGUAAGAUAAAAUAAUAAUUAUUUUAUAUUAUAUUUGAUUUGUAUUUAAAGAAAAGGAUUCAAUUUUCUUAAAAUGGAGAAUAUUAUUUUUAAUUUAUGAGAUUAAACUUAUAUGUGCAAAUAUACCUUUAAAAAUUUUAUCAAUAAUUUAAAUUGUAUAAACUAUAAGAAAAGAUAAUUUUGAUAAAUAAAUAAAUUAACCUUUUCUAAUUCUAAUAAAAUAAUAAUUUUUUUAUUUUUAUUUUAUUCAUAAUAUCAUUUUAUCUUAUCUUUUCAUAAUUUUAAUUAUCGAAUAUGAUUGUAAUUUCUUAUAACAAAAUUAUUUAAAUCUUAUUUUUUUGGGAAGAUUAAUUAGAUGUUAAUUGUAAUAUUUUUUUAUUGACAAAUGGUCAAUCAUUCUCCGGCCAAUCAAGCCUUAUCUCAAUCCUAAAGCUGCAUUUGGAAUCGAAUAGGGUCCAGUGGAGAUACUUUUUGUAUGAAAAAUUGUGCCAAAGGCAUCAUGCAUUUCUUAAACAAUAUUAGUGCAAUAGGAGUUGAGUUUCAAUGCGCCAUAUCCCCUUUAUUUCACUGGCCACUCCCCCCCUGCAAUGAAAAAUUCUCCUCCCCACCGCAACAUCCUUUCCUAUGAUGCCUUUACUUUCUUUCUUUUUAUCUUUUUUACCCCUCAAACAAUGGUGGAGGAACAAAAAUGUCCCUUAGCUUUUAGCUUUGUUUUUUUUAUUAUUUUUAUUAUUUGUUAUUUUGUACAAAAAUAUAAACAAAAAAUAAUAAAUUAUUAUUUGAUAUAAAAAUAAUUUUAAUAUUUUUUGGUUUAUUAAUGAAAAUAUUAUUUGAUAGAAAAUAAUUUUAAUAAUUUUUAAUUAUUUAUUAAUAUCACAAAUAUCAAAUAUAUUUUAUAAAUUUUAUUAUAUGUAAAUUUUAAUUUAAUAUCUUUAACGAUCAUUUUAUCUUUUUAUUAUAAUUUACAUCAUUGCCACCUCUGCAUUUGCAUCUAAAUAUAUAUUAUAUCAUUGAUUUUAAUAUUAUCGCUACAGUAAUCAAUCUUACUAUUAUAGUAACGAAUUUCAUCUUCACAACUAUUUUCAAUCUUAUCAAAAUCAAUCGCAUCGUUCAUCCAAAUCGAUCUUAAGAAUGAGCUUUUAAAAUCUUUAAGUUUCAAAUUUAAGUUUUAUUAUAGGUGAAUUUAAUUUAAUUUUGUGUUGAUUUAUUUAAUUAAUUUGUUUUUUUUUAUAUAAAUGUAUGUGUGUAAUAUGUGACAUAUGAAAUUCUUUCAUUACAAUAAAUUUUUAAUUGUAAUUACAAUCAAUAAAAAAAUAUGUUUAUAAUAAAUUCAUCAAUUACAUGAAAAGUUUGUUUUGAUAAGGUUAUUUAUGUUUUUAAAAUACAAAAGAUAAUGAAAAUAAAACCAAUGAAUUUAAAUAGAGUAUAUCUAUAUCAUAUUUUUAUCAUGUUAAACAUAUGUAAAACAUAAAAAAUUGUAGUAUAAAAUUCGUAUCAGCACCCACACAAAACCCUUUUUUUUUAUCAAAUCUAUAUAUAAUUUUUACCAAAAUCUUAAAUUGUAUCACUUUUAUAUUUUUUUUCAUAUCAUUUUUAUUUCAUAUUAAAAUUAUUAAAUCUAAAUCUCAACUUAGUAACAAUGUUUUGAUUGAUCUGCAUAGGAAUAAGCUCUCACAGAGAGAUGCCAUAAAAAAACAUACCAGUCAAGCACAUAAACAUUUCUAUUUUCUAAAUAUGAGAAUUAACCCAAAUGAUUCACUCUCUUUAAGCAAGAUAAACCAUAAGGUAAAAAUAUUAAUGAUAUUAUAUCAUGAUUAAAAUAAAAUUUCAGAAAAAAAAAUGUUAUUCUCAUGAAUUAUGAAAGAAAUAAAAUCAAAUCUAAGUUAUCUAAAGGUUUGGGAACAUGAAGCAAUAGUAAAAGUUUUCAAGAAAUUAAAGAUGAAUUAAGUGCAUUGGUUAUGCAUAAUUACAUACAAUAAAGUAUGUAGAUUCAUAUCAUACUAAAAGAAUAUAUAUUCAAUGUAAUCAAUCGAGUUAAAGAAAUUACUAUAAAAAAAUUCAUAUGAACUUGAAAUAAAAUUCUUCCAAAUUGAAGAAUAUAAAGAUCUUGUACAUUUUAAAACAAAGAGUUAAAAAAAUAAAUUAUGAUUUAAGUUUUUUAUUUAAAGAAUAAGAAUCAUAUGACUCAUAUUUCUUAAUGAUACUUGUUUAAAGAAAAAGUUGCAUAUAAACCUUGUUAUGAAAUCCGAUUUUGUAACAAAUGAAAUUCAAGGAAUAGCAUUCUCAAAAGAAAUUAUAAAUAAUGAUUAAUUGUUUUACAAUCAUGGUUAAUAAUAUAAUUUAUAUAUAUGUAUGUGUGUGUGUUAAUGAUUUAAUCUUAUUGUUGCAAACCAAUAAGUUGCUAUUGAAACUUAAUAAAAAAUAAAAGUUGAUAUAAUUCUGGACAAACACUGGAGCCAAAUAUUGUUAAGAGAAAUUACACAAAUAUAGAAUUUAUAUAUAUGCGUGUGUGUGUGUUAAUGACUUAAUCUUUUUGUUGCAAACCAAUAAGUUGCUAUUGAAACUUAAUAGAAAAUAAAAGUUGAUAUAAUUAUGGACAAACACUGGAGCCAAAUAUAGAAUGAUUAUUUUGAUAUAUAUGCACAAUAAAAAGAAUUAAUUAUUACAAAAAAAAUAUUUAUUGCAUUGAUGUUAAUUCACCAAAAGAAAUGAAAUUCACGUAUUUCUAAAAUGAUGAAUUAGACAAAAGGAUGUGUAUGAAAUAACUUUUUUCAAGACAAGAUUAUAAAAGCAUAUAAAUUAGUUAAGUUUUUAAUUAAAUUUAAUAAAUUCUUUAAAAAAGACAUAAAAAUUUGAUGGGUUAAUUUUGACUUAUAAUAUCAUAUAAUAAAAUAUACGAUUAAAUGUAUUUAUAAUAAGUUAAGAAAAUUUUCAUCAUUUGACUAUACAAAGAUGAUAUGUUUGGUAUCGAUUAAGAAUAAAUAAAUAUAUAGAAUUCUUGUUUAGUCAUUUUUUGGUAUGAAAAAUAAAGUAUUGUAAAAGUAAUUUGAAAAAUAAAAGUAUUUAAAAAUGACAAGUAAAUUUUUUCAAUUUUACUUUAUUAGCAAAAUUCUUAAAGAAAUAUAUAAUUAUACAACGGUACAACAUUAUCUAAUAAAGAAAUAUUGAUUGUACAAUAAAAUAUGUAAAAAUAAUUGAAUGUGUGAUGUAUAUUAAGAUAUAAAUAAAAUGAAACAUUAUUUUUGUGAUAAACAAAAGUUAGUGGAUAAAUGAAACGAAAUAAAUUGCAUUGAGAUAUGUUUUACACAACUGGUAACUGUACACAUUGAAAAACACAUCAGACAAUUACAUGUGAUUGCAAAAUUAUGUUUUCUUUUAAAAAAAAGUAUAGGAUCAAAUAAUAAUCAAAUCAAAGUUCGUUUCCUGUCACAAUCAUGCACUAAUUUUUAUGGCCAAAAGAUGCCUGUAAGGCUGGGGGCUGAGGUGAUAAAAAGGAAGGUGCACAAUAAAGCAAUGCAUUAUACCUUCGCGAACACAUUUUGGGCAUCAAUUGGUCAAUAACGAGCUUAAAAAUAAUUAAUUUUGUAGGGUCAGUUUUUCUGUUGUAUGGAAGAAGCACAAAAUUGGACCAAUUUGGCGGUCUCUUUAGUUUCCUACAGCAACAUUGUUUAAAUCUUAUUUUUUAGGAAGACUAAUUAGACGUCAAUUGCAAUAUUUUAUGUAGAAAAAUAGUCAGCCAAUCAAACCUUAUUGCGAUUAAAAUCUUUAAGUUUCAAAUGUUAGGCUUGUUGAAUGUGAAUUUAUUUAUUUAAUUAAUGUUUAUUAAUGUUUUUCAUAAAUUUAUGUAUGCAAUAUGUCAUAUAUAAGUGUUUGAUUAUAAUAAUAAUUUUUAAUUUAAUUACAACCAAUAAAAAAAAUAGUUUCUCCAAUUACUAAAUUCAUUAAUCACAUGAAAAUUUUGUUUUGAUCGAGUUAUUUUUUUAAAAUAAAAGAUAUUAAAAACAGAAACAAUGAAUUUAAGCAAAGUAUUUGAUUGUUUAUAUACCUUCACUUUGUAGGAAAAAAAUUAUGUUGAAAAAGAUAUAGUCAAAAGUCUUAGGCUAAUGGGCAUUAACUGUUGAACUAAUCUGUGCUCACCAAGACACUAAUUUAAGCUAAAACAGACAAUUAAACACUAACCUAUAAGUGGGUAAAGUUGAAGCACAAUGAACUGAAGGUGCCCGAGCCACUGUUGGAGGGAGGUGACUUCGUUGAUGCCACCUGAGUCACUAGUGGUUGCAGGCUUCAUGGUGGUCGAUGAUGCAUGUAAAGAGGUAGCUGUCUUUUCUAGUUGUUAGAAAGAGUGCUUCUGCCCUCUUUCCUUUCUUGAACUGAAAUUAGUUUCCUUAAUAGGCCAUGUAACUAUUUAUACAAGGAUGAGAGCAGGGAGCCUCUUGCUAGCAAAUAUCACCCUAUCGAAUAAUGAGUAUAUACAAAAAUAACUUGGUCACAUUUUGAUCAAAAUCAUACUAAUGCGAUUGGAUAUGUCAUGAUUUGGUUAGUCUAUCAACAUGAGAUUACUACAACACCAACUUGACAUAGCUUUGUCCCCAUGUUAGUAAGUUUUGGCACAUUGUUAAUGCUUAAUAUAGUUGCUUGUAGCUUUAGUAAAAUAUCAAGAAAGAAAAGCCUUGGAUCAUUCAGCUUGUUGUAGAAGCCAGAUUUCUUAGUAAAUUGUUCUAAAAUUUUUAUUUGGUCUAUUGGUUAAUAUGAUUAGUUUGUUGUACAAAAUGCCACCCAAAAUUUGUCUUUGAAGCACCUUGUGAGUGCAUCUUUCAUUUAUCUACAUCUUCUGUUUGAUGACAGAAAUCAAAUCAGCGAGUUCAAAGCUUACAUUAAUCGCAAAAGUAGUUCGGAAUGAAUAACCUCCCCUAGUAAAUGCUUAUGCGUCUUCUACCAAUCACUUAGGAUGUGUAGUAUGCUUUAUCAAACCCAAACCUAAAAGUUGGCUAAAGAGUUGGCAACUAGGUUUUAAAACAUGAUAACAAAUUUCUACAUAGCUUGACAAGUAAGUAAACCAAUUGAUAUGUCAAAAUUUAAGUAUCUGAACCUGAUCGGUUGACUUUGUUAGAUAGAGCUUAUGCAUUAAUUUGAAGAGGGAUUUUCACUAGAGCAUGCAGUAUUGGUGAUUGCCCUUUAAUUCAUAAAUGAAUUGAGCUUGGAUGAGAUGGUGUUAAGUUCAUAAUUUAUUGAAUGAAAAGGAAAUUGUGGUUUGAACAAAAAAAAAAAAAGAGAGAUUGUGCAGUAUUAGAGAUAGACAAUGUCGGCUGGUUUAUAACACAUUAAGGCUGUUGUCUUCAUUUUUUUGGUUAUUGCAUUAUAGAAGCUUCCUAGUGAGAGUACCUAUUGCACUUUUGAAACAAGCGUACAGAUAAUAAUUUGUGUUGUUUCUCCUAACAUGGAAUGUAGAAUUUAUGAUGUGUUCAACACUUUAAGUAUGUUUUAACAAGUCAGAUUUUAGUCUCAUGGUAUGUAUGUUUCACUUUAAUAUUUGUGUGUGUAUGUCUUCCACAAAAGAGAUAGAUAUCAGUCCAUGAAAGUUAAAGAUUAGACCUUGACUAUAACUAUUUUUUUUACUACUUUCUAAACUAUCUUAAAUAUUAAAUUUCAAGCCCUGUAUGACCUGAUGAUAAAUAAAGUUGCAUUAACAUAGAAAAUCUCUAAUCAUAUGGUUUAUUACAAUAUAAAUUCAAGUUCUGUGAGUUCAUUAAAGGUAUGAUUCUCUUACUAUAAAAAGAAAAAGGAGAACGAUGCAACAAACAUAUAGAUUUUUUGUUAUCAAGAAAAAGUAAUCAAUGAUGAAGAGAAGCAAUCAUCUGCAAAUCUCAUGAUUUUAGGCAUGAUUCUAGCAAUGUAAUAUGAAAGUUUCCAUGCUUGAAGGGAUGUUCCUAGCCUAUAUAUUUUCUAUUAUUCUUUGGUAAAAAGCAGAAUAGAGUUUUCUUUGUCCUUAAGCAAUCUUUUAGAUUGUUCUUUAAGUUCUGUAUCUCUUAGGUGAAUUUUCUAGAGUUGUGAACUUUUAUUAUUAUGUAUCAUUGAUUAGAAUUUUUAGGGUGGUAUUUUGUAUCCCUUAGUUUCUAGUAUUGGUUGUGAACUUUUAUCCUUUUUAAUCUAAUAAUACCAUUAUUCAAAAUCUUGUGAGUUAUCUUCUUUGUGACUUUUUUUUGUUUGUAGUUAAUCUCCACAUCUCAAACAUUAAUUUCCAACAUCAAAUUGGUAUCAGAGCUAUGGUAGGUUAUCAUCAUCAAGCACCAAUAGAAGAUGUUAAAGCCAACACCGAUGUUGUAGCAACUACCAAUGUUGACCUAAAGAAUGCCUUCAUUGAGGAGAUGUGACAACAGAUCCUUCAACUACAACGUAAGCUGCAUCUACAAAAAGAAAGAUCGAAGAUAAGGUGGCAACGAAGGAGGAACGAAAAAGGUAAAGGAUAAACUAAUCCAUAUCGUGGAAACAACAGUGAUUCUGAUGACAGUACCCUAUCUCACCCAUGACAAGUUAGAGACUAUCAUUGCAAAAACCAGCUUCAACCUAGCAUAUCCAAUCCAAAGAUAGAAAUUCUUAAGUUCGAGGGAAAGAUGCAACUUGAAGAAUUUUUAGAUUGGCUACAUAUGGUGGAACAUAUAUUUGAAUACCAUGAUGCCUUGAACAUUGCAAGGUGAAACUAGUGGCCAUCAAACUCAAGAAGCAUGCAUCUUUUUAAUGGGAAAAUCUAAAAAAGCAAAAGGAAAGUGAUAGCAGGAGAAAAAUUACAACAUGGGAGAAAAUGAAAAGAGAGUUGAAGAGAAAGUAUCUCUCAGAUAACUUUCGAUAAGAUUUUUCCUUAGGCUUCAUAACUUGAAGCAAAGGGAUAUUUCGGUAGAAGAAUGCAUUAAUAAGGGAAACAAAUCCAAGACCAGUGUUUCUACCAAACCUUCUUCAACUCUACCCUUAAAAAAGGAAAAAGCCAUUCCCAUCAAACCACAAUUUAGUACUAUCAACACUCAAACCCAAAGAGACUUCAAGAGCCAAGGAAUUAGGCAUACACAUUUUAAGUGUCCAAAUCUCAAGAUAAUUACAUUAGUUGAAAAUGAAAAACUUGAAGAUGUUGAUGGAAAACCUAUUAAAGUACCCUGGGAUCUUAAAGUAAAUGUCAAAAAGACAUAUGGUGAUCUUGAAUCCUCACUUGUUAUACAAUACAACUUGAGUGAUGUGUAUAUAGAGAAAGGAGACUGGUUGCACAAGAAUAAAUUUCACACUAAAAGCACUACUCAUAAUAAGGUAUGGGAUGUUAUAAUUGAUAGUGAAAGCUUUGAAAAUGUUGUUUCUACUUUUAUGAUGCAGAAAUUAGAUCUUAAAAUAGUAGAUUACCCCCAACUAUAUGAAUUGUCUUAGCUGUAAAAAAAGAAUGAAAUCAUGGUUAGCAAGAGCUGUUUGGAUCAUUUUUCCAUAAUGAAGAAUUACAAGGACAAAGUAUGGUGUGAUGCAGCUCCGAUAGAUGUUUGCCGUUUACUACUCAGAAGACCUUGACAUUAUGAUAGGAUGGUUAUUUAUAAUGGUUACAGCAACACUUACACAUUUGUGAAAGAUGUAUGCAAAAUCAUUAUAAGCCCUACCAAGCCCAUAGUGAUAUCCAAACCAACCAAAAGGUAAGGAAGUAGUUUAUUUACCAAGGCCAAUUACAGAAAGAAAAUUAAGAUGGGUGAUACUAUGUAUGUACUGGUGUUGAUUGAGAAGAAUAAAGAUAGUGAAGAGCCCCUUGUAGUGAUACAGCAAUUAUUGGCAGAAUUUCAAGAAGCUGUUCAGAAGGAGUUACCAGCUAGUCUACGACCAUUGAAGGAAAUUCAACAUUGCAUAAACCUUAUCCCAAGAACCGUUCUACUCAUUGUCAUAACAUCUAGAUCCGGGGAUCUAUCACUAAACAUUGACUUUAGGGAGUCGCCACCAAUCUUUUUUAUCUAAGUGCGAUUGGCCACCUAAGGAAUCUAUCCUUUUAGGGAACACCUAAAUUUAAGGGUCCCCAAAAGAAUAGGUUUAGGUCUACUAACCAGAACAGAGUUCGGGAGUUCGGUUACGUGUGAGGAAGGUUAUGGCACCCUCACAACGCCCAUCAAAAGAUGGUACCAGCUGAAAUUUGUGUUAUCCAAUGAGCCUCAAAAUUUUACCAAGUAAUUAAUUAUUAAAAAUUAUUCUCAAUUGACUCUAAUACUUUUAGCAAAAAAUUGAGAAAAUUCCCUCACCUCAAGAGUAUGCAAGAAGAACUACUGUUUCACUUGCAGAGGCUUCGUCGUCGGAUUAUUUAAAGGAAAAUCAAAAUCAAAAUCAAAAUAAAAAGGAAGAAAGGAAUGAUUUUCCUUGUGUAGGGAAAAUUGAUACUUUCAACUUUCCCCAAAAAUAUUCUUUUGAAACUUUAAUUUCGAGGAAAAUUGAUACUUUCAACUUUUCCUCAAAAAUUGAUUUUUUUUGAAAAGUUAUUUUUAAGAAAAAUUGAUACUUUCAACUUUUCCCAAAAAAUAUUUUUUGAAAAUUUUGAUUUUCAAGGAAAAUUGAUACUUUCAACUUUUCCUCAAAAACCCAUUUUUUGAAAAUUUAUUUUUAAGGAAAAUUGAUACUUUCAACUUUUUCUCAAAAAUAUUUUUUUAAAAAUCUUUUUUAUCUUCAAGAGUUAUUUAAAAGAUGCUCGACAAAUCAAAAUUUCUUGUGAAACAGUUUAAACUUACUUGGUAUCCAACACGAGAACAAAUGAACAUCUUCUUGCACCACCUUUGCUUACGAGAUGGUGAUUAAAUUAAGUGCAUCGAUUCUUGGCCCUUUAAGACACCGAUACAUGUAUGACGUUUCAACAAAGUCAACCAUCUCCUUCUCAAUAGCAAACCUAGUCACUUCAACCACUAGGCGAGGUGUAACAUGGACAGUCUCCUGACAACCUUAAUGAGUUAGUUUACAGGAGGACAUCCAAAGGAACCUCAUGUUAUAGUAGCGAUGCAAACCAGAAAACAAAGCUGCAUCCCCAAAUGGGCCAAGGCAUCCCAACAAGAAGUGAAGUUUUGUUGCUGUAUCUAAAUCCCUUAACAACUGCAGCAACUACCAUUGUUUUAAUAACAAUCACUAAUAUUACAGCUGCUAGCAAUAUAUCAACGUGAUUCCAAAGGAAAUGCACAUGAAUCAACAUCCCCAAUACUGGCCAGGAAGAGAGCAACAAAGCAAUUGCGAAUUUGCUCAACUUGUUCAAGUGUAUGCUGAUUCAACUCAGAGGUUGAUAUCAUCAUUCCAGCAACAAAUGAACCCAGCUCAUCACCAAACAGCAAGCAAGCAAAAAUGCUAUGGAUGUCAACUGAUAGAGCUCCUUAGUCAAUGAUUUAGUCGUGGAUAGUACUCCCUAAAGGACACCAGAACUGCCACCUAGAACUGAAGUAAAGCAAACAGCAAACCCACAGCACAGUCCUCCACAUAACUGCAAAAAGCAUAUAGCGAAAUUGUUAUAUCACACGAACAUGUGAAGAGAAAAUUUUGAAGAAAACCUCCAAGGACAGCAACUGCUCGAAUAACGCGAAGCUUUGUUGUUGAAAACUCCAAGCUUGAUGCGUGAAUCCUUGGCUGCAUAUUUUGGUGUAAUUGAUUGGGCUGCCGUUGCAAACCCAAUUGUUGUUGCAGCUGAGUAGUCUGUAAUUGCAUCUGUGAUAUCAGUUGCUGCCUUUCGCAUCAUCCAAUCUGUGCUCCCAAGGCGUUCAUGGAUGCUUUGCCGCAAGGAUUCCAAGCUCUGAGGUGCAAUUGCUCCCUCUUGUGAAAAACUCGCCACUACUGCCAAAAAGGAAGUCUUAGCCAUAAAAUUUUGAUUAUUCAACAGCUUGCAGAUCCUUAGACACAGCUUCUGAAAAGUAGCCAAAGGAGGAUCAGUUGCACAUUCCACCAUCUUUGCCAUACACGUUGCUCGACAUAACAAAGUGGAGCGCCUUUUCCAACGUGUUCUCCAAAACAGGUUCUACAGGUGAUCUUUCACCUCUUCUUUCGAAGCAAAGCCUUCCUUCAUGGAUUGUCGCCACGGCUCCUGAGUCCGAGACCGAGACAGCUGCGAUUGGGCUCAGCUUGCGCCUGUGCCAGCUUUUGUUGCUCAACGGACCUGCUCAUGCGCUCAAGCAAAAUUGGUAACGGGAUCAGGGGAAUUUUUUUUGUCAGUUUUUGAUCUUUGGAUCUUUCUUCCUGUUGCUGCUCCUUAGCUUCCUGUAAUUUUCUGCACAAGAGUGAUCAGCAAUGCAAGAGAAGAAACCAAAAGAUGAACCGAACACUGUUCACGGUUGCGUUUCAGUAAUAAAUCAGAUGCAGAAUUUAUUCAGUAUCCUCGUCAACAAGAUAUUCAAAUGACGAAGUAAACUGCAAGUCUCCUUUGGACCCUAGGGCCAGUGAUGAAGUCGUUCAAACACCGGCAAGAAUUAAGUGGAAGAGGCAGGAGUCCAACCAUAUACUGGCCAAUAAGCAAGAGCUGAUGCACCAAGUUGGCAGACGACUUCAAAACCAAGGACAGAAUCGGGGUAGGGAGAGGAUAAAUCAGCUGCCCAAGCUGCAAGCUUUGGGCUUACUUCUCCAUGCCAUCGUGACAAUGCCUUCCAGUUUUUUUUUCUCCUAUUCGGAUUCCUCCCCCUAUUCAGAUUCCUCCUCUAUCUUUUUCUCUGUUUUUUUUUCCUCUCCUAUUCGAAUUCUUCUUCUAUCUUUCCUCCCCCAUUUCCAGCUUGUAUAUUCAUUAUUGAUAUAUAGACCCAUGCUGAUAGAGUUUCAAUUCAACUCCAAUUAGUCACCCAAUGCUAAAGAUUAGCCAUUAAUACUUUCUGAUCAUCAUCCAACUUAAUCUCAAUCUUUCUUUUUUAAAAAAAAAAAAUAAUAAUCAGAUAAUAAAAAAAAUGAUAAAUAUGAAAUAAAAAAAAUCUAAAAUAAAAAUGAAUAAAAAUCCCUGUAACUGAGCUUGGAUUAGUCUCAAUUGACAAAGAAUCCCGGACAAAAUGGGGUGUCUACACUCAUUAGUUGCAGCCCUUUUGAAAUUGUUCUUGGUAAGAAUGCAAUAUGUCAUUUGGAUUUAAUUCAACUUUAUACUAGUCAAAAAUUUGAUAGAGAUGUAAAAGAAAUAGCCAAAGGUAUCAAAAUAUAAUUUUGCAAAAAAAUAAAAAAUGCAAAAGGGUAAUAAUCAAGCAUCGAAGACAUGUGAAGUUCAAAUAACAUGAUUUGGUGUGGAUUAACUUGUGAAAAGAAAGAUUUCCUCUAGGAAAGUUUGGCAAAUUACAACCUAAGGCAGAUGGUCCAUUUAGAGUUCUCUAACAAAUUGGAGAGAAUACCUAUAAGAUAGAUCUUUUUGACACUUGUGGAGUAUCUUCCACCUUCACUAUUACUAAUUUUUCACCCCACCAUGGCAAGAAUACUAGCUUAGACUUGAGGACAACUCUUUUCCAACUAAAAGAGAUUGAUAUCAGAGUGUUUGCACAUUAUACAACUUAGGCUAAGACUAAGGCAGACUUAUCCAAAAAUAAGAUGAGCUUAUCCUUGGUCCAAAUCCACACCUUGGUCAAAAUCCACACAUAAAUAAGGUGGGCUAGAAUAGGAAAAUUGCAUUAACACUAGCUGAAAAAUAAGAUCAUGAAUAUGAAUGGGAUUAUGGUUAGGUUCAAGAGUAAAUGAGCAGAUUAUGUUUACAUACAAAUCUCAUGAUUUUAGGCAUGAUUCUAGCAAUGUAAUUUGAAAGUUUUCAUGCUUUGAGAGAUGUUUCUAGCCUAUAUAUUUUCUAUUAUUCUUUGGUAAAAGAUAUAAUAGAGUUUUCUUUGUCAUUAAGCAAUAUUUAAGAUUGUUCAUCAAGUUUUGCAACUCUUAGGUGGAUUUCCUAGAGUGAUGAACUUUUAUUAUUCUAGUCUUGGUUGUGAACUUUUAUUCCUUUUAAUCCAAUAAUCAUCUUUUGCCAUUAUUUAAAUCCUUGUGAGUUAUCUUCUUUAUGAGUUUUUCUAUUUGCAAUUAAUUUUUACAUCUUAAACAUCAAUUUUCGGCGUCAUUCACCUCCAAAAUAAAUAAACUAAAACUACAUUUUUAUUUAUGCACUAAUGCAUUAUGCAUGUGUUGCGUGUUUAUGUAGAUUUCAUUUGCUAUACAUGUGCACAACUACUGUGCAUAAAUAGACGUAUACAGUAGUUAUUUACCAAACACUUACCGAAGACUUUGGAAAGAUUAGUCUAUAAAGCAAUUCAAGGGUAAAAUUUUACUAAAUCUAAAACAAGCAGAGUAACAUAAAAUAUAUGUGUUCGUGAGACUGCUAUAAUGUGAAAUGUAUUUCUUCAAGAAUCAGCACUAUUAUUGAGAGCACAAAAGUUCAUUAUGUCAACUCUUUAUAUCGACAUACCUUAUAGCACAAUUUUAUUUUGUAAUACACUAAUUUAAUAAAAAUACUUCAUUUAUAUAUAAUUAAAUGUUAUUUAUAUUUAAAAAUUAUAUUUUUAUAAAAAUUAUGUUAAAUUAAAAUUAUUAAAUUAAUUUUAGGUUAAGUCAAGUUAAAUGCAUACUGAACAUAUAUAGUUAGGAUUGGAGUCGAACAUCGUCGUAACGGUUUUGGGAUUGGUAGACGUAAAGUAUUUUAAAAUUGGAAAAAAUAAAAAGGGAGUUGCCACCAAUCUUUGUUAGGGUGUGAUUGGCCACUCAAAAAAUUAUCUUUUUAAUUAAACUAUAAAAGCAGGUUUAAAGUUUAUCAAAAAGAUAAAUGUUGGUCUACGAAAACCAGGUUGGAUCUAGGAGUUGGUUACGUGUGGGGAAGGAUUAGCACUCCCACAAUGUUCAUAAAUUUGUACCAUUUAAUCAUGCGCUAUUUUCGGUGUUGGAUAAAAUUGUUUUUACUUGAAAUUUAAUACUAAUUCCCUUCGUUUGAAAAAAUAUUUUUUUGCUAAAAUUCUUUAUUUAGAAAUAUUUAGAACUUAAGAUGACUCUUUUCACUUGAGAUUUAAUAUAAUAUCCCUUAAAAUAACACUCCUUACAAGAAAUGAUUAUUAGUGACUCUCAAACAUCUAAGCAGAGUAUCGAGAAUUAUUCCCUUCGAAUGUUAUUUUUAUUUUAUUUUAUAAUAUCACGAUUUUAAAAGUAAGUAAAUAAAAAAAAAGUUUUGUGCGAAAAAGUAAAUAAUGGUAUUAUCAAAUAACAAGUAAAAAUUUAUGAUGUGUUCAGCACUUUAAGUAUGUUUUAACAAGUCAGAUUUUAGUUUCAUGGCAUGUAUGUUUCACUUUAAUAUUUGUGUGUGUAUGUCUUCCACAAAAGAGAUAGAUGUCAGUCCAUGAAAGUUAAAGAUUAGACCUUGACUAUAACUAUUUUUUUUACUACUUUCUAAACUAUCUUAAAUAUUAAAUUUCAAGCCCUAUAUGACCUGAUGAUAAAUAAAGUUGUAUUAACAUAGAAAAUCUCUAAUCAUAUGGUUUAUUACAGCAUAAAUUCAAGUUCUGUGAGUUCAUUAAAGGUAUGAUUCUCUUACUAUAAAAAGAAAAAGGAGAACGAUGCAACAAACAUAUAGAUUUUUUGUUAUCAAGAAAAAGUAAUCAAUGAUGAAGAGAAGCAAUCAUCUGCAAUUCGAAGCUAUUCUGAUAAGUCAUUGUGCGGAGAUGUUUAGCGGCUUAGAUUUGAAACAGGAAGCGAAAGCAUUCCUAGUUGUCACAUCAUCCCAUUAUAAUUCUUUCCACCAAAAUUCCCAUCCAUGAAUGGCAAUGCCAUGUCUUUCACCAUUCUUUGCAUUGAAUGGAAGCUUCUUCAAUUUUGGACACCCAAAUAUGGAGAUUUUCUUGAAACUUAAAAAUGGAAGGGGUAAAUGCAUUUUAGUUCUGGUAGGUAAGACAAAUGGAGAACUUCAAGCUUUUUAAAUGGCUUAAUACUUCCUACUUUCUCUGGAAGUCCUGCAUAUUUGGCUGUGCAGAUUAUUUAUUUGAUUUGGAAGCAUCUUGAUAUGCAAACACUAGCAAGGUUUGGGGUAAACAUGAGCCAUGUCAAAUCCUCUAAUUGUAUACAGUUGUCUACACUUACUUUUUGAGGGCUGUCGAACCAUCUGUCCUUCAGAUGUUAGUUUUUUUCUUGGUUCUUGCAACCAAUCAUGCUUCAACUCUUCUAAACUCUUACAGUAUGAGAUAUCUAGCAUAUUAAGCUGCUUCACAUAUGUUAAACAUGAAAUAUUUAGAAUAUUUGAACCACUUAAAAACUGAAUGCAUAGGUCUUGAGUGCAGCUCAUGAACUUUUGGGAGCUUAAAAGUCUUUCAAGUGCAAAAAUGCUCCUUAUUGUGAGACUCAACAUACUCAAUUAUUUCAAACACUAUAAUUCCUUAACCCAUCACUCAUUUCCUCCAGAUAGAAUAUUACCUUGCACAAUCAGAUCAGAAGAACCGCAAUUAAGCAUUCUUAACACUAGUCAGAAUGGAAAGCUAGAUAUCAGUUGGCAUGGAAUUGUAUUUAGUACAACUGUAUCCUCUAAGUUCUAAUAUUUCAGCCUUUGCAGGGACUUAGCUCAGUUGGCAAUUGUCUUAUACUUGUCUUGGAUAGAUUGAGAUAUUGCAGGGAAAUAAGUUUUAAAAUUCCCUGGGCCAAUUCAGUUAUGCCACUGUUACAGGAUAGGUUUAACACUCUUAGAUUAGGCAUAGAUUGGAAAAAGUCAUUACUGAUUGUGUUUAAUGUGUUUUCAUUGAGAAACAAGGUUAGCAGGUUAGGACAUGAAGGUGUUUCGAUUAGACUCUCAAGGGAAUUUGCCAUUAGUGAUGUCCUUCUUACUGUUUCCCAUUUUGUAAUCUUUGGUGCUUCAUUUAAUCAAUCACCUGUUUGCACUAAAAUACCUUCCUUGAAAAUAUUGAACCCAUUGGCUAUCCGCAAAGCUAUAUCACAAAUCAAAUCGUGCAUUUUCACAUAAUGACCUUCUUCUUCCAACAAACAUGUAUAUACAAGUGUCCCAAUAAAGUCAUACCUUUGGUUUUGAGCUCCAUUUCUGCCAUUACAUUCAUUUAAAAGUCCCUCACAAAUCCUAUAAUCUAUUAAAUUAGUUUUGCGAAUGACAAAGUCUUUUGGAGAUAAAGUAUAAUAUAAGAAGCAAGAUCUCACUUUCUCAUUAGGUAAAUGAUCAAAGAACUUCAUAAGAGGAAAGACCUUAUCCCCCAUACCUGAAAAUUCUGAGGCAAAUUUUCUUAAAACCUCAAUUGCAUGAAUCCAUUCUUGUGGUGUCUUCUUGCAGGCCAUGGCUCGACCAAUGGUGAUAAGUGCUAGUGGCAUAGCAACACACUCUUUGGCCAUAAUUUCUAAUAGCAUAAGAAUAUCUGGAUGCAGGUUCAGAGUAUCAUUUCUUAUCUUCUUCUGAAACAAAUGCCAAUCACAAGGUGAUGGCAAGAACUUUACUUUGAAACUUUUAUGCGCUUCCAUGAGACUACAGACCUCUUUGGAAUGUUUAGUGAAAACUACUUUGGAGUUUUUUGUUGGUCUGGUAUAGGAACUCCAAUUUUUGUUAGAUUAAUUUGGUCCCAUAAAUCAUUCAACAGCAAAACAAAUUUCUUAGUACUUAGGACUUUGUAUAUGUCUAUAGCCUUUUGCUCAAUACUUUUAUUUCUCCACCUAUUGUCAAAGUAUCCUAUCUUUUCCCCAAUCUCUUCUUGACUAUUUUAGGUUUUAGGUUUUAGAAGCCACUGCCCAGAUCACAAAAUCAACAUUGCUAGGAUGGCUAAGGAGCAUCUUGUUGAUUGAGUCGUGAGAGUAGUUUUGCCAAUGCCUUUCAUUCCAUAAAAGGCAAUGAUUCUUGGUUGAUCUUCACUGAGGCAGUUCCAAAUGGUAGUAAACAUGGACUCCAUGCCCACAAUGUGUUCACAAGGCUUUAUAUCCCGUGGUAUUGAAAGUAGUGUUUUAGUCACAUUUUUAAAUUGGCCUUUCUUUAUGUGUCUUCUCACCUUUUUUAACAUCUUGGUAGCAUUUUUUCCUAGCUUGUAACUGGGUUAGCAAUUCUUAGGGCAGCAACAUCUACCGCAUUUUUUUUCAUGAUCAAUUUUCUUUAUCAGAUCAUCAACUUCUUCUUCCAAAACUUCAACCCUUGAAAGCCACCAUUCAACUUGGUUAGGCAGCUUCAUAUGCUGCCUUUCAGCAAUCUGAACUCUUCUCUUCACGUCAUUUCUUAAUGCUUUUAGUUUUUUCAUUUUGGUUUCAAGAACACUUAAAUGUUUCCCUGGUUGCAGGCAUAACUCGCGUGUGUUGCUGCAUGAUUGCAGCAAAAAGAGAUGGUAUUCUUAAUCGAAAUCGAGAUAGAGCACAACCCUUCUAUAGUACACAAAUAAAUUGUCUAAGAGGUGAAAAGAACAGAUUACCUAUCAACUUGUGUUGGAAAUAGAACAAGCAAACAGAAAGGAUUGAAGUUUGAAAAUGCUAAUUAGCAAUCUAGAAUGUUUGACUGUAAUUUGGCGUAGCAACACAAUGAGAUCCAUGAGUAAAUAUUUUUUGAUUAAAGUAUUGAUUUCAUCACUGCUUCCAGGCUCCAGCCACUUCUGAAUAGAAAAAUGGGCAUGAACAUCAAAGUGGUUUUCAGAUUUCACAUUUAUGAAACGAAACAAUAAAUAUAUAAAAAAUAAAAUCGAGUUAAAUUAAUGUUUUAUAAAGUUGAUUAAUGUAACUACGUUAAUGAAUUAAGCAAAAUAUAUUAAUUUUCUAUAUUAUCAAUUUGUUGGAUAGUUGGGUUAUAUUGAAACAAGCAGCUUCAAGUUUUUCUUCCUUUUAAUCCUCUUUUUGACCAUGCAAAGGGCCAAAUAUGUAAGAACAAGAAUCUUGUUGUUCGAGUGAACGGGUUUCAAUAUUAACUUAUCUUGAAAGAGUUUUAUGCAGGAUUCGGAUUUAUAUAUCUACCGUUAAAGAAUAAUCAUUUUGAAUUUUUUAAAUAUUAAAUUUUUAUAAUUUUAUAUUUAAAUUGAGUCUUUUUAUUUAUUAGCAAUUGAUUUUAAAUUUGAUAUUUCACCUUACAUUAAAGUUUUAUUUUGUUGUUUUCACACUUUGUCCAAAAUUUUCAUUUGAUUUUAGAUUGAAUGUUUUGUUAUUUAUAAGAAUUUCAUUGAUCUUGCACAUUACUUAUCCUUAUCAGGUCAAUCAAAUUCAUCUAUACAAUUAAUUUCAUUAAUUUUGACCAUUCUCAAGAUUUGCCACAUGUCAUCUUUUUCUUUUUUUAUUUUCUCAAUUUUUUAUAAAUAAUCUAUUUUUAUUCUUUUUAAAAUUUAAAGUGAGAUCAUAUGACAUUAUUGAUUAAAAAUUUUUUUUAUUUUUUUAUCCUUUAUUUUUUUUAUUUUUAAUUAAAUAAUUUUAUAAAAAAAUAUCAAGAGAUGUAUCCGCGUAACAUUCAAAUUUGACUUCUUUUUAUUUUUUUUCUCUUUAGGUCUUUCCUUUUUUAGUUUUUAUUUUUUUAUUUUUUAAAUUUAUAAAUUAAAUUUUAUUUUUUAGUAUAUUAAUUUAACAAAAAUGCUACAUUUAUAUAUAUUAAGAUGUUAUUUAUAUCAAAAAAUUAUAUUUUUAUAAAAAUUAUACUAAAUUAAAAUUAUUAAAUUAAUUUUUGAUAACUUAGGUCAAAUGCAUGUUACAUAUAUUUAUCGAGUUAGAGUUUGGUUUAAAAAAAAAAACCUAUUUGAUAAAAUUAUUACAAAAUCAGAUCAUCUCAAAACGAAUUUUAACUCGUUUCAAUUUGAUCCAUUGAAAUCUCUAAAUGAAAAUAUUUAUGUGGCAUCCAAAAUUGCUUUCUUCAGUUUCUUUUGCCCUUUUCAUAAUUUUUUUUUGGAUAAAAUAGGUCAACAAUCACUCAAUUAUAUAAAUUUUUUAAGAUUAUCACCCAAUUAUUAAUUUUUUUAGUUUAAACAUUAAUUUGAGUAUUUUUUGACCCUACCAUUAAUAUCUAACAGAACACGUACUGGGUAUGUCACAUCAGUUGCUAAAUUCACAUUUUUCUUUUCCUUUCUCUCUCCUGCCCAUCCUCGCGACCUUCUUUCUGUUUUUUCUCUUCAAAGCCCAACAACAAUCAGUGGAGCAAUUUGGAAAGAAACAAUUUGGAAAAAACGCAGUCCCCAAGAGAAGCAAUUUAAAUCUUCAAUGAUACAGCAGAUAGCCUCGACACAAAUAAAACUACAAUCGAUUGACCAUAAACAAACCAUUCAAAUACACAAUUUCUAUUAACAAUAAACAGAAAACAGCAAGCAUCAACAACAAAUUUUAGGCAUCAACUAUCAAUUCACCUAAAAAAUCUAAGGACAAUCAUAUACAGAAACAAGACCUAAUGACACAUUAUAGCCAUAAUAAACAACCCACAAACACAAUUUUCAGCAAUCAGGCUUCGUUCACAACAGAAUUCAUAAAAAUAUUUAAUAGCAAAUAUACAUAAAAUAAGGGAUUCUAAGGGUUUUGUUUUGAGGUUUUUUUUGAGAUUUUUUUUUAUUUGUAGUUUUGGGCUUUUUAAUUAACAGAAUACAGUGGAGUUGUGAUGGGUAUUAUGAAAUCUCAGCUUAGUUGUUUGAGUUUUCUUGCUAGGGUUUCUAGAUCAAAUAAAAGAAGUAGAAGAAGGAAGAGAAUUUGGGCAUUCGGAAAGGUGAUGGUGGUCUUGGCAUUGGGGAAUCUUUUUCUUUGGAUCUAGAUCUUAAACAUUUUGAGAGGAUUUUAAAAAAUCUAAGCUUACUAAAGUCUCAGAGAGGUGAAGAGGAAUCAAAAAGGAAAUUUUAUGGGUUUUCUAACUGCCACUGAACGGUGACGAUUAGUGAUGAAAGGUGGCGUUGGCAAUGGGAAGCACUAGAUUCUGGAAAAAAGAUGGUUGCUGAUUGAAAGGUUAGAGAAAGUUAGGGAGAAGGGAAAGAAGUAAUGUUUUUAAAGGGAGAAACAAAAAUAGAAACCGAAGGAAAUGAAAAUUUUGGUUUUUAUUCUUUAUAUAAAACAAUGAGUUUUAGAAAACAAAAAUAGGAAAGAAAGAAAUGAGAAAAGAAGAGAAAAAAAUAGGGGCAGUUAGCCCAAUGCAAUUUACGUAGACAUGCCACGUUGUUUCUGACACCAUGUAUGGCAUGUCUCGUCAGAAAUCUGUUAUUAAUGUUUCGAAGAUCCUAAAAACAUUCAUUCAAACGUUAAUAAUUAAAUUGAAAAUUAAAAAUUUGGACAUCAUUUUUAAAAUACUUACAUAAUUGAGUAACUAAUAGUGUAUUUUAUCCUAAUCUUUUUAGAUUUCAUUUAUUUCAUUUUUUAAUUAGAUAAAUUGUAUAAAAAAUGGGUCAAUAGAAAUAUGAAUAACAAAAUAAUUAGUAUGUGACAAGUUUUGACCCAACUUCAUCCAAUAAGAGAUUUUUUUUUUUUUAAAUUGGGAUUGAAUUGGGUCAAGAUGAUUUUUUAUUUUUUAAAAUCAAGAUCGAGUUGAAGAUAAGUUCAAGGUGGUUUGUCAUGAUCAUUUUCGGGAUAUAUAAAAAAUAUAUUUUUUAUUAUUUAUUUAAUUAUAAAUAUUUAUUAUAUUAAUAAUAAAAUUAUUAUUUAAAAACUUAAUUAAAUAAAAAUGCUACAUUUAUAUAUAAUUCAAAUACAACUUAUAUUAAAAAAAUAUUUUUAUGAACAUUAUACUAAAUUAAAAUUAUUAAAUUCAUUUCUGUUUAAAUUAAAUCGAAUGUAGUUAUACAUAUAUGUGUUUAGUUCGAGAUUGAAUAUUAAAACAAUAACUCAAUGUUUGGUCUGAGUUAGAUUCGGAUUAAAUUAUUAAAAAGUUGGGUCGAAGUUGAAGCUAGAAAAAGCUUGCCUUAACCUAACCUAUUAUCACCUAAACGAAGGCGUCCACAUAGCACCUCAAUUUGGUUCUUUUUUUUUUAGUUUUAUUUUGUUUUUUUAAUUUUUAAUUUUAUUUUUCUUAAUUAUAUUUGAAAAAAUAAAAUUAAAAGAGUGGAUUUUGAUUUGAUUUGUUAUAUAAAAUGUCAGAACAAAAUGCACACAUUAUAAAAAUUAAUUUAUAGAUUUUCACUUAUCAUUGCAUUUAUUAAAAAAAUUAUAAAUGAAACCAUACUCAUUGAUUUAGUAAAUUUAUCUUGAACAUUGUUUAUUACAAAUAAAAAAAGUUAACGUGCAGUAACGUACGAGAGUAUUUCUAGUUCAUGUUUAAUAAUAAAACAACAGUUUCAUUCCUAUACCCUGAGAUCAUGCAUUGUUGCUAUAGACCAUUAAAUAUUCUUUGUUGCCCAAAAGUAUGGUUUGCCUGAUCCCUCAUUAUAAAUCUUUCCAUCGUCUUUCACUCCCCAUAUCAUAAGUUUUGGAUCCUUUUAACUGUUGAAGUGGAAGUUUUACCACCAUGAAAAUAAAAAUAAAUUAGCCUAACAAAAAAGAGAGAAGUUGAGAAAGCUAUAUUUCCUCAUAACAGCUUCCAAAGAGCAUUUGCAACCACAAUUAAUAGAUUGUAUCAAUACUAACUUAAUAGAAAUUAGAAAUUUCUGAGUAAAUGAUAUAAAUUUGAAAUUUUUAGUAUCUUCUGCUCGUAUAAAUUACAAUACCUAUAGUGUAUUAAUUUUUGACAUAUGCGUAAUGUACAUGUCAUUUUUAUAUUUAAAAAAUUUAAUUAAAUAAAAUUUUUUUGGUUUUUAUAAUAAUAAUGAUAAAUAUGAACAACUUAAUUUUGAUUUUGAUAACUUUUUAUAUAUUUUGAUAACAUUCGUUAGAAGUUUGAUCACUUUUCAUAAAAUUUUGGUAUCUUUUAUACAAUUUUGUUAACUUUUAAUAUUUAAUAACUUAUUAUAUAAUUUUGGUAACAAUUGAUAUAAUUUUAAUAUUUUUUUAAUAAAAUUUUGUUAAUUUUUUGAUGUAAUUUUGAUAACCUUUAUGAUAUACUUUGGUUAAAUACUCAAUUUGAAAGAUGAAACGUUUAUAUGAUUACUCAAUUUAAAAUUAAAUAUUUUAUUUUAUAUGAAUAAAAAUUAAAUGCUAUCGACUUAAAAGUUCUAGUAUUUUUUUCACAAUCAUUAAAUUUUCAAUUAUUCAAUAUUAAUCUACAAAAAAAAAAAAAAAAUCACCACUCCAUACUAUAAUACUCAUGAAAUUCAAAACCCAAAACUAAACCAUAUAAAUUUUUGUUCGUCUAGAAAUUUUGAAUUAAAACAUGUAUGAAAGAGACAAAAAACUGAAACCAAUGAUCUAACGUCAUCCCAAUUAUAGAGCUCAAGGAUCAUAAACCCCUUGAAAAAUCAUCAAAUCCAAGGAAUAUCCCAUGAUCCGAACUGUAAUUACCUGAACCCAUUGUCAAAAGAUCUAGAAACGACCCGUCUUUAGGCAAUUCACUGUUCAACUGUACUGUUCCGUCUAAAAUCAAGCGUGAUGGGGACUCCACUUGAAACCCAAUGGUGGAUUGCUCCGAAUGGGUCCUGGGAGGCUCUGAGUUUGCAAACUGGGCAACAACUGCUUGGAUUUCGAACAUACACUUCCCCCAUUUUCACUUUCGAACACCCUUGAAUUGCAAAAUGCUUUUCUCAGCUGCAGGUUUCUCGCUUAUGUGUUUCACUAUAUUCUUUUCCUUUUCAAAUAUCUAGGAUUGUCUUGAGUUCUCUUUCUCGGUUCUGUCUUUAAACUUAUUAGGCACACCUCAUAACCCUCACCUCCCCUUGAUUCACUUCUUCGAGACACCUUUUCCAUCUCCAACUUCUUAAUUAUAAAAUUACAAAAAGAGAUUCAUUGAUUAGGUGUUUGUUAAUCUGGUUUUCUUCCAAAUUUUCAAAUUUGGCAAAGAUUGAGCAUGCACAACCUUUUAACGGCUCAACAAGGCAAGGUUUAAAAUUUCUAGUUUUUUUAUAUUGUAAAUAAAGGAGUUACAGCUAAAGAGAGAAAGUAAACACUAAGAGAAAGUAGUUGAAUAGAGAAAAAAUUGAAUGAAAUAAUAAAAAAAAAAGGAUAGCCCUUUGCAAGAACAGAACAAUGGGAGGCUUUGUAGAGAAACAAGAGUUGAAAGGAGAAAAUUUUGAAGUUAAGAUAGAAAGAAAAAAAAUUUGGAAAGAAAGAAGAAAGAAAUGUUGUUGUGUUCUUAUAAAACUGAUGUUUUUAUUAUCUUUUAAUUUUUUUGGGGUUUUAGGGAAUAAGUUAGUAUAAUACACAACUAAACAAUGCAAUUAAACCACAUGGAGAAGACACGCACAAUCUGUCUUCUAAAUAUAUCCUUAAUUGUAAACGUUCAAUAAUGUUUAAUCCUUAUUUAUAUUCUUAAUUGUAAUCGUUUAAUCUUAAAUUGAGUAUUUAACCUAUUUUUUUGAUAAUUAUUGAUAAAAUUUGCGCCAUCAUAUAUUAAAUAUUGGAUUCCUGCAAUAAAGUGUAGGCUUCAUGUUAGUAUAAGAUAAUUUUCUUUUUUAUAAAAUAACAUUAUUGCUUCAUUUAAAUUUAGAUUUUCUUUACUAAUUUUUUUAUUAAAUAAGCUCAUGGUAGAUUUAUCCUAGCCUCUUAAGAUAAAAGUUCUAGUUUCGUUUUUAGUAGUAACCAAGGUUCAAUACCUGACAACUUUGAAUAUAAAAAAAUUAUCAAAUAUUGACAAUUAAGUUAUCAUUAUGUUAUCAAUGAUUUACUAUUAAGUUAUUAAUAAUUUAUUACUAAAAUAACAUUAAUUUACAACUAAUUUCUAAAUGAUUUAUCACUAAAUUAUAAAUGAUUUACCAUUAAAUUAUUGAUAAUUUAUCACUAAAUUACUAAAAAUUUAUUAUAAAGUUAUAACUGAUUUACUACUAAGUUAUCGAUUAUUUAUUACAAACUUAUCAAUUAUUAACUAAUUUAUUGCUAAAUUAUCUCUAAUCUACAACUAAAUUAUCACUAAUUUAUAACUAUGUUAUUAGUGAUUUAUUACUAAAUCCCCAAUGAUUUACUAUUAUACUAUUGUGCAUUUAUUACAUGUUAUCAUUGAUUUAAUACGUAGUUUUCGAUUAUUUACUAUGAAAUUAUUAUAAUUUAUUAUUAAAUUAAUCAUGAUUCACCAUCAAGUUAUCACUUAUUUAUAUUAAAUUAUCCAUGAUUUACUAUAAUAUUACUAGUGGUUAACUAUUAAGUUAUAGAUUAUUCAAAAAAAAAUUAAGCUAUUGAUAAUUUAUUACCAAGUUAUACUGAUUUACUUUCAAGUUUUUAAUAAUUAACUACUUAAUUAUUAUUGAUACUAUUAAGUUAUUUAUGAUUUAAUACUAAAUUUAUCAUUGGGAUAAUGUUACAAAUGACUCUUGAAUUAUAGUGAAAUGUUCAAUGUGGUAUUUAAAUUUUAAAAAUCUUUAAUGCGAUACCUGAACUAUAAAUUUGUUAAUUAAUAUGGUACUUAUCCCUAACAUAAUUAGUUUCAAAUGAUGAUACAUGGCGUACAAGCAACUUUUCAAGUACUGCAUUAGUUAAUAAUUUUAUAGUUCAGGUACCACAUUAUAUAUUUCACUAUAGUUUAAGAGUCAUUCAUAAGAUUAACCACUUAUCAAUUAAUUACUAUUAAAGCAAAAUUGAUUUACUGUUAAGUUAUCAUUGAUUUAUUGUUAAGAUAUAUAUGAUUAACUACUAAGUUACUAUUUAUUUUUUAUUAACAUAUCCUUGAUUUAUUAAUAUGCUACUAUAUAUUUACAAUUAUGAAAUAUGGAAUUUAAAAAGUUACUAACAAUAUAUAAGAUAAUUUUAUUUUUAUACGAUAAUAUUAUUAUUUUAUUCAAAUUUAAAAAUUUUUUUACUAAAUUUUUUAUUGAAUAGAUUUGUGAUAGGUUUAUUCUAACCCCUAAGAUGAAAGUUUUUUAUUCAUUUCUGCCAUGAACCAGGUUCAAUCCCUAAUAAUAAAAAAAAUUAUCAAUGAUUACUAAUUAAAUUAUUAUUUAUUUACUAUUAUGUUAUUAAUCAUUUAUUACUAAGCUACCAAUAAUUUACUACUAAAUUAUCAAUAAUUUAUUACAUAUUUAUAAAUGAUUUAUCCUUAAAUUAUGAAUUAUUUAUCACUAAGUUACUGAUAAUUUAUUAUAAAGUUAUAACUUUUUUAUUAUUAAUUUAUGAAUGAUUUAUUAUAAAAUUAUCAAUGAUUAACUAAUUUACUGCUAUAUUGUUACUCAUUUGUAGUUAAGUUAUUCAUAAUUUAUUACUACGUUAUUGAUGAUUUACUACUAAAUUAUCAAUGAUUUAUUAUUAUAUUAUUAUAUAUUUACUAUUAUGUCAUAAUUGAUUUACAAUUUAAUUUUCGAUUAUAUACUACAAAAUUAUUAUUAAUUUAGUAUUAAAUUAUCCAUGAUUCAUUACCAAGUUAUCAUUAAUUUAUAUUACAUUAUCCAAAUUUACUAUUAAUUUAUCAUUGAUUAACAAUUAAGUUAUUGAUGAUUUACUAUUAAAUUAUAUUAAUUUACUUUUAACGUAAUGAGUAAAUAUUAAAUUAUCAAUUAUUUAAUAUUAAGUUAUUAUUCACAAUAUAAAAAAAGUUAUUUAUAAUUCACUACUAUUAAUUAAUUACUAUUAAAAUAAAAUUGAUUUAUUAUUAAAUUAUCACUAGUUUACUAUUAAGUUAUUUUUAAUUUAUUAUUAAGUUAUCAAUGAUUAACUAUUAAGUUGUCACUUAUUUUUCAUUAAAUUAUUCUUGAUUUACUACUCUCUUAUUAUGCAUUUACAAUUAUAUUACAAUUAAUUUAUUACUAAAUUAUUAUGCAUUUACUAUUAUAUUAUUAUUGAUUUAUUACUAAGUUAUCAAUUAUUGACUAUUAAAUUAUUAUUCAUAUAUUGAUGUAUGCAUGAUUUAUUAUUAAGUUAUUAUUAAUUAAUUAUUAAGUUAUCAAUAAUUACUACUAAGUUAUACUGAUUACUUUUAGCUUUCAUUGAUUAAUUACCAAAUUAGCAAUCAUAUACUAUUAUGUUGUCAUUAAUUUGCAUACAUUCAAAAAGAAAGCAACCGCAAUGAAUGCUAAAUGAUGUAAUUUAUAAGAUAGAGAAAGAAGUAAGAAAAUGUUUAAACGUAGAUGACUUGAAAAACAAUAAGUAAAUGCUCUUAAUUUGCUAUUUGUAGUUUAGCAUAUAAUAAUAAGUUAAAAUCAUAACUUUUUAUACUAAUGUAAGUAUCAAAGCAAAGUUAAAUUAAUGUACAAUAUAUAUUAAGUUAAUAUUUUUAAAAUAUUCUUUAAAUUUUUUAAUUCAUUGUAAAAUAGUACAUAUUAAGAUAAGUUUUGUUAAUAAUUUGAUUGAAUGAUUUGUUAUAUAUUUUUAUACUUGUUAGCGAAGUACAAUUUCUUAUAAAAGAUUGAAAAAAUUGAAGUAUUAUGCCAACAAUGAAAAUAAUAAACUUUUCCUUAUGUUUCUAUCUUUAAGUAUAUAAUUUUUGGUAAAAUUUAAUUAUGUAAAAGCAAUGAGAAAAAAUUUACUAAAUAAAAUUUAUAAAAAAUAAAUAGAUAAUAAAUUUUAAAAAUAUUAAGUUUAUAAUAAUUACUUUCACAUUCUCUUUCAAAAAUUUCUUUUAUUAAAUGAAAAGAUAGUAUAUUUCUAAUUGUUAUUUCAUUUUUAUUACUACCAUUCAAAAUGCAUUUUUUUUUAUAUAUAUUUUGAUGUCAACCAACUUUUUCAUUUGAAAAGAAUAAAGAUUAUAAGGGGUCAUAACGGCUCAAAUAAUAUUUAACUGUAUGUUAUCUUCCUAAAUAAGUUUGAACUAUAAUAUCUAUUUCAAAUGAAAUGUUUAAGUUGUUUCCUUCAAUCUAUAUCACAGCAACUUGAUUAACAAGACUUGGGCAUAAGAAUUUCAAAAUCCUUAAAAGAAGAUAUAUCAUUUAAUCUUUGCACAAUUUGGGUAUAUGAAUUUCCUUCUAGAAUUAUCAUUAAUAUUUCCAUAACUUUUGCACUUAAAUUUUUUUUUUUCAUUCUAUUUUGAAAUUUAAUACCAGUGUCAUAAAAGUAUAAUUAAAAAUAAUAUGAAUUAAUUAACUCAAACUUGAAAUAAUUCAAGACUCAUAUUGAGUAUACAUAAAAUUUUUACACUUUUUGAAUUUUAAUAUAAUUAAAAAUAAUAUAAUACACAUAAUUAUAAAAAUAAACAAUUUUCACUCGAUUCAAUUGAUUUUAAACAAUCAAAACCUUAGUGGUUAUUUAAAAUAUGAAAUCACUGAACCCAAAAUUUGAAUUGACAUAGCAAUACAAUCAAAAUCCAACAAUUUUUAUUUUAUUUGAAUUUAAGUUGAUUUUAAAUCCGGCUUUUUAAAGAACGAAAAGUUUGCAUCAAUUAUUAUGUCAAAUUUAUUCAAGUGAUAAGUGAAUAAUUAAGUAUACAAUGAAUAGAAGCAAAUAAAACUUAACUCAACCUAAUUGAUAUUGAUUCUAAAAUUAAAAGCCAACUUGAAAUUAUGAUUAGUCAAAAUUCAAAAUAAUUGAAAUACUAGAUACACAAUUAAAUAAUUUAUCGAAAGAAUUUUCUUAAUUAAUGCUUUUAAAUCACAUUUAAGUUUAGUUAAAUUAUAAUGUAUAAUCAUAUUUUUAUAUUAAAUGUAAUAGUGAUAAUUAAUUUGAUGAAUUUCAAUACUUUUGAAUAAAUAUUACCCAACAUAGUAACCUUAAAAAUUUUUAUAUAAUCAUGAACAUUCUUUAACUUAUAUAAUGAAAAGAAAAAUGAAAGCUAUACAAUGUUUUUCCUAAAAAAAGAAUUUUAUAUUGAUCCUAAAAAAAUUUGAAAUCAUUAAAAUUAUAUAUUUUUCAUUGAAACAUCAUAUAACACUAACCUUAUUGAUAUGAAUAAGAUAGAACUAUGUAUAAUCAGUCAAAUUUUUCUCUCAUUUUUUUGCUUUGGAAAUUCUUUUAUUGGUGCUUCCAUCAAUUAAAUGUAAUUCUACAUUCUACCAAUUAAAAACAUAAAAUUUUUUUAUUUAAAAAUUUUAUUAUACAUAAAUUUUGAUUAUAUAAAAAUAUCACAAUACAUAAUUUUAAAAAUAACAAUGAAAUAAAAAAGAUUUAAUUAAUUUCUCUUUUGAAUUAUUUCAAGCGACUAAAAAUAUUUAAUUAUAUAAAUUAUCAACUCAUAAAAUAUACAAAUAAUAAAAUUAUUAACAUACAUAUAUAGCUAGCAAAUCAAUUAAAAUAAAAACCUGAAAGGAAAAAAAUUAGAAAUAAAAAAAAAUAUGCUUUAAUGAUUUGGGAGUCUAAUAAUGAAAAGAAACUUCAUUUAAGUUAAAACUUAUAAAAGUCUUAUUAUGGUACUUUAAUCAAUCAUUUUUAACAUUUUAGGAAUUAAAAAUUUAAUAAAGAUAUUUUAAUCAAUCACUUUUAAUAUUUUUUUAGCGUAAUUAUAAAAAAUUUAAUAAUAAAAAAGAAAAUUAAUUUAAAUUAAAAGUUAUAAAAAAUUUACUAAGAAUAUUUUAGUGAAUCAUUUUUAAUCCUUUUGGAAUUAAAAUUUCAAAAUUUUAAGCAGUUUAAUUUCCCAAAAAAUCUAUUUUUAAUUUUAGUUGAUUUAAAUUAAAUUUAAAUAAAUUAAUAAAAAUUAUAUAUUUAAAAAUAAAUUUGCUAAUUUAAAAAUUUAUAAAAAUAUUAAAGUCAAUCACUUUUAACACUAUUAAAAUUCACACUUUUAUACAUAGAUAAUAGUUUAUAAUUAAAGAAAGACGAGAAGAAUAUAAAUAACUACUGCACGGGUUUAAAUCAAGAAAAAAUUGGUAGCAUAACAUGUUAGCUGACCAUAAAUAAAAUCAAACAAAUUGAGAUAUUUAGGUUGAAGCUAAAAUUAUUUACUCAGCAUUAAAAUGCAGCCUAUAUUUAAAUCCAUAUAACCAAAAGAUUCACCAUUAACUUAGUCAAUUUAAUGAGCAUCAUACAAAUGAGAAGAUCAUCCACGAUUUUAGAACACACCGCAACAGCUUCAAACACAACAAUUAUAACAGAGACUUAAGGUAAAAGUAAUAUGUUUACUUUGCACUUUCAGUCAAAAGACGUAAAGUAGGGAAGAAAAUCGUUUAGAGCUCAUUCAUCCUCCCAUUGAAGCUGUUUCCACCAUUCUUCCUCACCGUCAAUGCUGAUUUUGUUUUCCUUUGCACUGCUGGAGUUGAGUGGAAGUCUUUUCAGCUUUGGGCAUCCACGAACAAAAAUUUCUUCCAAACAUGAGAAGGGAAGUGUAUCCCAGUAAAUGCUCUUCAACUCUGGCAACUGCUCUAACGAAAGAGACUCGAGUUUUCCAAAUAGGUUUAAAGUUUCUACUAGCUCAGCCACUUGACCCAGUUUUCUCUCAUUGAUUAUUUCUUCCAUAUUGUAGCACAACAACACAAUAAGAUGCCUCAGGUUUGGAGCUAGAAUUAGCCAUGUUAUGUCCUUCAAUUUUGAACAAUCGACUAUAAAUAUAUAGCGAAGGCUUUGGAAGCAAUGUUUGCCUGCAAUCAGAGAGGUUUGAAUGUGGCUCUGUGUUUUCAUCAUUCUGCCUUCCCCUCCCCACUCCAUCUCCACUUCUUCCAAAC
Molecule: long non-coding RNA, 174388 nt
Filed under: Durio zibethinus
Lineage: Eukaryota; Viridiplantae; Streptophyta; Magnoliopsida; Malvales; Malvaceae
Description: long non-coding RNA (DZIB_LNC001620)
Source: RNAcentral